Molecule: long non-coding RNA, 137352 nt
Filed under: Vitis vinifera (wine grape)
Lineage: Eukaryota; Viridiplantae; Streptophyta; Magnoliopsida; Vitales; Vitaceae
Description: long non-coding RNA (VVIN_LNC003449)
Source: RNAcentral
GGAAUGUUUCAUCUUGAUAAUCAUGAAUGGAUGUGGCAACGAAAUUUUAUUUCCUUUUUUUAAAUUAAUGGGAAAAGUAACUGGAAGUUUGGAUUUGAUAUGAGAAGGAGAAGUGAUGAACCACAUUAUCCGUGAUAUUCAGAAUGGAGAAGAAUGGCAUCUCUCUUUUCUUUUUCGAUUUUUUUUUUUUUUUUUGUAUCUCAUAGUGAUUUGGUGAUCCUUUUUGGCUACAACUGGUGCUUCUGCAUUGGGAAUAAUCAAUGAGAAGAACACCUGUGUUGUAAUUUCACAUUGUCUGAACUGUGGGUGAUGGUUUGAUUUUUAAUUAAUCAGAGUUGAGCAUGCCUUAUAAAGCUAAGGCGAGGAUGAAAUUGCAUGGAUGCUUAAAGUUGUUUCCUUUAAGGUGGGAGAAUUUUGACAGUUAUAGUGGCAAAAUCCCAUCUUAUUUUUUACAUAAUUGUGGAGUCUGCUUUGGAUGGAAUUUAAAUUAGAUAACUUGGGAGUUCAGUUUGGAAGGGAUUUAAAUUGGAUGUCUUAGGGAAUAUCUUGGAUUGUUAUAUUGUUUUAGUGAAAAAUAAUACUAUGAGCUUAAGAAGCAGAACUUAACAGUUAACUGUUUAAAGUAAAGUGAUGUCAUAUGUUAUCACUUUCAAGAUUUUGAGUGUCAGAUCAUUAACUUCUGGUGAGUAGUAUGCAUUCAUUAUUCAUUCAAAAGCAGAUUCCAUUAAAGUGGAAAGGAUAUUAGGAGGCAUGUUGAUGCAAUUUACGUGGUGUGCAUGAAAAAUAUUUGUCGGCUUGUGAUCAUGGUGGUGCAUACAGUUAGUGGGACAGAAUGUUGCUUUCUUUGCACAUCAAAUUAGCGGUUACAAUUUCAAAGGUUGUUAUGCUGCAUCUUGCUCAUUGUUUACAUUAAUUUUGCAAUCAUCUAGCAGUAUCAUAUAACUGCUUGAAGGUGUCAAAGACUCUAUACUUAUCUUGGAAUUAAAAAGAAAGGUAUUAUACAAUAGUGCUGCACAUGUAUUUGUUGAUGGGAAUGGGAACUAUUUUGUUAGAGAUGAUUGUGCUUUAUACUUCAUGGCAGGUUUUCUUUUUCAUCACCAAUCAGUUUCUAUGUAACAGUGUUGUUCCUAUAGGAAUUUUUUUUCUAAGAAUGAGAAUUUCUAUUAGAGCAGAAAGCAAAUUUAAGAAGCCAAAAGUCACAAAGAAAUUAAAGAAUCCACUUAGAGGGAUAAAAGAGGCCCAAAGCAAUAGUCUCUCUUAACUGGUGGAUUCACUUCAGAUGAGUUUUCUAUAAUUUUCUGGAGCAGCAGCAGGAUAAUGAAGGGCAUUGACCCUAAACCCUAAACCUAAUAUUUUGUUGUUUUUACUUUUCAGGUACUUCAUUGUUUGAGGACAAUGGGAUGCACAGCUGAAGAUCCAAUGGCUGGUGGAAAAGAAAACGAAAUAGAGAUAAAAAUAAAGACAUUGGAUUCCCAAACUUACACAAUGCGUGUAAAUAAGCAGGUACCUAGCUUUGUACUUUUUAAUUAUGUUACUUGCUACAAUCACUUCAUGUUUUAUUUUUUCUUGGGGCUGUUACAAUAUAAAAGUUUAUUCUUUUCUUAGUUGGUUGUCAAUUUGUCAUCUUUUUAAGGGCACUCUUAGAUUCUUUAUACUCAAUAUUUCCUUCAUCGUCUUUUAAACUUUAAAUUGCAGUUUUGCAUAUUUGUAUGGUUACAUUUCUGUCAGCUUUCAGUAGCUUAAAAAUGCUGUCUUACUGAAAGUAGUAUAAGUUUGUCGCUGAAAGAAGUUACAGCCUACAAGUAUAUAUGACAGCCUUUUUUGACAUCCAGUCAAUAGCUUCUUUGCCAUGAUAGAUUCAUAUCUUAGGAUUGUAUAGCCUGUGUGUACAUGUUUGCUGGUAGUAACUUGCAUAUCAGAGUUUUUCAUGUAUGAGUGCAUAUUUGGUUUUACCAUUGUUCUUGAUGUCUUGCAGGUACCAGUGCCUGAUUUAAAACAACAGAUUGCUACAGUUACAGGUGUCUUAUCAGACCAACAACGUCUCAUAUGCCGCGGAAAAGUUCUAAAGGAUGAUCAACGCCUCUGCGCCUAUCGUAUCCUUUUUGUUAAUUUCUCUUGCUCUUUCUUUUUCUUUUUGCUGUGUCUCUGUUCUCAUUCUCUUCCUGGUAAUUACUAUCAACUUCCACUUUAUGGUUUCCAAAUGAUUGUUGUGGUACUCAUAAUUUUGAAACAAAUGAAUUUUAUACACUUACUAUAUUUGAAUUUGCUGGUUAUUGCCAUUUUCAGGCUAUGAGCACAAGAGUUAAAAAUAAAUAAAUAAUAAAAAUAAAGACCAUUAUUUUAAAAAGCUGGAAAGCAAUAAUAUCUGCAAUUUGUGAGUACAAAAGCAUAAGAAAACCUUUGUCUUCCACUCCUCAUUAAUGUCAUCUUAUUUCUGCACCUUUUGACAUAUAUACACGCCCAUGGUAACUUUUGUGUAUUUGCACCUUCUGGUGUUUUUUGGUUGCUUUGUAUAUGUUGUAUAUACUUUUUAAAAUCUCUUUUUGAUGAGUAAAGACUUAAUAUCAUGUGUACUUUUUAAAAUUAAUACAAUCUUCUUUUACGUAUCAAAAAAAAAAAAAAAAGGUACUAUAUCACAUUAAAACAUUGCCUCUCUAUAUGCAUUUUUUAUUUCUCAAUGCAAAGCAAAGAAUAUUUCACUUCAAUGUUCUUUAGCUUAUGAAUCUGUCUUUGUGUGUUUAUUUGGAUGAGUAAAGACUUAAUAUCAUGUGUACUUUUUAAAAUUAAUACAAUCUUCUUUUACGUAUCAAAAAAAAAAAAAAAGGUACCAUAAUCACAUUAAAACAUUGCCUCUCUAUAUGCAUUUUUUAUUUCUCAAUGCAAAGCAAAGAAUAUUUCACUUCAAUGUUCUUUAGCUUAUGAAUCUGUCUUUGUGUGUUUGUUUGGCUCCAUGUUUACUAAUUUUUAUGUUAAACAUUGUAAUGAUAAAAUACAUGACAUUUUACCUCCACGUGAAUUACAUUAUAUAUUCCAUUAUGCCGCCAAUCCACAUAACACUUUUCCACAAUGUUGUUAACUGAAAUUCCAAUUUUAGCCCCAAGAAUUAUUUUUUACCUCCAAUCUCUCUUGUGAUCUUGCUAGCUUGGAUGUGAAGUUGCAAAUGCAAUUUGGUUUAAAGGGGAGGGAGGAAGAAUAGAAGAAAUAUCCAAAAUAUGCCUCGACUUGAUGAGAAGAAAUUUGGGGGAUAUGGUCUUUGCUGUAAAGACGUCUUUCCAUGUAGUUAGAUUUGCUCUACCAGUAACCUUAAUGCUGCUUACAAUAGUUCAACAACACAUGCAGGAUUCCAGAAUGUUUCCAUGGCUGGAUAUAUGUAUAUAUAUAUAUAUAUAUUCCUUUUUUUUUGUAUUGAAAUAUUCAAAUCUAUGGGUGGUUCACUCAACUGUCUUUGAUAUUAGUCAGACUAAGGGACAUGUAUACCUCUGAAGAGGAGCUAUAUUCAUGUUGGAGAAGGUGUAAGUAUUAGCACCUGCAUGCCCUGGCUUUGUUGUUUGAGAGUUUUCAGGUUAGUGUGUCUGUAGUGUGCUGUGUGUUGCAACUGAGGCUAAUGCUGAACUGUGACUGCAAAUAAGUCAUCUUAAUCCUCUGAUUACCUGCAAAAACACGCCGUUUGGGACACUGACGUAACUUGAGACCGUUUUAGAGAAGGGAAAGAGAGGAGAAGAUUUUGGGACCUGAUGGCUAGGAUCUCUAUAGAAAACUUACCUCUUUUAGCUGAUGGUUGUACCUUUUAUACUCUACACUGAACCUAGUUCCUCUGGGGCUAGGUUGCCUACCACAUCUUCUAGUCUAGUCGAAUGAUCGAGGCCUUUGGCUUUCAGGAGUCUUAAGCAAUGAUGGAGUUGAGCUCGAGUAGUUCGAGGUCUAUAUUAUCGCUCCUCAAGUACCACUUUGUAUUCACUUAGCUCGAGCAUUGAGCAUUAUCCUAGCCCACAGGCUGGGUUUAUUGCCACGUGAUAAGUGAGAAUGGAUGCCUUCCCAAUGCGUCCUUUUUCUUGCCAUCAAGAACUUUGAGCUUGGAAAAAGCAGGAAUGCCAAAAUUCAAACUGUUUGGCUGAGUUGGCUUUUCAAAGUGAAAAUUGAACCGUUUGAGAUACACAUGGCAGGGCUGAGUUGGCUUUUCAAAUGAUGGCAGUAGGAUUUGCGCCUCAUCAUUGUGCCCGCAGUAUUUAAUCUAGUGGGCUGUUCCUUCAGGCCUUUUAAAAACCCAAAGAAUCUCCUUUUUUUCCUCACUUUGCCUUAUUUUGCAAGCCGAGACGCUGCUGGAUCUUUUUCCAGGCUACCUCCAACCAGUUUUUUCUGAUGCCACUUAAUCAAUUCCAGUUCAUUCACCUUACUUUCCUAGAGCUAUUUCAUGGGUAACAAGUUUUGCCUUAUCUUUACCUUUUAUUUUCUGUUUUUUAGUGGUUUUUUGGUCAGUGCUUGUGUCGUCUUAGAUAAAUUUUGCUUUUCCGGCAACCACCUGGAACCGUACCUCCCUAGAGCUCUGACUCAGUUUUUCCUGCCCUAGGGGUUGGGCGGCGGGCCUAGCCUUUAAUUCAUUUCUUUUGGGUGAAAGGAGAUGAAUGACAAAAUCUUGAUUGUGUAGAUUAACUUAGGACUACAUUGACUAUGCCUAUGAUGUGGAAAUCCUAUUUCCCAAGGAUUAGUUUUAUGAUGAGUGUGUGACAGUUUUUCUACAUUGGUUUAAACCAUGAUGAAGGAGCCUGCUGCUUUGGGAGACUAAUUCCAUGUAAGCAUCAGGAAAUCCCUGUUUGCGUAGUCUUCUUGUUGUGGAUAGGUUUUGUUUUUCUGCUUGUCUUGUCUAGAUAGUUUUCUUAUUUAACUAGAUGUGUUAUGUAGAUUUCAGAAUAUUAAUUUUUGAGUAUUUGAUGAAUACCACAGAUGGGGAAUGCAGACAGGAUUUUUAUUGCCAAUGGCAACUAGUGUGUAUGCUGCACUUUGGGCAACUAAUGAUAAAAUUUUAGUCAUAUAGCAGUAACUUUUGAAAGGUCAAUUAUAAUUUGCUUAGUCAAAUAGACCAUUAAAAGAUGAUGGAACUUAUUAUUAAUUUUAUUGUUUUUUCUUUUUUAUUAUUAGUCCUGAGGUGAAAUUGUUUAAUUCCAUAACAUGAAGACAGCUAAACAUUUUGAGAAGAUUUGAGAACUGCCCACUGGAGGCAUUGAUGCAUAUGCCAUCUUAGUAGGAAAUAUGUCUUUGACAUCUAUGAGAAAAGUUUAUCAAUAGAUCAUAGUAGGUAAUAAGUCUUUGACAUCUACUGGAAAUAAUGUGACAACUGAUGUGAGGUAAGAGGGUUUAAUGGGAAAAAUGUACUCCUUUCAUGCUAUAUGAGGAAUGAAUGGAAAUAAUAAAUUAUCUAUUCUGACAAGAAUAUAUGCUUCAUUAAAUGAGGUUAAUUCUUCUGCUUGAACAAGUAUUUAGUAGUUGUUCCCUUAGAGGAGGCCCCCUGAGCUUCCCUUUCCUACUUACUGCUUCUUGCUUGAUAAAUUUUGUAUUAAGAAUGAGCAUAAUUACAUUGUGUCUUAUUUAAAAUAUUUUCUUUUCUCUUUGUCAACAGUUUGUGUUUUGUGUGCCUCCUUUCCUAUAUCAAAAUAUUUAUCUGCAUCAUCGCCUGGAACCUUGAAGACAUUUGCAUAUCUACAGAACACUGGCUGAAUGAGUAUUGAUUAGUUGAAGUGUAUUUCUGCUAAUGGCAGAAACUGUGAUAAUGUUCCUCUUUAUAUCUAUGGCAUCUAUUCAGGACAUAUGUAUUGAAAUUUGAACCAGUUGCCUUACUUGAGAUGAUUAGUUGUGGCUGAGGCAAUGAAAUCCAAAUGGGAUAGCAUUAAUUGAGUUGGCAUCUUGUUAACUUUUCCUCAAAGUUGAUAUAUUGUAUCUUGCUUUCUUGCAGUCAAGUCUGGUUUUGGAUAUUUAUUCAACUAGAUGAAUAUGGUAUUUGAACACACUCAUUUUCUCAUUGUUCACUCCUUUUCUAUUCUAGUCACUUCUUGUUUAUUAACUUUGAGCUAAUUAUUUAAUUGGGGAAAUGAGUUUCUUACUUAAUAUGAGUUAGAUGUUGAAGAUGGUCACACUUUGCAUCUGGUUACCAGACAACCAGUUCCACCAUCAUCUGAGGGUUCACAUAAUCAAUCAGGUUUGAUAUUCUUGAAAGCUUUUUAUCAUCUUCAUAUUUGACUUCAGAUAUUUCAUGGAAUACUUGCUCUAAUUUUGUAUUUGGUUGUUACUCAAAGCUUUGUUAGUGGGAGUAAAUUCUAGUUUGAAGUCUUUCUGAUUAUGGAAAUCCUUCUUGAUUGACGUUAAUGAGAUGUUUGACUUUGAAGUAAUCAUAACCCUGAGUUACUUGAAGUUACUUUUUUUGUUGCCUUUGUUAUGUUCUAAACUUUUAAGCAAUGUGUGGAUGUAAUUUUGGUCACACAUGUACUUUAUAUUCCCAAUAUAAGUAUUUCAUUCCCUGUUUUUGUCUUAGUUUUCAAGCAUGGCUCUUUAUGGUAAUCUGAAUUUUAGUUGUGUCAAAGGUCAUAUUCCCAUGGUAUUUACUCUUUUAUUUGCGAAAUGGAUGAAAUUGUGGUGAAUUUGAUGGAAUGAUUUAAAAUUAAGCUUUCACAAAUUCUUAUGCUAAUGUACUACAGUCUAGAAUGUUUUCUUUUGUUGAUCAGCAAGAUCUAUGUCAUCAUAUGCAUGCUGAAAGCGGGCAUUUUGUAAUUCUUAAUUGUAUAUUCUGUCUAGCUUCUAGAUUUUUUCGCUGUUUCACUGAAUUCAUUAAUGUGAAUACCGGUUUUUUCCCAUAAAAAGCCAUUUUCAGUUAGAACUAGAGAACUUACUGCUGAAAGUAAUUGUUUGCAGAUGCUAUUCCUGGUUUGGGUAUGAGUCAUGGUCAAGACAAUCAGGUAGCUCCUGGGUUUCUACCUGAAAAUUUGAAUGUGCCUAAUCAAGGUGAUGCCAUUCCUCCAGAAAUUAAUCAGGUAAGUCUAUGAAUUAGAUGUGGAAUGGGACUCGUUUUUGGAUUUCUAUAGGUGUAAUUACAUCUCGCUAUAUCAGUUCCUACUUUGUUAUCUUUCUUGCUUGGCAGCUUGUUUCUGCUGUUCUUGGUGCUUUUGGAGUUAAUGAUAUUGGUGGUAAUCAGGGGCCUGAUGCUAGGGUAAAUUUCUAGUUCAAAGUCUACAAACAAAUCGACUACUUGUUGAAAUUGGUGUGCGACCUAUUGUUGCUUGGCAUGAUAUUUCGUGAAAGUGUGGCUCUUUGUUAUGCAAAUAAAUAAAUAAAUGCUUUUCAGAGAGUGAAUGUAAGGCAAACGCAACAAAGGCUGAAUUCCAUGUAAUUGAUGUUUUCUUUUUUGCUUUCUUGUUGCCUUCGUCUUGUCCUUUCUGAGCCACUGCAUGACCCGACAAGAUGUUAAGCACGUUGAAUUUGGUGUAUCCUUAACAUUCUUAGAAGUUGCAGAAAAUUUUCUGAGUCAUGGUUUAUUACAUUCUAAAAAAUUUUUUUUUUUAUGUCUGCAUGGAUCUAUAUAUGUUUCUAUCCAUAUUUAAUCUCACUUUUUGGUGUGUGGGGGGGUUGGAUGUGGAAGAAUAAUGGCCUGGAAGGACUUGGAUAUUGGGUGCUAACAGCAUCUCUGGUUUAACCCAAUCAAAUAGUGCCUUUGCAUUGGCAGUGUCUUUGGGGGCUCUUUCGCCCCUGGUAAGGUUGAGAUUCCUGGUUUUACUUUAUUCAUAUGCACUUCCUUUUUUCCUGGGUUGACUUUUUUUUUUUUUGGAUUUGAAAUGGAUCUUCUUUCAUGUAUUUACUGGUUGGAUAUUAAAUAUUGCGUGAUAUCGUGGACUUUGUAGGUCGUGCCUGAUUCUUUGACUACUUUGUCCCAGUAUCUGAGUCGAUUGAGGCGUGAGUUUGGUAACAGCAGUCAUUCCCUUUUUUUUUAACUUUAAUACAUGCAAAUCAGUCCUUUAAUGCUAGUACAUUCAGAUGUUUGAAACUUGAAAUACAUUUUGUUUACAGGCAGAGGCAAUGGAAACAAUGUGCAGACUGCUGAUAUCCAUGGUACUGCAGAAAGAGAAUCUAAUUCCAUAUUGCAUUCAGUGACUGCACCGGGCCUUACUCCAACAGCAUCCUUGGCAGAAUUGAUGCUGUCUGCAAGGCAAAUGCUUAUUGAACAAGUUGGAGAAUCCCUACUGGUAUAUGCAGAAUCAUUAUCCUUCUAUAUCAUUACCCGUCAAGGUAGCCCAAUUGGUCAGCGCGAACACUGGGAAGUGUGGUCCUAGUAAGUGGCACAUGGUCCUAAGUUUGAAUCCUGCCACUGAUGAUACCUUGAAUUUACCCGGUGUUGGUUGUUGCGGGCUGGUCAGCACUCCAAGGUUUGGGUCCCCAUGGAGAGUCCUAAGGGCUUGGUCAUGGAAGGUUCAUUGGUUAUAAUAUAUGUAUAUAUAUAUAUAUAUACUUCUACAUUGUUGAAAAUGUUUAUUUUGGUAAUUCAUAAUAUUUGAGAAGUUUUCUGGUAGCAUACCAUAUAUGAUGCAGGUAUUUCAUUACUACUCACAAUGUGAACAGAUUUGAUUUGAUCAUCUUUUAGAUUUGUACGCAGAAUAAAAGAAUCUGUUUAUCACGGCCUACAAAUAUCUGCGAGUUUCUCACUAUCCUGAUCCAUAUAUGCCAAAAAUAACAUGUAUAACAAUGUUCUAUUUUAUAUUUUGGCAGCAACUACAGAGGCAGCUAGAGAAUCAAGAGACUGCGACUAAUCUGUCUGAGAGGCGGGACAUUCAGUUUAGCGCAGGGAGAACAGGAGUUUUGCUUCAAAAUGUUGGUGCAUUUCUACUUGAACUUGGUCGUACAACCAUGACACUGAUCAUGGGUCAAAUGCCGGUAAGUAUAUUUUGGUUUUCAUUCAAUUAUCUGGUUGAUUGAGAUAUCAUUGAUGUCUUGUGUUCCUAUGAAUCAUUUCUUAUGCAGUCUGAAGCUAUGGUUAAUACUGGGCCUGCACUUUUCAUAUCCCCAUCUGGUCCUAAUCCUCUCAUGGUUCAGGCAAUAUUCUCAAUAUCCCCUUCAAAAAAAAAAAAAAAAAUGUAUCUUUAAAUUUUUUUAUCCACAUUUUCUGAUCAUAAUUUUAUGGCCAGGCUCAGCCUUUUCAACCAGGAACAAGUUUUGGUUCAUUCUCCACGGGAACUGCACAGCCUGGCUCUGGUUUGGUUAAUGGAUUUGGUUUUCUUCCAAGGCGUAUUGAUAUACAAAUCCGUAGAGGUGCUAUUUGAAUUACACCUUGGCUAAAUAUUAUCUUUAUUUUAUUUUUGGUGUAAUUUAUGUUCGGAUUUACUAAUCAAUUCACCAUUAGGUUCUUCAAUGGUCACUCCCAAUGUUAACCAAGUGGAACAUGGUUAUACUAAUCAGCCUUCAGGCCAAAGAAACCCAGUAACAAGUUCUGGUGGUGAAAACCCAGCAACUUCUCUGGUUUCAGAGGGUUCAUCUAUUGCUGCAGUACCAAUGAGGUCCAUGCUUGGAGCAGUAUCUGGUCCAUUUAAUAGUGUUCUUUCUGAUCCAUCCAGUGGUCUUUUAGGCUUGUACCCAGUUCUUGGAAGAUUACAACAUGUGGGUUCUGGACAUGCAAUUGAUGAGCUAGGAUCUCAAGCAUCUGGUGAACAUCAAGCCACUGGCUUCCAAACCGAGCAGCUCAAUGAAGGUGGUCGCACAACAGAAGGUAAUUCGACAAAUAUGGUAGUUAAACAUAGUAAUGAAGACUAGUUGUUUCAUAACCAAUUUAUGCUCAAGUAAUGAAUUAUAUGGUAGUGAAUUAACCCCUUCCAAUUUAUGCUCAAUUUUUGUUUUUACAUUGUGGGCGGUCCUGGUGCUUGAUUUUGUUCUCUUUGUUUGGGGUCUUUUGGGUCCUGCUGUGGUUUGUAAAAAAAUUUCCUUGGAUGGCAUGGUCCCUCUGCAGGGAAAGGCAUAACAGAAGGUCUAGAGGUUGAUUCCUCUCUACUUGUUUUCAUGUACUUGGAAGAACAUAAAUAGAAAACUUUAUAUGGCUUGCAACAUUAAAAUUUAGGAAUUAUAUGCCUGUUGCUCAAUUAUCAUUUUGUUCAAAGGACCAAGGUGCUCAUAGGAAGGUGCCAAGCUUUAGUAUUUAGAUUUCAUUGACAUCAAUUAUCAUGUAUUCUUUUUGACCUUUUUUUGAAGUGUUUCCUUGUGUACUUCUCCUGUACUUGGGUUGCACCCUUCUUUUGAUUGGUCCUUUGAAUAUAGCAUGCUGUUAUUUCUGCCUAUGAAAAAAGAAAGAAAACAAAAUUUGAGGAGAGAUAUGGCUUAUGCCCAUGUUGCUGUUUUUAAGUUAUGUUUUUUUUUUUUUUAAACAAGAAUCCUUUGAUUUUUAUUUGAUGAAAAUUUAGAUACUUUAAUUUAUGUAAGGUGAAUAAAGGUAUAAUGUUCCAUGAUUUCCAUUUCUUUUUUACUUGUUGGCUCUUCAGUUUGUUUAGAGCUACCGAAAGAUAUUAUAGAAUAGAAUAUAUAGAAAGGGCUGUUUCAGUGAACUUUUCCUAUGAAGGAAAAAAAUGCAAAAGAUAGUGAUUUUUUUAUGUUUAUGUACCAUAGAAAAAGGGAAGGAAAAAAAUACUAAGGAAAAGAUGGGGGAAAAAGCUAAAAGAUUUUCUUGGUCUCAUACGCCUUGUUUGAUUCCAAGAAAGUACUAAGGAAAGAACAAAAAAUGUUAAGGAAAUAAUUUUUUCGUAUUUGGUUUUACUAUGGAAAAUAGUAAAAUUAGUCAAAAACUUAUGCUUUUUCAAAUUAUUUAAUCUUUAUAUUGAAGAGUUAAAAUAAAUGAAAUAAGGUUGAAGUAGUAUAUAUAAAUAAUUUAUUGACUCUAAAUCUAUUUUUUAUUUUUCUUCACUUUUUUUUUUCUUCUACCUUUCCUCUCUAUUUUUUUUCCUUUGCAAUUCCCCUCAAAUUUUUUAGGAACCAAACAUAGCUUUUAAAAAAAUAUGUGAGGAAAGUUUGGGGUGCAUUCCUCAUUAAUUUAAUUCUCUUCUCUCAACUUUUCUAUGGAUGACCAAAUAAAAGAAAAUUCUAUAAUUUUUCUUUUAUCUUCUCCUUUUCCUCUCUAUUUUUUUUUCCUCAUAUUUUCCAAGAAUCAAACAUGGUCUAACAGAAAAAUAGGAAGUCCACCCCUAAACAUGCUGAAUUGCAAAUUAACUUAACAGCUGCACAAGGCAAAACCCCAUAAAAUCUGAACAGAGACAAAACAUAAACCCUCAAAUUCAAAACUACUUAAAAAUGUAGGAAGCAGUUUCAAUGAGCUGUAACAUGUAGAUAUUCAUUUGUAGUCGCUACAGAUAUUUCUACACUCAAGUUUACUUGUCUUUUCUCAUUCGUUAUUGGGUAAAGCCACUUAAUCAUGUAGGGAGCAGUUUCAAUGAUGUAUAACAUGUAGAGUUUCAUCAGUAGUUACUGCCAGUAUUUCUACACUCAGUUUACUUGUCUUUUUGCUCAUUCAUGAUUGGCUUUGGGAGUUGGAGAUAUAAUUAUUGGUUGGAUUUGAGUUCACCUGAUUAUUCUGCAUCAGGUGACCAUGACAUUAUCCUUGUUUUCAUGAGCUAAAUUUUUUAAAUUGCUUGUUUUUGCAGGAUCAUUGCCAACUCCUAGUUUAAGACACCUGGCACCAUCUGAAUCCCAGAAUUUCAGAAUCAACCUUCAGUCAACCAAUGGGACCAUAACUAAUCCAGAAGCUGAGGGACAUAUGCCCAGCAGUGUCCUUCAGUUUCUAAGGACCAUGUUUGCAGGUGGAGAAAUUGAACAUGUCGAGGAUUUCAAUUCACAAGGAAUAGCUACAAAUCCCGUCACAGAGCAUUCAGAGGCAGCCGCUGGUGCCAUGGAUGCUCAGCAAGCAGAACCAGAAGUUACUGAUGAAGGGAUCUUCUUGUCCAAUAUGCUUCGAGAGAUGAUGCGCUUCAUAUCUCAAGAUGUGGACCCAAAUGUCGCACCUCCUGAAGGAUCAAGUGCUUCAGAGCAUGGAACUGAUUCUUCCUCCCAAGUAAGCUUGCUUCAGCAAUUACCCACUUACCCUUGUUAUGAAUUAUGACCUCUUCUACCUCAAACUAAAAAGGAAUUUGAAUUUCUUCUUAUGUUUGUUCUUAAUGCCCUCCGUGUUAUCAGAAACAAAAUGGAGAAUGAGGCUUAGGCAUUAAGUGGGGAUAUGUUGUCACAAGUACUCUUAGUGCACUAUGUCUUAUUAAGUAAUGGAGCAUAAUAAUUAGGUUGGGUCGUAAAUCUGAAGGUCAAGCUAAGUAAUGAUGUAUUUGCAGGCUGAGAGCUCUGUUGCUGGGACUUUGCGACGGGAAAGUGAUAAUCAGGCAAGCCCCCCAAAUUCAAAACGUCAGAAGGUAUUACAGUUUGAAACUUCUCUGUCUUUCCUUUUCAUCUUCUCUCUUUCAAAUGCGUCUUAACUUAUCAUAUCUUCAGAAUUUAGGAGGAAAUGAUGCUGUGUCAUUAGAAAUUAGAAUUGAGAUAUUCAAAUGAGACACAUCAGUGGGUUGGAUCAUGAUCUCAAUCCUUGAUAAGACGCUGCAUUCUAUUUCCUCUGGUGAUCUCAUGCAUUCUAUUUCCUCCAGUGGUCUCAUGCAAUAAUUGUUAGAUCUGAUUCUCUGAAUUUGCAACCAUAUGGUAAAUUAUAUGUUUGUAUAUAGCAUUUUCAGUGUUUUGUAGGACUUCAAUUUAAUUUCAUCAUGCCAAAGUCAUCCACAUCAGGAUCCUGGACUGGAUUUAUGGGGGUCUCGUAGCUCAAUUGAGAACUUUCAAAUUCUAAAUAGUGGCAAAGAUGAUUGAACAUGACAUGGUCAUAUUAGAAAAUUUCCUGGAAUGCUGGUUAAGUUCAAAGUAUGAGAAAAUGUAAGAAAACAGAUAAGAAUACUUAUAUUUUUUUGCAAAAUAAGCUACUGAAACAAAAGGCCAACCUAAAAGCUGCACUAAAAUUGCUUUUGGAAGUGAUUCUUAUAGGGUGAGAAGCAUUUCCUAAUGCUAGGAAACACUUUCUUUACUAAAAUUAGGCAUUCAACAAAGUUUUAAAAAUCACUUUUGAACACAAGAAGUGAUUUUUUGAACUAGCACUUGGUGUUUUUUCCAAAGUCACUUUUUCGUUAUGCAUCCAAUUGCUAAAAACACUACUAUAUUCAAACAUUAACUGAUUCUUGAUGAAAAUGUUUCUGAAAGAAGUGCUACCAACAAAAGUGCUACAGAUUAAAAGUCCUUUUACCAGAAUCACUCCUAAAUGAGUCAUUAGCGUCUUUAAAAGAAGCAUGAAACAGUCCUCAAAAUGGAUAUUCAAACUCAUGGAUGUUUUUUGAAUACUUUCAAAUAUGCAGAGCUAUAAACAGAUUUAAAUGUGGUCUUCUUAUAGAUUUAUUGGGUUACAUUUCAUUGGAGUUGGUAGACCUACCUCAGUUGGACUUCCGACUGAUUUGGUAUAGGCAUUAUUUAAGAUAAUUUGAAUGGUUGAACCAGCAAAGCUAAAGGUGACCACAUAAUCUCUUUACAGUUUUGAUGCCCAAGACAACAAAAAAAAAAAAAAACAAAUAAAUAAAAAUAGAAGGAACAUUAGAUAUAUCUUCAUGUGAGUUUGCUUAGGAAAGGUGGACACGAAGGCGUUGCAGGUGAGAAUGGGAUUAGUGGAGAUUCUAAAAACUGCUGCAAAUCCUAUGCAAUGUGAUAUUGUAACAAUAUGGAAGUCAAAGCUCAUCAUGCAUGCAUCUUUAGUUCAGGUGGCCCUACCAACCAUAUGGUGGACUCUGGAAGAUCUUUCAUGCUUAAAAUUAAUUAAUAGGAAGAUAAAUUAGCACAUUCUUUUGGUUAUUUAAUAGAAUGGGGGGAAAUCAUUCCUAUUUUGAUUACAAAAAUUAUCACUCUGAAUCGAUUUGCUUAUGUUUGCAUGUUCUCCAUGCUUAACGUUUAUUUUGAGGGCAAAGUGUUUGAUUUGUGUUUCUUGCACAGAUGGAUGAUUCAUCCUGAGACUAGGGUUUUGAGAUAUGCUACCUGUUAUCUGUGGAUGCUGUGAAUAAUGAUCCCGAGGGCAAGCAGUGAGGCUUUUCUUACAGGUAAAUUUAGGCGCUAGUCAUUCCACCAUUGUAGUAAACCAUCCCCUUUUCACUUGAGCAGGUCCAUGAAGUGACUUUUCAAGAAUAGUCAUUACUUCCUUGAGACAGAAUAAAAUGACCUGCUGUUUGCCUGUAGUACUGAAUUCCAUCUUAUAUGUAACAAUACUUGGGUUGAUGUUUUGGUUUGCAUUUCCAUUAAGUGUAGUGGGUCUAAUGACUUUAUCCGAGCGCUUCCAUAAAUGUUACUGUUGGGGGAAACCUUGGUGGCUCCCAUUGUAUUCAUUGGAUUACUUUUAUGUGGGAUGCUGUGCUGACUGCUGAGGAAGUUCUGUUUUGAUCCCACAAACACGAGUGUAUGGGUACAAGGGAUCCUUGGACUCAUCGGAUGAAGUAUUUGUUGGCAGUCUAUUUGGGCGGUAAGUCCAACAAAAUUGAGUUCCUUACUUCUUGUUCAUCAGCCUUUUCAGUGUUGUUGGCGAUACUUUUUUGCACACUGCCAUGAUUUUGCAGUUCAAUCAACUGAAAUAAUCUUGAAACAGCCAUUAUUUUGAUGCUACAGUGUUGAUCAACUUCAAUGAUGAUGCUGAAUGGUAUUUGUCAGCGUGGGCUGUAUAGGUGAAAAUUUGAACUUACAUAUUUGGUUUCCAUAUCUGGGAGCUAUUAUUUUCUGAGAGUAGGGUUUCAAAGAUUAAAAAAAAACCAGAGACGGUUUACAUUGAUGUUUCUGUGAAGCCAUGACGAAAAAUUCUUGAUAAAAUAAGUUUAUAUUGUAUCUUGAGAAAUGAGAGUGCUUGACAACUUUAAAAUUACUUUCUGUUCCUCAUCUUCUUGAGAAAAUGGUUGUAGAGAACAAAUUCUGCCAACUUUUGGGGUGUAAUUUUUAAACUUUCCCUUGCCAAAUUCUGCGAUUUUAUUACAUUUUAAACUAAGGUGGAGUAGUCGUGUGAAUGAUCCCAUGAUCUUUAUAAUAAUAAAACGUGUUAAAGAGAUUAGACCAAUUGUCUUCUCUCAUAUCAGUUUUAAGUCCCUUGGUUUGAUUUUAAUCUUCUAAAAAACAACUUAAGGCACAUAUUAAGUCAUUAUUUUUUGUCAAUAGGCUAGCAAAUUCAAUGUUGUAGGAAAUCUUUUCACAUUUCAAUUUUUAAUUGCUAAAUAUUUUAUUUGUAUUGAUUGAAUUUCCUUUCUUCAAUUUUUAUUUAUUUUUUAAGAUUAAUUUCCUUUCCUUUAAAUUACCUCAUUAUAUUAGAGUACAAAGCAAAAAAAUAAAAAAUAAAAUUGGCAACUAGAAGCAAAAAAUAAUUUAAUGUUCUUAAAAAUAGAAAAUAUGGAUGGUUGCUUUUAUUUGUUUUCAAUUAUUUUCUAAAGGUCUAAACUAUAAUUAUAUAGAUAUGAAGGACUAAAAACGAAAUAAUAUAAACAUUUUAGGUUAUAAACCAUUUUUUAUUCUAUAAAACAGUCAAAAAUAAUUUUAAAAAACUGUUUUCAAAAUUGUUUUUAAACUACUUUUCAAAUAUAAACUUAGAGUGUGCUUGAUAAUAGUUUUAAAAAAUGUUUUUAACAUCUGUAAUACUUAAAAAUUUUUAUCCAUUAAAUAUUAAAAAUAUUAAAAACACUUUUUAUAAUCAUUAUCAAACGCAUUCUUAUUAAUUGUAAUUACAAAAACUUUUUUUUAAAAAAAUAAAAAUAAUUUUAAGAAUUCGUUUCAAAUAUGUUAAUCAAUCUAAGUUUCAAAUUACUCUUUCCCAAAAUCAUUUCAUUUUUCCAUAUUCAUUUCUACUCAUAUUUUCAAUGCCCUUUUUAUUUUUAAAUUAAAUUAAUAUUAGUGAUUAGAUUUUUUAAAAUAUUUUUUUAUAUUAAUUUCUAUUAGUAUUUUUUUAUAUUUAAUUUUUUUAUUAAAUUUAAUUAACAUAGUUGAUUGACAUAAGCUCAUUUUUAAAAUUAUUAAAUUACCUUCUAAUCAAAAUGAUUUAACAUCAUUAACACACCAAAUUAUAACCAUAUAUUUAAUUUCCUUUUUAUAUCAAUUCUUAUUAUUUUUCAUUCCUCAUUCCUAAUUAAAUUAAAUUAAAUUAACAUAAUAAUAUAAAUGUCAUUUUCUUAAAUGUCAAAUUCUUAUUUUUAAAAUAAGACUUCCAAAGUGGUGAUGAAAUGGGUUGAAUUGGAUUUACAUUUAAUUUGGGCUUCUCGAAAAAGGCCCAAAGGGUUUUGUGUCGAAAAUCAAAACCCUAGAUCCUACGGUCAAAAACACGUUAUAAAACAAUCGGAACAAACCCUAAGCCGCUGUCUCCACAUUCAUCCUCCUUUUUUGCAUCGUCCGCCUCUCUGCUCUCAGCCACGCCCAGGCCAAAAUGGUGAGUGUCUCAGCAACUCUCAAAUUUUCGUUCUGAUAAAUAUUUGAUUUUGUUUUGUUUUGUUUUGUUUUGUUUUCUUCAGUCUGAAAUUGAAUCAUUUCUAUUUUGUGUAGCCUUUCAAGCGGUACGUGGAGAUCGGGCGAGUCGCUCUCGUCAACUACGGCAAAGAAUACGGCAGGCUCGUCGUCAUAGUCGAUGUCAUUGAUCAGAAUCGGGUAUGUGUGAAUGUGUGUGUGCUUGAUUUCAUCCUCUCGGUUGUUUUCUAAGAGUUAUCUCAGCAACGAGUAGUGGUUCUGGAACGGAAAACCUUAAUUUCAGAAAUUUAGGGUGUAUUCAGAUCUGUUCUUCUUAGAAAACAAUUCUCUUCUUUUUCUGAAACAGAAACUAGUAGAAAAUGCAAAAUGGAAGUCAAUCAACGGAUAUGAAAGUACUAAUUAUUUAUAAUUUUUUUCGAAUGAUAUUGAGUGGGUUUGAUUUAUAUGAGGUGGAUUUAACAUUUUCCUCAUUGGGAAUAUAUUGAGACCCAUUGACCAACUGUGUCUAACAAACUAGUGGAUUUUUUGCUUUUGCCUUGGAAUAAAUUAGAUAAGUUUUAUGAAAGAUUUUUCAAAGUCUACAAGCAUUGAAUACAUCAAUAUUAAAGAUAUACUGUUGUUUCCUUCAUGAGAAGAGAUGAUUAUCAAUCUCAGAGUGCAAUUGUAUCCCUUUGCAGGCUCUUGUGGAUGCACCCGACAUGGUGAGAUGCCAAAUGAACUUUAAGAGGCUUUCACUCACUGAUAUCAAAAUUGACAUCAAAAGGGUGCCUAAGAAAAAAACAUUGAUUGAAGCUAUGAAUGCCGCGGGUAAUGACAUGUGGAAAAAAUGGGAACUCUUUUCCAUAUUUGAUAGUCAUCUUUUUCAUUAUCUUAAUUUUUCUUUUGAUGGCAGAUGUUAAGAACAAGUGGGAGAAUAGUUCCUGGGGCAGAAAGUUGAUUGUCCAGAAGAGGAGGGCCUCUCUUAAUGACUUUGAUAGGUUCAAGAUCAUGUUGGCAAAGAUUAAGGUUUGUUAUGAUGCAAUCCCUGUGUGUUGCUGUUUAAUUUUUCCCAUCUCUCUACUUAAUUUUUUGUGGAUUCAGACUAGAACCCCACUGGAAAUGGCCCAAUCUAAUAUAUUUGUUUAAUAUGCAUUUGCAGAGGGGUGGAGUGAUCAGGCAAGAGCUGGCAAAGCUGAAAAAACAGACUGCAUCCUAGGCACUAGUUUUCAAUGGGAUCCCAAUUUUGUUAUGAAUUUUCUGCAAUUUGGAUUGUUUUGUCUAUUAGUUUUAAAGUUUAAAAGCUACUUAAGAAACUUCUUGUAUCUUUUUACAGACCAGUAAUCAGUCUUAGUUUUUUUUGGUGAGACUAUUAUGUUAAGAUGCAUGGAUGUGAUCACUGGGUUGUUUAUCACCACUAUAAGGUUGCUGUCUUUGUCGUCUAAUUUCCUAUGGGAAUUGGAUAGGGUGUGAUUUAGAACAAAUCAACAUGCAUCUAUAAGCUCUGGGAUUUCAUUUAGAGGCUUUGUGUACGGAAUUGUUUUCUUGUCAUAUGGAUUACUAUCUUGUCCUAUUUGCCUGUGCCAGCAGGUUAUAGGAUUCUUGAGUUUGUUGCAAUCUGGAUGAUGCUAGAACUGCAUUUUGCCCUAGCAACCUGUUUUUAAGACAGGUCUGUGUUCGGCCAAACUUAAGAGUGCGCUGCCUGUGAUAGAAUUUGUUAAUUAGUUAAUAUGUUGAUACUAGUCAGAAUCAAUUCAAACCCCAGUAUUUUUAACCCCAAAUUGGCUAUUUGAUACUAUUAAUGACUUUCUCAGCCUAUUUUGUUGCUUCUAGUGAGUUGCUUGAGUGCUGCUAGGGUUUUGGGAUAGGUUAAAAAAACGUGUAAAAUUUAGUACACAUGCUACUAAAUUUCUCAAGAAGGUUAUGGGCUAUGGCUGCUGGCUUAGUAGGCUGAGGGGUGAAACUCUGCCUAGAGUCGUUUUCAAUUAUUUGAUCUCAAAUGAGAAAUGGAAUUAGGGCUCAAAAUCAGUGACCUUGCCAUCUCCAUAUCUGAAUCAAUAUGAUGUUAAUGCUGUAAAUCAUAUGUUUUGCAUCCCUAAUUCAUUUUCAAAACUUGCAACCUACUCGUUUGCAGUGUACGUGUGGCUCGGAGCCAGUUGCCCGCUGAUCGUUAACCACUGAGCAGCAUUAGGCAAAGCAGGAAGAAUGAAAGACUGAGAAAACUCUUAACAGUUGGUAGAUUGCCCCUUAUUUUAGGAUUAAAGUUGGAGUAGUGCUCGGAAGUAGAUUGAACCAUUGUAAAUAUUAGAAUUUCUUAUCCAUUUUUUCGUAUUUAUUAUUAUGCUCCUUUUUUAUAAAUAAAAAAAAAAAAUUACACUCAUGCAAAAAAAAACAAAAUAUUAAAAAAUAAAUUUUAUUAAAUAAAUUAAUUUUAAUUACCUUAUUUUUAAAUUCUAAUAAAUUGAUUGUUUAAAAUAUAAAAAUAAUAAUAUUCUAUUUUAAGUCUUUUUAUAUCUUUUGAAUAAAAACAUAAAUUUGUAAAUGCAAUUAUAAGUAUUUUUAAAUAAAAUUAAUCCUACAUAUAUCAUUGUUGUUCUCUAUCCUUAAAUGGAAUUGAAGUAAACAUAUUGUCGUUUUUACAUUAAUUUUUUGUCAAAUUUUAUAUGUUAUUGUCUAAUGUUAUAAAUUUUAUUAUGUAUAUUAUUUUAAAUUUUACAUGUGUAUUAUUAUUUAUUCUAUUUUUAAUUUUUUUAAAUAAUUUUACUGUGUUGAUGAAUUUUCAUACCUGAAUUUUUUUUAUAUUUUCUGAAAUUUCCAUAAAAUCUAGUCACAUUCAUCAUUUCAAAUGUUCUCAUCCUUGGGAACGAAGUUAGGGUAGUGGGGUACCCAACUUUUUUUUAUAAUUUAAAUUGAAAAUAUAUAUAUAUAUAUAUAUAUAUAUAUAUAUAUAUAUGAGGAAAAAUAAGACUAGUGAAUUUAACAUGUACGAAUUUUAUUUUUAAAUUAUUUAUAAAAUUUCAAUUUUUAGGUAAUGUUUGAUUUCUAAUUAAAUAUAAAAAGUUAAAAUAUUUGGUUAUUAUUUUUAAAAGUUGUUAGAAAAAUGGUUUUGAAAAACAAUUUUUUAUAUUUUCAUAUUAAAAAAAAUUAUAUUAGGAACUAAAUUAUGGAAAAUAUUUUUUGUUUAAAAAAAAAAAAAACAGUUUUGAUGGAAUUAAUAAUAUACUAAAGUUCCAAUCAGAAAAUGCAAGAUUCAUACGAAAGCGAGAAAAAUAAAUUGCUUUAGAGCAAAUACUUUUUUCUUUUACUAUCAGUCUUUCCCGAGAACCAAUCAGAAAAUAGAGAAGAGUUAACAACACCAUCCUCUUGAGCUCCAGCUUCAACAUUUUUCUUCUUCUUCUUUCUUCUCAUUUUCUUCUUUUUCCUCAAUUUCUCAGCGUCCAGCAUCGCAGCGAGGUUCUGGAAAACGCUCAAAUCUUCUCCUCUCUUGUUCGCUUCCUCUCCAAACGCAUCCUCGGUUUAUUGGCCUAGCCAUCUUCCUUCUCUUUACUACUUGAUGAGACCACAGAUUUUCUAUCAUUUUCUUUUCCAGAAAAUUUGGGUGGGAAACACAAGAAGUAAAAGGAAAUACGGAGAACACUACCUUCUUUAAAAAAUAAUAAAAACAUCUUUUUAUUAUUCUAAAAAAAAUGAUUUUUUGAUAACAUGAAAAACAAAAAACAUCACCUUUCCCAAACAUAUUUUUAGUGUUUUUAUUUUCAAGAAAAGAAAACAUUUCUUAAAAAAAAGCAACUAAACAAACCCUUACUUUUUUCUAAUCAACUAAAAAUAAUUUAUUAAUAUUAACCAAUAUAACUAAACUGAAGCUAUUAGUAAUAGAUUUACUUUAAUUAUGUUAACGUAUAUCAAUAAGUUAUUUUAAAAGGAAGAAUGUGAAUUGGGCUAUUAAAACUUUUUCAAAAACUAUUUAAAUUAACCAAUAAGUAAUGUAAUAAAUGCAAAUAGAGAAAAAAGAGAGAUGCAAACUUGUUUUAUAGGGGUUUCAUAAAUUUUGUUUACAUCCACUCUCCUCAAUCUUCUUUUUGAAUAAAAGUUUCACUAAAACUUCGAACUAAGCUUUCAAUUUGUACCAUUAGAUUUAAUGGUCCCAAUGGGUUUUACAAAUCUUCUUAAACUUAACACUUAUUUGAAGCUCUAAUCAAUUAACCUUUUAUAAAAACGGUAUAGUUAAUUACACUCAACCUAGCUCCAUAAUGGUUCAAUAUAAUGAAAAUUGGGAUGAAAACAAAUGGGUGCAUCAAAUGAUUUGCAAAUGAAGAAUUCAAUGGACUUGGGUUUGAGAGUUUUGAAAGAGAGAAAAGAGUAGACUAAUAAUUCAAUAUAGUUAUUUUGCACACAAACUCUCAAUUUAUAGUAAACCAACCCAACCUAGGACCCCAUUUUUUUUUUUUUUUUGAAGAAAUAAGUUUUACCUAACCAAACUUCGAUUUGUCCAAUUUAGUAGUUGUUGGGCAUUUAAUGUACUAUAGGUGAUUGUUGAUCUUCUAUGAACUUUGACCAUCCCUCAAUUGAUACUCGAUUGGGGAAAGCAGUACCUCUAUCAUGAACACAAAGGUUUUAGAAAAGAGAGAAUACAUUUUGGUACCUUGAUUGGUCCUUAACCAAGAAAGUACUUUUUCGGUCCAAAGCUUUCCAACAUUAGACAAUUUAUUUAUAAACCUUUGUAUGUUAAUUUGAAAUAAUUUUGCCUAAAGUUUUUAAAGAUUAACUUAGGUGGUGUUUGUUUUUUUUACUGAAAGCAAUUUAGUUUUAGAAUUUAGAUUGUUUAUUUUUCUACUUUUUCAUGACUUAUUAUAAACUUUUUACUAAAUAGAAAAAAUCAAAAUAUGUAACUUUUUCUAAAUAGAAAAAAUAACAUAUUGGUUUUUUUUUUUUUUUUACUUUUUAAUACUUAAUAGAAAUAAAAUACUAUAAAAACAAACAACCCAAUAUUUAACACUAUUAAGCAUUAAGGUUCUAUUUAGAAUUAAGUAAAAAAACAAACAUCACCUUAGUUUCAAAUAAUUUAUAAACGAUUAAGCUCAUUUUUAUGAAAAUCGUGUAUGAAUGAAUACAUGAAAAAUACUUUAAUCCUAAAUACACCCAACAGAUUCACCUUACAAACUUAUCUUAAGAUUUGAUGAGUCUCGAGACACCCAAGUCUUCAAAUUUAUUGAACACCUUUUAAAUAAACUUUAAGCUUCUUUUUCAUUUUAACGGUCAAACUUAAAACUUUACUUGAUUUAAACUCGUUAAUUCACUUAACCUUUUUUGUUUUUAUCAAAACUGACUUAGAAUCCUUGAACUAAUAUAUUUUGUUGUUGAUUGUUGCAUAAUAUUUUUUGGAAGUGAAAUCAAAUAAAAAUUAUUUAUUUAAAUUUUACUAAAAUGGAAAAAUAAAAUUAUUAAAUAUUAAAUUUAAAAAUAAUAUAAUGGUUUAUUUAAUUAAAUUCUAUUUUUAUAUACAUGGAAGUAAAGAAAACAAGCAAAAUCCCUUUCACCAUUAUACAUGUUUUGAACAAUUUAAUAAUUCAUUUUACCAAACACACAAAUGUUAUUUUCAAGACUGAUGAUUUUUUAAAAUCGUACCAAAUUAUAACUAAAUUUUCUUUUAACGUAAUGAAAAGUAAUUUUUCUAAAAAUUAUAAUAAAAUCAAAGUGAUCUUUAAUAUAUGAUAUUUUGUUCAUAUUUAUAUUCUUUUUGUUUUCAGUAAUCUUCUUUACUUCACUUUUUUUAAUUUUAAAAUAUUUUUAUUUAAAAAAAAAAGUACUAAAUUGGUGAUUUCACUUUCAAAUUUCAUUGAAAAGGAUAAUAAUAAUAAUUAAAAAAAAAAAAAAGGUCAUGGGCCUAGACAUCUUCGCCUGACUUCAGUCCGGUAACUUGGGCCGACUUGAAGAAUACCCUCUUCUGAGUACUAGGGUUUGGGCCCAAAACUGAUAACAAAAGCCCCGGCGUAGCUCAUCAUCAUAUAGGAAGUAGGAUUAGGGUUUCUGCAUCUGAACAACUCUGCUCCUUCGCCUCUUCUCACCGCUGCAUUCUCUUCAGCGCUCUCAAUCAUGGCGGAACAGGUCAAGCUCAGAUCUUCUAUCACUCUCCCUUUAUACAUAUAUCUUGAAACAGCUCAAAAGCCUAGUUUUUGUGACUCUUUCUAUUGCAGACCGAGAAGGCAUUUCUGAAGCAACCCAAAGUGUUUUUAUGGUAACAGAAAAUUACGAAUACAUUCUCAUUGGUUUUUGUUUUUUCCCUUGGGGAUGACAUUGUUUUUCCCCUUUUUAAUUCGUUUUUACCGUUUUUCUCUGUGCUGAAAACAAUCCAGCUCGAAGAAAUCUGCGAAGGGGAAGAGGCCUGGGAAGGGUGGAAACCGGUUCUGGAAGAGCAUUGGCUUAGGGUUUAAGACACCCCGAGACGCUAUUGAAGGUUUGAAUUCAUUUUACUUGAGUUUGUGAAUUCUAAAUUUGAUAUUCUUGCAUUUUGGUAUAUCAAUCUAGUGCUUAGCUGAUAUCUUACUCGUUUUUUAAACCGAUAGUAUACAUAAUCAUCAUAUAUUAUGAAAUAAUGGUGAAAAUUAGUGAAUUUUUUUAGUUUAUUUAUUUUUCAAGUAGUUGGCUGUGCUCUUCAUUGUGUCUUCCUGUCAUUACAGUCCUUUGAAUAUUUUAUGAAUAUUGUAUGAACUUCAGGUUCCAGAACUACAGUCCUCCUAUGAAUAUUAUAUGGGGCUUUGGGCUCAUCGUCAGAUUUAUUGAUUUUUCUCAACAUUAUGGUGCUCUACUGCUAUCUAAUAUUCUAUAAUAAUAAUAGUAAUAAAAAAAGACCAUUCCCUGGUGGUCAUCCAUCAGGGUUCUGGGAGCAGUGUGAUGGAUAUGGUCUCAGGCACUUUUUGCACAAAGUGGCCACUCACUAGAAUGGAACCUGUGAAUUUGCACCGGCCAACUUGAGAUUUUGGUAGUUUAUCAAACACGUUGAUACACAUUUGAAUUGAACUGUUAUUUCAUAUUUUUAUUGUGUUUACCAACAUGUGGACUUGCCUAAGGUACCAUCAAUCAUAUUUUUUGUUUCCCCAUUCUAUGUUUGUGUACUUGCUAUACCGUUAAAUGAUAUUGAUAUUGAGAGUGGUGUUCUGGAAGUUUAUGCAGCAUACAACUUUAGAUGCAACUUAGGGUAUACAAAUUGGGCUAACUUGUGUGUAUGUUUUUGUGUCAUACGGUUCAUAAACUAGGCAUUUGUGAGGCGUAUGCUUCAUUGCCCGAAUCUGUGCUUCUAACAUUUACUGAGAAAAAAGUAAUGAAUCCAUGGUCUUCUACAAUGAUACAGCAUGAUCGAUAUAUUUGGGAUAAAAUCUAGAUGAAAUUGAAUCCAGAUUAAAUAACCUUCUGUAUCCUGGAGUUAUUCAGUUAGUCAUUCUUGGUUUGUUAACUCAAAUCCAACCUCAGCUCCACAACAUACAAGGCAUGGAAGAAUUCCCCAAUGGGCAACUUGACUGGGGCUACCUAAUUCACUAUCCUUGGUGGAGGGUUAAUGUAUUCAUAAUUUUUCCUGGUCCUAUGAAGCACGCUAGUGGGUUCCCUCACCACGGGGAGAACGGACUUUUGACAAGAGUACGGUAAUUUAAAAAAAUUAUUCUUAAAUUACCGUAGUAGGAAAAGUAAUUCCAAAUCUACGAUAGUUUUUGCCAGGUAGGAGAGCGGAGUUUGUCAAACUUGGAAAUCGUCUUUUGAAAAGACAAUUUCCAUCAUAACAAGUAAAAAAAAAUUUAAUCCCUCAAAAAUCGUCUUUUCAAAAGACGAUUUAAAAAAAAAAAUUUAAUUUUUUUUGGAAAUCGUCUCUUAAAAAAAAAUAAAAAUUAUUUAAGUGGAAAUCGUCUCUUGAAGAGACGAUUUCCACCCAAAUUUCAAUUUAAUAUAUUUUAAUAUCUUUAUAUUAUAAAAACAAAUAAUACAAUUUAAUAUAAAAAAAUAUUAUAAAUCCAUUUUAAAAUUACAAAAUUAAUUAUAAUCAUACAAUUAUUAUAAAAUUAAUUAAUUUAAUUUACUAAUUUUAAUAUAAUAUAAAUAAUAUUUAUCUAUUGUUUUUUUUUAUUUCACUUUGCAAUUAAAAAAAACUAUUAUCAAUUUAUAUAAAAAAAUGAGUUUAAAAAAGCAAAUUUGUUAUUAAUUUAUUAAAUAAUUAUUUACAAAAUAAAUAAUUUUGUUUUGUUUUAAUUUUUAAAUGAAUUAUAUUAUAUAAAUUUUAAGAUUAAAAAUAUUAAUAUUUUAAAUUAAUAUUUCAUAUGUUUUGAUAGCUCUUAUAACCUAUUAUACUUCAUCACACCAAUUUGAAGAAGACCAUUGGCUACCCUCUCAUAGCUAGCCCAUAGGUAUAGGAGAAUCUUACCUAUUGCAUGUGUUGUCAUUUUCACCCAUUUAAUACUUCAAUUUACUCCACCAAUUUGACCGUUAUACUCCACCAAUUCCAUUUGAAACUCAAACUUUAACCACUUAUCCUACACACUACACUCAUCCUACCUUUUUCCAACUUCUCAUACACUAUAAGUGGUUAACAUUUGAGUNNNNNNNNNNNNNNNNNNNNNNNNNNNNNNNNNNNNNNNNNNNNNNNNNNNNNNNNNNNNNNNNNNNNNNNNNNNNNNNNNNNNNNNNNNNNNNNNNNNNGGCGGAGUAUUAAAUGGGUGGAAAUGACAACACAUGCAAUAGGUAAGAUUCUCCUAUACCUAUGGGCUAGCUAUGAAAGGGUAGCCAACGGUCUUCUUCAAAUUGGUGUGAUAAAGUAUAAUAGGUUAUAAGAGCUAUGAAAACACAUGAAAUAUUAAUUUAAAAUAUUAAUAUUUUUAAUCUUAAAAUUUAUAUAAUAUAAUUCAUUUAAAAAUUAAAACAAAACAAAAUUAUUUAUCUUAAAACAAUAGAUAAAUAUUAUUUAUCUUAUAUUAAAUUAGUAAAUUAAAUUAAUUAAUUUUAUAAUAUAUAUUUAUAAUAAUGGUAUGAGUAUAAUUAAUUUUGUAAUUUUAAAAUGGAUUUAUAAUAUUUUUUUAUAUUAAAUUGUAUUAUUUGUUUUUUAUAAUAUAGAGAUAAUUAAAGAUAUUAAAAUAUAUUAAAUUGAAAUUUGGGAAGAGACGAUUUCCAUUUGGGAAUUUUUUUUUUAAGAGACGAUUUCCAAAAAAAAUUAAUUAAUUUUUUUUUAAAUCGUAUUUUGAAAAGACAAUUUUGUGAAUUUUUUUGUUGGGUGGAAAUUGUCUUUUCAAAAUACGAUUUUUGAGGGAUUAAAUUUUUUUUUUACUUGUUUUGAUGGAAAUCGUCUUUUCAAAAGACGAUUUCCAAGUUUGACAAACUCUGCUCUCCUACCUGGCAAAAAUUGUCGUAAAUUUGGAAUUACUUUUCCUAUUACGGUAAUUUAAGAAUAAUUUUUUUAAAUUACCGUACUCUUGUCAAAAGUCCCGGGGAGAACACUAACAACAAUAUCUUAUCAUUUGUUUUUCCUUCUUUUUUGUUUUUGUUUUUAUUUUAUUUUAUUUUAUUUUUUUUUAAUUUUGUAAAAUCAGAUAAUUGGAAGUAGUUUCUUUUUCUUUUUACAUUUUUUGGAGAGGAGAGAGGGGAAGGGAUCAGAAAUUCUGCCCUUUCUUUUGUGUAUUUUGGGAUUUUGGCACUUAGCAGUAGGCUUAAAAUGUUUUUCUCUCAUUGUGUGAAAAUCCCCAGAUGUAGAUAUAUUGAUGGAUGUAUUAAUGUCAAUGGAUAAAAAUAUAGAAUAAAGAAGUGCAGAAAGUGAUGUAAAAGAAAAAAUGAUGGAAACUGUACGGAAUGUUAAAAAAAGAGAGCUUCUAUGGACAUAGAAAGACCUAUUAUAUUUCAAAAGGAAACUUAUUCAUGGUUGAAGAGUGUUGUAUAUGGUUACUGAAAAUAAUUCCCAGUGAGUUUGUAUUGAGAUUCACAUUGGUUUGAAUGUAGUAAGAUCCUUUCUAUUAAGAUCUUUCUAUAAAUGAAAUUAUGAAUUAGGUUUUUUUUUUUGAUAAGCAAAUGAUAUAUAAAACACGACAAAAAGCCUCAAGGCAUAUAGGAAGUAUACAAAGCAACCAAUCCUCAAACAAAAAACAACACGAACCAAACCCUAUUUGGAGGCUAACCAUUCCAAGAAACCUAUUAGGGAUUUCGACUCCAUAUCAAUGUACACUUUAGCCCAACCCCAAAUAAUGUAUACAAGCGACGUUUUUAAUUUCUGAGAAGCCAACACCCCCCCUUUAAAAGUUAGUCUGUUCCUCUCCUUCCAUAUAGUCCAGAGAAUGAAUAACGGGAUGGACUUCCACACUUUUUUUCUUUUUCUCCCCACAAAAGAGCCUCUCCAGCUACUAAGGACCUCCUUUACAGAAUUUGGAAAGACCCACUGUACACCACACAAUGCAAGAAUGAUGUUCCACAACCCUUUUGCCACUAUACAAUGUAUUAAUAUAUGAUUGAUCGUUUCCUCUUCGCACCCACACAAAAAACACCGAUUAGGUAAAUGCCACCCUCUUCUCUGCAGCCUAUCCAAAGUGAGGACCUUCCCCCAAGUAGCUUCCCAAGCAAAAAAGGCAAUUUUGGUUGGGACUUUGUCCACCCAAACAUUGCUAUGAGGGAAAUCCAGCCCUUGAGAAUUUACCAACACAUUAUACGCUUUCUUGACUUUAAACAACCCGUCCUCACCCUUCUUCCAAAAAACCGAAUCGUCUUCCACAUUUACACUAUAAUCCCUCAACUCAACUAAGAGAUUGCCCACCAAACCCAACUCCCAAUCAUUCAAAUCCCUUAACAGCCUUAAAUUCCACCCUCCUUGACCCACAUUCUGAUCCCAACAUUCCUCCACCGUGACAUUCCUAUGGGCAGCCAUGGAGAAGAGGUUCGGAAAGCCUUGGGACAGCACAUUGUUACCGCACCAAAGGUCAGUCCAAAACCUUAUUCUAUUGCCUUUUCCCACCUUGAACCCCAUAUUUUCCCAGCACCAAGUGGACUCCUUCAGAAUCUCCUUCCAAACUCCAACACCGAACGCCCCAUUUGCCUUCCUUGUCCUCCACCCAAGCUCCUCUUUCCCAUACUUAGCCUCAAGCACUUUUUUCCAAAGCUCCUCCUUAGCACACGCAAAUCUCCAAAUCCAUUUGCCUAGGAGAGCUUUGUUCAAUAGAGUAAUUUUCCUUAGCCCCAACCCUCCCUUAUCUUUAUCCGCGCACACCACCUCCCAUCUAACAAGAUGAACCUUACUCCCCCCAUUGGCUCCGCCUCACAAAAAAUCUUUUUGAAGCUUUUCAAUCCUUCUUGCCACUGAUUUAGGCAUACGGAAAACCGACAUUUGAUACACGGGGACGCUGGACAGUGUACUCUUUAUAAGAGUAAUUCUCCCACCUUUGGAUAGAUAUUGACGUUUCCAAAGGGCGAGCCUUCUCCUCAUUCUCUCCUCCACCCCAUCCCAAGCAGAGGAAGCCCUAUUUGGUGCCCCAAGGGGCAGCCCCAAGUAAACAGUAGGCAGCUGCCCCACCCUGCACCCAAUUUCAGCCGCCAUUUCCAUCACCCCUUCCACCCCCCCUACCGGAAUUACCUUACUUUUGUCCAAGUUAAUCUUUAACCCUGAGGCUGGUUCAAACCAAAAUAGGAUCCAGCCCAAAUACAAAAGAGCCUCUUUCUUAGCUUCGCAAAAAACAAUUGUGUCGUCCGCGAAUAGAAGAUGAGUAAUUUUAACAGCCUGCUCUCUACCUCUCCAUAUCCUGCAGCCCUGGAUGAAUCCCCCUUCAGCAGCCCUAGUGAUGAGCACACUUAGGACUUCCAUGCCCAUGAUAAAUAAGUAGGGGGAAAGGGGGUCCCCUUGCCUUAACCCUUUUGUGCUUGAGAAAAAACCAGCUGGGACCCCGUUCACCAGCACUGAGUAUUUGACAGUGGAGAUGCAAUUCCACAUCCAUCCUAUCCAUUUUGACCCAAAACCCAUCUUUUGCAUGACCUUUAGCAAGAAUUGCCAAUUGAUGCUAUCAUACGCCUUCUCAAUGUCCAAUUUACAAACUAUACCUUUCUCUCCCCUCUUUUGCCAAGAAUCUAUCACCUCAUUUGCGAUUAUGAAUUAGGUUUUUUGGAAUGGCUUGCCAUUCCUUAAGGGUUGGUGAGUGUGUUGUUCUUUUGUUUUUGCUUAGGCUGCUAUGUAUACUUCCUAUAUGCUUUGUGGCUUUUUGCCUCUUAAUAUAUUUGCGCUCACUUAUCUAAAAAAAAAUAAAUGAAAUUAUGAAUUAUUUUCCAAAUUGCAGCAGUUUGAUGUUGUCAUGGUUUAGAAGCAAAGAAUUGGUUAUAGACAGUGAUACUUUAGUAUCUUUGGAAUUUUUGAUAUCUCAAUCUCAGUUGAAUAAACCAUUUAUAUUGUGAGCAAAUUAUUACAUGUGGCAUUGAAUCUUGGAAUUUUUUGCCAUUCCAAAGUUAUUGCAAGACACAUGUAAAAUAAUAGAAAGAAGUCACUAAAUGUUCAGAGCACUAAUGUAUCUUCUGAGCAUCCUGUUCCAACAUUUCUUGAUUGUAAAAGUUUUGUGUAUUAAACUAAUGUUUGUCCCCAGUGUUUAGCAUCCCUUCAUUUUGUGUGUAUGAUUUCAUAUACAAUGUUUUAAAAGACUAUUAACGCUUAUGUCUUGAGGCUCACCUCUAGGUGAGGGUAUAGCCUCAGUUAGGGUAUUGAGGCUUAAGUCUCAUCUUGUCAAGGCUGAGCCUAGAGGCUGUUGAGGCAUAAGUCUGAAACAUUCAAAAGCUUUUUGAUAUAUAUUUUAUAAAAGGCUCAAAGCCUUAAUAUUCAAUGAGUUUUGGUGGGGGUCUUUUGAUACAAAUUUUAUAAGUUUUGCAUUGGUUUCAAUCUACAAUUAGACCUUGUACUGGGACCUCCUCAAUACCUACAGUUUAGAUGAGAUUAGAGUCAGUUUAGAAAAACCCGUAGCUGUUGGUUCGAUAGAAACUGGAGCUGUCAACUUAUGGCACUUCAAAGUGGAAUCUGCAUCUUUUUCUCUUUGUUUACAGAGGGAUUAGUGGAGUGUGCUUCGGUCUUGGUCUAGAGUGCUUCCUUCUGCGCCUUGGUUAGCCUCAGUUGAAUUUCAAUUAAUCUUUUAAAUAGAAGGGAAAAGGAAGAUUGAGAAAAAGAAAUUGGGGAAUUUUUGGCCACUAUAGCGGCCAAGCUUGUAUAUAAUCAUUAUCUUAUUAUUAAUAAAUAAUGAAAAAUACCACUACAAUUGAUGGAUGAAGCAGAAUGAGUGGACAUUAACACUAAUGAUGAGGAUAAUACAACAAUUUGAUAUGAUUAUAGAUCCUUGGAGGAUACCACAAUUGUAGUGAUGGUAAUGCUGAAGAUUAUUUAAUGAAAGCUAUGGGAGAGUUGGAUUUUAGAAGAGAAGAAAAAAGGAACUAAAUCAGAUAUUAUCAACAAUGGAAAACAAUUAAUUUUGUUAUUAUGAAUUUUAUGGGUUUCUUAUUACUUAAUUUUCAUGUGAUUUUAUUAGUUUUUUUUUCUCAUUAUGUUUAGAAUUAUUUAUUUAUUUAAAUCGAGCCUCAUGCCAUUCUAUCUCAAGACUUACACCUUGCCUCAUGUAGCAAAAACACCUUAAGACUACUUUUAGCUUUUUAAAACACUGCUCAUAUACAUGUGUAAUGCUUGAGCUACUAGAUUGUGCACCUCCUUGCUUUUUUGUAUUUCCAUAGUAUCUGUUGUAUGUGAUUAUAUUUAGUCAGUAUACACAUGUUGGAUCAUCAAAGUGCCAUCAUGUAUAUGAUUCUCAUAUCCAUGCAUUUCUAGUUCUAUCAUCUUGCCUCCUCGUAUUGUGUGUUGCCAUAGUAUCUGUUUAAUUCAAUAAUAAGCAUAGACUAUGCACAGAUUGGGUCAUCAAAUAUCACACCAUUAACUGAAGGAGUGUGGAUUUGAUGAGUUGACUCUUCUAUGUAUAUUCGAUUUUUAAAAAAUGCAUUAUUAGGAUCUAUUUUUGCAUGGGAAGAGUAGUUGGAAUUUGAAACAAAUGCAUUCAUAGGAAGUUAGUGGUAGCACAAGUAGAGGGCAUUGUCCUGGAAAAUCUUCUUCAAUGGUUUGUCAUGUGCAAUGAAGCCAUUUACCCAUAGGAGAGGUAAUUUUAAAUCCAAGGUGCUAUUAAGACAAUGGAAAGGUUGACAAGCAUUAGUCGUGCGAGAAAAACAAAAUGCAUUAUAUCUGGUCCUAGAUAGAGCGUACUGAUGAAAAUGGAUUUGUCUAGUUGGCUCCAGAUAGUUGGGCUUUUUUUGGUUAUGUUGAGUUGCAUUGCAUUAGUAAGAUCUGUAGAGCAUUACAGUUUAUCAGCUACCAGGUAGGUAAACAAUAAAUGAUGAGAGAAUUAAGAAACAAAUAGUUGGUAAUGAGAUUUGGAGGAACUGAGCUAUUGUAAUUUGGAAAGCAAAAUUUUUUUGUUCCUCUGAAUCAAGCUAAGUGGCAUAUGCUGACAAUGGAAAGGUUGACAAGCAUUAGUCAUGCGAGAAAAACAAAGUGCAUUAUAUCUGGUCCUAGAUAGAGCGUACUGAUGAAAAUGGAUUUGUCUAGUUGGCUCCAGAUAGUUGGGCUUUUUUUGGUUAUGUUGAGUUGCAUUGCAUUAGUAAGAUCUGUAGAGCAUUAUAGUUUAUCAGCUACCAGGUGGGUAAACAAAAAAUGAUGAGAGAAUUAAGAAACAAAUCGUUGGUAAUGAGAUUUGGAGGAACUGAGCUAUUGUAAUUUGGACAGCAAAAUUUUUUUGUUCCUCCGAAUCAAGCUAAGUGGCAUAUGCUGAGUUUAUUUGAGAAAAAUUGCUGACUUGGGGUGCUUUGCUGGAGUGCCUUGUUUUAAUAUAUUGCUUUUUACCCAUCAAAAGAAAAUUUGAGAAAAAUUGCUGACAAGUUGGGCUCAUCUUCAGCAUUUCAUGCCUAAUGAGGAGGUUGAGCUUGAGCUUCAUAUCAUACCAUAUGCCUCAGCCAAACCACUCUGCUUGGCUUCACAAAUUUACUUCAUGCCAUUAUAGUUGACACCAAUUCAGAAAAGUAUUCUAAUUGGCUAGCUAAGCUUUAACUGCCUUCAUGAGCGAUGCUGACUUGUUCCCUUCGUUGUUGUUUGGUAACAGGUACUUAUAUUGAUAAGAAAUGCCCCUUCACUGGCACUGUUUCUAUUAGGGGCCGCAUCUUAGCUGGCACUUGCCAUAGUGCCAAGAUGAUGAGGACCAUAAUUGUUCGAAGGAACUACCUUCACUAUGUGAAGAAAUACCAAAGGCAUGUUCCUCCAGUUAUAGUUGUGAAUGGGUAUUUUUACUUUCCCCAGAAUUUGCUUUUCAAGUAGUUGACCAUUUUUUCUUCUUUGCUGCAUUCAGAUAUGAGAAGAGGCACUCAAACAUUCCUGCUCACACAUCGCCAUGCUUCCGUGUGAAGGAAGGAGAUCAUGUUAUUAUUGGCCAGUGCAGGUAAAUCUUCAAUUGAAACUACCUCCAGUUUGUCCUUCCAAUAAAAAGUUGAUUUAGAGGGUGGUGAACUCUGUGUUUGUUACUGAACAUAAUGUUGUUUCUUUCUAUAUUUUCCUUAUUCAGGCCACUAUCAAAGACAGUAAGGUUCAACGUUUUGAAAGUGAUUCCUGCUGGAUCUUCUGGUGGAGGUGGGAAGAAGGCUUUUACUGCAAUGUGAAGUUUGGCUUCUAGUUGUCAGUGUCAAGGGUAAACAUCAUGGAGCUUGAGAGGGUUGGUUAUAUGAGAGUAGACCUUUGCAAUCUUGAACAGCUUCAAGAUUGAAAUAUUUUGAUGGAUUCUUUUUCUUUUUUCCUUAAAUUAAAUGUUGGAGUUUUUGAAGAUGCCCAAUGGCAUAUGGAUUACAAAUAGGAUGAAGAUCUAUGAUUUUUUGGAUUCCACAGAAUUAGUUGCCUCAUUUGUCAAGUGGCUCUUGGAUGAAUGUGAUUCCAAUUCUUGGAAAUGCAUGAAUGUUGGCACCUGGUUCUCACGGUGUCCUUCAAUGGCUGAGGACAGCUAUGAACAACAGACUACCCAGGGUUGCUAAUCUUGUCCAUUUGCAGCUGGAAACAGGGCAGGAAGUCCUUUGUUUUCCACCAGCAAUGAAUGGUUAGCCCAUUUUCAGAUGUACUUUUGAUGUGGAGGAGACAACGAGACAUUGUUUGGACUUUAUCACAGCUUGCACUGCAUGCACAUGCUCAUGUUUGUGCACAUGGAAUUCUGCUGGUAUUGUGUUCGUGUAGAAAAUAAUUUUGACCUAGUCACCAGCUGCACCAUAACCCUUCUAACCCCAUACUUCUCUGAUUCUCAAAACACUUGCUUAUCAUACCUUCAAUUUCAUCAGAAUUUGAUGGGAGUUAAAUCACUUGAAAUUAUUUCCGUUACUGAUACGCAAUUAUUUUGGCCCACUGUGAAUGGUAUGGAAUGCACUCAUCUCCAUGUGAAUACUGAUUGGGAGGUCUAGGUCUAGGUCUAGGUGUAGCUAGUUUGUGAUAAGGUUAGAACUUGGAAUUUGAAAAUAUGCCGAUGAGACAAGCAAGUCCGACAGGUUAAGAGAAGGUUCCUCCAAUUUAAUAGCCAUACGUAGGUAAAAUAUACAUACCUUUACCAAAACGCACCACUACAUUGGAUGUUUCCCACCCUUUUGAUUCUCCCCUUUUGACUCAUGGUUCAGCACUUUAUGAUGAAUACGCAAAUUCCUAUUGUUGCCACAUUUUUUUACUGUGGCAUGGUGUGGAAAAUGUGUGGCUCUCGCACCACUUUUCGUGUUGUUGACUCAAGAUUGAGAGGUUAUUAUUACUUGUUUGGCCAGCUCAUUUCCAGAAAUAAACAUUCACGAAUCGUGUUCACACCCUGUUCUGGGCCUUCUAGCGCUCCAAAAACAGGUCUUGUCUCCACAUUUGAUGACUCUCCUGCAGCAGCAGAAAUAGUUGACUCUGGCCACCAUCUUCCAUCAAAAUUCAUUUAUUAUGAGACAGAGGGUGAUUGAUGGCCAUUGAUUCUAUCUUAAUCUAAUGCAUUGUCAUUUAUCAUGGUCGCGAUCUGGCUGGAUAGUGGAUACUAAUAGCCAACCAUGAAAUCAUUUUGGUCAGACACUAUCCUUUUGUUAUUGGGUAUCUUCAGCUUUUGGUGAGGUUUGGUUGCGAAUUUGCUUAGACCAAGCCACUUUUGGCAUCUCGCCUUCAUUUUCUCACGCCCCAGAAGAAAAUGUUUUCUUAUUAAAACAGUUAUAAUCAAUAGGGUCCACACAAUUGGAAUUUCCUUUGGUAAAAGAAGGCCAUGAUUUGGUUAGAAGAAAGAAAGCAAAAAUUGUUUCCCCACCCUUCAUUUUCUUAAUGGGGCUGUUGGGGAUAUAUGUGGAGAGACAAUGUCCAAGAAUCAAUGGUUAAAACCUAAACAGAGCAAAAGCAUUGAGUGCAUUUAUGCCAAAAGGCAACUGUCUUCUUCACCAUUACCUGUAGUGACUUGUGACUUUGAUCGGAUAGUAUUAUGCCACGUCAUACUCCACCACGUUGGUCUUUCCUAUACCACGUGUCACUUUAGUCCUACCAAAUUGAGGAAAUAAAAAGAUUCCUUUUGAUUUGCCACCAAAUAAAUAACAAAAUAAUACAAAAUUGAGAAAAGUAUUCCCAUUCGUAGGGUUGGUCCCUCGUAUUCUAAUGACCCCAAGACAAAGUUGGAAUCUUAACAGCAAUUUAGGUUUUCCACUAUUCAAUUAAUUUCACGUGCCAUGGUUGCUAACUCGUAACUCGGUUACUCGACUCAACUCAAAAUCUGAACAACCAGGUUCAAUUAUUCUUAAUUUUUACAAAAUUAUUUUUAAAAUAUACUUUAAUGCUACCUCUAUUAGUAUGGACUUCUAAAGUAUACUCACUCUCAUAUACUUUAAUUUAUUUCUAAUUUGUAUGGUAUUUUAUGAGUUAACCCAUUGGAUUCACCUUGAAGAGGGGGUUGAGGUAACUCGGCCGGGUUUCUAUCAGGCAGUCCAAAUUUUGGAAGAUGGGCAGAAGACAAAGUGAAGAACAAUAAUAUAAGAAAAAGGUGGUGGUGGUGGUUUGUGAGGGCUGAGGGGGAGUUGCAGAAAGCCAUCAAAGUAAAACUUGAGCUAAGAAAGUGGGGAGGGAGAGAUAUUUUGAGAGAGAGAGAGAGAGAGAGAGAAGAUUAUGGGACGAGUAGCUUUUUUGUAGAAAGCAAAAAAGAGAAAUCUAAGGUCACCGUCUUCCACGGCAUUGCUCAUUGGCCCACUCUCCUCCACCCCACGUCUUUUCAUUCACACUAGCACCGUGAUUGCCCCCAAGACCUCAUUUUCAAAGGCCUGCUCACAUAAUUAUCCCUAAAAAUAUAGUAACAUCCACUGAUUGGACUUCCAGAUAUUCUUCUCCAACAUUUUUAAAAACACAUCGCCCUCUUUAUCUUUGUUUGUUGCAAAUUGCAAUUGCAUUAAUUUAAUCAGUUUUCAGGGUGAUGACAUCCCCCAAACAACACCUCAUUAUCACUUUGGAAAAUAAAAAAUCAAAAAAUAAAAAUGCCCAAAGAUACCAAACCCCUCAACUUGCAUAAAUAAUGGAAGGGAAGGGAAGGGAAGGGAAGAAGGGAUGGGAAUCCAAGCCUCUGAACCUUUAAAGGGUUUCUUUAUUCCACAACAAAUCUGCAAAUUUACAUGCUGUAGAUGGGUAAAAAGUAAAAACACAAGGGCAUUGGGGCACUGAUUUAAUUGGUUUUUCAGAUGUCCAUUACAUCCUAUAAUUGUAAAGCAAUCAUUGAAACUUCUUAAUCUCUGUUUGGAAUUUUCUCAUCAGCUCACCUACCUUUCUCAGAUAUUAUUAGAUAAGGCUAUAUAUGGUUGUACUUGUACCUUCUUCCCCAUGAAUUUAAAAUCAAUUCAAAGCAUUAGAUUGAAGGGGCAAAUUUUAUUUGUACUUAGCUUUCCUCUUCGUAUUUGCUUUUUCUUUCAAGACAAAUAAUCAUUGCUUCAAACUCAGACUGAAGUCUCAAUACAAUCAUAUUGAUUGGAUUUGUACCACGGUUUGAUUACAGGACUUCACUCCAAAAUUUUGGUAAAUUCAAAAGGAAAAUCAAGGGAAAUUUGAAAUUUCUCCUUGGAUUUCUUCAAAUAUCAAUUCAAUUAUACUUAGAUCUAAAAAGAUUAUCACAGAUCCCAACCCACAAAAAUAAAAUCAAAUAAAUUAAUACCAUGAAUUUUUAUUUUUUAUUUUUUUUAAAAAAACAUAGUGGGUAAUGAUGUCAUUCAAAUAUGCAGCCGGAUAUGACUAAGAUUUCAAAAUAAUAAUAUAAAUAAAUAAAUAAAAGAAAAAAAAAAAGUGUCACCAAACUUAUUUUCAGCCACGCUUUCGUAGAAAAAAAAUCUGGAAUUAACGGCUCUCUUUCUCUGUAAAACACUCUGUAGAUUUCCAUUUGUGAGGAGCUAUAAAAGAGAGCCACCAUUUGUCUGUCCAAGAAAGAUUUCCAACAUAUUCUGAGAAUCUUCCUCCCACAAUCCCAUUAUUUUUUCAGAGUCUCUCUGCUUCUUCUCAUAACUUGAGCGAUUCACCAUGUGUGUCAAGGACUCUGAACAGGUCUCUGAAGAAAUGGAGAAUUCUAGUCUAAGUGAUCAUGAUGCCACCAAGUUGGGUAAUUCAUUUCCGGUGAGAGUUUUAUUCAUUUGUUUGUUCGAAUUUUUGGAGUUUUUCGUUCUUGAAGACCCCUUUGGUGGGAGUAUGCUUGUGAGUGUUUGUUUUCUUUCCGGGAGAAAAGGUUGAUGUGGGUUUUUUUGUGUUUUUUGUUAUGUUUGGGUGCUCGGAAAAGAAUGGAAAAGAGAAAGGAAUUAAAAUUCGAAUAUUGAAGCAAGCGAGCAUAGGAUUAUUUUUAUUUCACUUUGUUGUUUUGCUUCUGUGGAAGACACAUUUGGUUGGAAUUGGUUUCUGGAUGUCUGUUUUUUCUAUGCGAAUGAUGAUCGAUAAGGUUUUUGUUUUAUGCUUUCCAAGAAAGAGUAGGAAAUGCAACUGGAAUUGGGUUUAGCUUGUUCAUAAAACCGGUUCCAAUUUUCGAUUUUCUCUUCUUUUCAUCUGUUUUUCGGCGACGAAACCGAGGUUAACUUUCCUGUGCUUAUAUAUAUAUUUUUCCCUUCCGUUUAGAAUUCCCUUCUUUUCUUUUCUUUUUCUGUGUGUGUGGCGAGACGAGAGGAGAAGGAAUCAUACAAUCCUCCUUUAUGCUCUGUUUGGCUGCUGAGAAAUGGGCAGAAAAAGAAUGGAAGUUGGAAGUUUUGAAUCUUAGAUUUUUAUUGAGGCGGAUUAUUCUAUUUCGGUCAUUGGUUUCUUCUGAAACCAAAAACAGUCCGGGAGCAUAUGAGUUUGUCCCUUUCUUUUCUUUCCAUCAGUUUCCUCAGCACCCUGAUGGAUUUUAUUUCCUUUAUCUGUGAUUAAGAUGCGUUCCUAUUUUUGUGAACUGUUCCUGGUAGAUGGAUGUUUAGCUUGAGUUGCUUACUGGCAGGUGGGAGAAACUAACCAUCUGUGAUUUAUUAUGCUGAAUUGACUAUUUGGUGUUGCUUUCAUAUUCAAUUGGACCGACAAGUCAUUGGUCGGAUUGUAUGGGUUAGGUGCUGGGAGAGGUUAGAAAUUCUAAACUCCUUAUAGGCAUUAAUGACAACGGGUUAAGGCGGCGCCCUUCCAAAACCUUUACCUUCAUUCUAAUUUUUUUUUCAUCAGUUCAGAUUAGGUUGAUGAGAUUAUGGAAUUUUCUUUUUCUUUUUUAUUUUUUUUCAGAGUAAGAACCAAAAUCAUGUAUUCUAUAUGAACAUUUUUUUCCCUCACUCUGAUUGCUUUCCCAAUUAAUUGGUGGCUAUCAAUUUGGACUUCAUUGAUCCCAUUGUGUUAAGCCUAUCUUCAUCCUUCCUGGUUUUUUUUCCUUUUCUGAAUUCUGUGGUUGCAUCUUUAUUGAAUCAGAUCCUUAUACUUUUCUGGUGGAAUUAAAUUUUCUUCUCAAAGCAUCUUAAACGGCCACUUCUAACUAACUGGUGGUUGGAGGAGGUGAUGGUGCAACUUCCUCUAAGCAGCCCUUGGCAUCCAUUGAGGCCGAGUACAAUUAUUUGAAUAUUUUAUUCGACUUUUUCCUUUUUACUCUCAGCCGACAUCUCACAGUUCAGUGAAACAUUAACUUAAUUCAACUCAAGAAAGCCUUAGCUAAAGAGGCUAAACCGAAUCUCUUUUUCACCAUUAUGCUCUGUCUGAGGUCGCGUUCAAUACAGCUAAAAAUGCUAAGUUAAGAGGGUUUUACACUGGUUGGAAGCAUAAGGUAGCAUGUUUUCCUCCGAGUCCUGGGAACAACUGUUUAAAUACAUCACACGCUAACCCUUAUAUCGACAGAGCUUGAUCAAUUCUUGUAUGCUGUUGGAAAUUUCGACUUCAAAUAGUUGCAAUUUAAGGCUCUUUGGUUACUGUUGUAGAAAUCCUGUGUCCAAAUGGCAGUACAGGAGAAAGAUGAGUUUAGGAACUGCGUUUGAUAUUUUAUACAGGCUCUCAAUUGAGGCUUUCUUUUGGUCACAUGGAACAAGCACUUGGGUUGCGUGGACCCAUAGACUUAGUCUCUGUCAUGCUGUGUAAACUAUUAUGUUUUGUUUGAGGCACUUUACUUAGAUUUCUCUUUACUGUUGGUGAUCGGUUUGUGUUACUCCUCAGUAACUUGAAUUUUUGUAGCAUAAUCGUAUUUAUUUCAUUUAUUGAGAUUGCACCUUCUUCCAGCCAAAGGUUAUACUGGUUGGUGAUUAGUAAAAUGAACGAUGACUAAUUCUCUUAAAAAAUUGUCUAUGAACUAGUCCGAUGAUUUACCACUUAAAAAUGAGUUAACUUAGUUUCAACAAUACAUCAAUAAAUAAAAGUAACUUUGUUCAUUUUCGGACUUAAUCUUAUCCUGUAACUUGUUUUUGCUUCCAGCUGCAAAGCAUUUCAGAAGAUAAAGUGGCUUCAGACAAAGAACAGAACCUGGUAUCCAUCUUUGUCCCUGCUCUUCGAUCAGGGGAGUGGUCUGAUAUUGGGGGUCGGCCCUAUAUGGAGGACACUCACAUAUGCAUCAGUGACCUGGCUAAGAAGUUCAAUCAUAAUUUGCUUGAUAAGGAAGCUAUAUCCUUCUAUGGUGUAAGUUCUUCACCCUAGUUAAGUUGAAUGUGUGUUGUUCCUGUUGUUUCAAUCUGUCACAUGCAUUUUUUGUUUUUUUAGCAUGAUCUCCUGCUAGAUUAUAAACAUGAAUCCUUCUUUCUUGAUGAACUCUUUUGUAUGAAAACAAAAAUAUGGAGAUUUUCAGUUCUGGCACUAAUUUGACGGGAUUAUUCAGCAUAGCUUGCCUACUUGGAAAUGCAUAGCAGGCUUAGGGGUCACACACUGAAGUCAUAGGGAGAAAUGCUGUGGUUUCUGUUUUCCUUUUCUAAUUUCUAAUUGUCAGUUUAAACUAUAAUGUUUGGUUGAAGGGGUCUUUAAAAUUUUAAAUAAAUUGGAACUUUCUUGUUGCUUCUAGGCAUGUUUGGAGGUUGAUAGACCUUGUCUUUUAUAGGAAAUGAAAUCUAGAGAAAUUCAAAAGUUGAUAAACCUAAAAUAUCAUGUGGAUGAGAAUUAGCUACCUUUGUUCUGUCCUUGGUAAUUUCGAGUUAUAGCUUGUUGAUCAGAUAGCUGCAUCUUGUUCUAGUUUGGGAGUGACCAAGGAUGGAAAUAACCUGAAUAUAGUUGGAUGUAGAAGCAUUUCAUUAAUCCUUUCUUUUGGUACGAGGUACAUGACAGCCAUGAAAUUGACAUUGCAAAUAAAUAUAAUUGUGGUUUUAUCAGCGCAAGCCUUAGAACUAUGUUGUUUCACAAGCUGUCGGAAAAGGAGCAAAAUAUAUGUUUGUAUGACUAAGACCCUAGCACUCUGAUUUGAAAUAGAAGGUUUAGUUUUUGAUAUCUGCCUGCCAAACAGUAAUUUAAUGGAAUCACUUUUAAGCAUGGAAAAAAAAUAGAGAAAAAGUGGAAAAGAUAAGAAUGCUAGACUAAAGGAGUAAAAUUGCAGAUGUUUGACUCAGCUCUAGGAAUCUAAAAUAGCAAUGGUUUUGAAUAACAGGUAUUUGAUGGUCAUGGAGGAAAUGCUGCAGCGCAGUUUGUCCGUGACCACUUGCCAAGGGUCAUUGUCGAGGACGCUGAUUUCCCCUUAGCACUGGAGAAGGUAGUUAUGAGGUCAUUUAUAGAGACAGAUGCUGAAUUCGCAAAGACAUGCUCUCUUGAGUCUUCCCUGUCUUCUGGCACAACUGCACUUACAGCGAUGAUAUUUGGGAGGUAAGCUUCUCCCAUCAUUCAGUGCUAUUUGGAUUUUUUCUUUCUUUAUAGUUGGGAUUCCUUAUGCAAUUAUGUGAUCAAAUAAUCUAUGGCCAUUAAAUAAAGUAGAGUUGCAGUUGUGCAACCUGUAAAAGGGUGUAAAGGUGGAUUGCUGAGUUGAGAAAAACUGAAUCAAUUGAAGAAGAGCAUGAUGACAACCAAAAACCUUCACACCUUUCGGAAUUGUUGAAUCAUUUCCAAUGGUGCAUCUGUUUGCUUCCUCUCAUGGAAAUUUUUUUUAAGAAUGAAGUGAAGGUCUUUUUUCCAAUGACUGUUCUUUGGUUGGCGUGAAUUUGUGAAGUUAACUUUUUCUGUGAUGAUAAUACCGUACAUUGUGCCAUGCAUUAUAGAUUCUAUUCUGGGCAGGUCUUUGCUUGUGGCAAAUGCUGGGGAUUGCCGGGCAGUGCUGUCACAGCUCGGAGUGGCUAUAGAAAUGUCGAAAGAUCACAGGCCAUGCUGCACAAGAGAAAGGAGCAGGAUUGAGUCCCUGGGUGGAUACAUUGAUGAUGGGUAUCUAAAUGGUCAGAUAUCCGUCACCCGUGCGCUUGGUGAUUGGCACCUUGAAGGACUGAAAGAUAUUGGUGAAAGGGGUGGACCUUUGAGUGCUGAACCAGAACUUAAACUAAUGACACUAACCAAAGAACAUGAGUUCUUAAUCAUAGGCAGUGACGGAAUCUGGGAGGUGUUUAGGAGCCAAAAUGCAGUAGAUUUUGUCCGGAGGAGACUCCAAGAGCACAACGAUGUGAAGCUAUGCUGCAAGGAAGUAGUUGAGGAAGCAAUUAAGCGUGGAGCAACAGACAAUCUCACGGUUGUGGUAGUGAGUUUUCACUCUGAGCCACCACCACUGAAGGAGGUGGUACGAAGGGCAAGAGUGACAAGAAGCAUUUCAGCAGAGGGGCUUCAAAAUCUCAGAUCUCUGUUAGAAGGAUAGAAGUUUAUUUCACUUAUUUUUAAGUGAAGGAGAGAACCAAUUGAAUAAUUAAUCACGUAGCUAAUAAGCGGAUAUUUGGUAGAGGCCUGCUUGUAUAUACAUUCAUUCGGGAAGUAGAUGAUAGAAACUGCAUCUUCUUUCUUCUUUACCACUGGAGCUCCAUUUGAUUUUCAGAAAGAUGAUGUUUGUAAUGAUUUCUCUCUUGCUGUCUUAUUGACAAUCAAAUGGAGCUUUAGAAUGGUUGAAGGGAGAUGAGUCAUUCCAAAGUGCAGGGGAGUGGGGGACUUUGAUCUGUAAACGGUUGUGAUUCUAGAACUGUAUGUAUAAUCCCUUCUUGGUCAUAUAAAAAUGUGUACAUAUUCAGUACCCUUCGACAAUAUAAACAUUUUUAUUCCUCUUUUUUCGGUUUAGGUUGAGUGGGGCGCAUUUGUAAUUCAGCAGCUCAAAAGGUGGAAUGUGAUUCACAGGUGCAAGGGUAAGUUGUUUGACCGCAUAUUAGCAGCUCAUACCCUGAACAAUCAACUGUCCCAAUGCGUGGUGUGUUCAAGGUUGCAGUUGAUUCAGCAAGUCUUCCAAAUCAAAGCAAAGAGGGCCCAGAAAGAGUAUGUAAAUCCCAACAUGCAUUUGUGUGCAUUUCUCAUAAUCAUACAAAAGAUGGAACCAUUUCAUUGCAAAUCCAAUUGCUCAAUACACAUAUCAGAUUUUCUGAAGAAGCAGUAGAAAGAGUGGAGCACAUUACUAUUGAAUUCCCUUCUUUCCCUUUCAUCGCCAUCUUAACAAUAAAAUAUUCUAAUAGUCGCAGAGGCACAAUUGAAGCAAGCAAAAUUCUCAAAAAUUCUAAUAACAGGUUUUCGUUUUUAAAUGUAAAACAUGGCACAAUGUAGCAAUGGAGGUGAAAAGCUAAUACCCUUUUUUGCCUUCCACAUUGCGAAAUGGUAGCACAAGCAGCUUCACCCAGUCCCCACUGCAUAAAUGUUGAUAAAAAGAAUCUAAGCAGAACCGGUCCCAUGUUCUCCAAUAAUGAGAACCAGCAUAAAGUUCAAAGCAUCAACAGAUGAGAUUUGGUGCCUCAUUGUCUCAUCACAUGACACCCGCAUGCAUACAUACACCAUUAGACUGCAAGGUCAGAAGCGCAGUGACUUGACUCAUUCUUCCUUCUCCAUUGUCAAAUUUCAGUGGCACCAUUCUGGUGACUAUUAAUCUCUGGCUUUAUACUUCAAGUUGGCAGUACUCUGCUACAGGACACAAUGAUAACUAGGCUGUUUUUCACAUGAGAUGCCCUUUACAAGAUCUCGGCAAACUAUAGGUAUAUCUGAGCACUUUUUGAAAGUCUUGGGACAUAUGCUCAAAACCUGCCAUUUAAGUCAUAGUUAGCUAGUUGUAAUUACUAUAUUUUGAGAAAAGUGUGAUCACCUAUGAACUUUGUUCCAAAUAUGGAAGCUAAUGGCCUGUUUAGCAACUGUUUUUUAGAACAGUUUUUUGUUCUUCGGAACAAAAAAUCAGAAAAACACGUUUGACAAUAAAAAACUGUUUGUUGUUCUAAAGAACAAAAAACAAGGUGUUUUCAAAUAACUUUAUUUAAUUGUUUUCUGUUAUUUUUAGUUGUUUUCUAAGGGUUGUUUUAAAAAAAUAAUUAUACAAAUAUGCAAAAUGAUUAAAAAUAAAACACUAGAAAUAAAACUUAUUUUAAAAAUAUUAAAAAUAGGUCAAAUACAUUUUAGUUUUUCAAACAAACUUUUAUUCUACAAAACAUCAUAAAAUAGUUUUCAAAAAUUGUUUUAAAAAAUAUUUUAGAAUAGUUUUCGAAAACAGUUAUCAAACAAACCCUAAGAAUCAGACAAAAGUCUGUAAUUGAUUAAAAAUAAAUAAAUAAAUAAAUAAAGUAAAAACAAAUAAUUAAAAAUUAAAAUUAAAAAAAUAAAAACCAAGAAGAAGAAAAAGAAAAAACAUUGAAAGGAGAGCUAUGAAAAUUCUAUAUUUAGAAAAAGAAAAAAUGUACAUAUGGAACACAUGCAAAUUCUGGGAAUAACAAAGCGGAAGCAGAAAAAAAGUGCAGAAACUUUGCUAAAUUUACCUUUCUCAUGAUUUAAAGAUGAGUGUGGCCGAUCAGUUCUGUUCCAUAACCUGUGUUCAUAUAUACCACCCUACACAAACAAAACCAAACCAUCAUUAACUGCACCAGUUUUACUACCUGGGUCAGCCAAGAAAAAAACAGAUUGGUUGGGAAUGCUCCAGCCUCUGGAGCAAGAAAAUAGGGAAACAAAAUGAAAAGCACAAACCCAGCACAAAAAACAGAAAUUGCACAACUAAACUACAAAAGGAAGGCCCUAAAGAACUGGGAAGAGCUCAAGACACAAACAGAGAGUAUUAGAGAGAUAUCCUUAUUUCUAGGGAAAGAAUGCUCCACCAGCUCAAAAGCCCUACUCUAUUUCAAUAGAGGAGCUGUCUUCCAUAAUAUCCUCUUACCUUCCUAACAACCUCCCAUGACGCCUCUUAAAAAUCUCCAUUCACCAUUGCGACCCUACGAAAAGAAAAAAAAGAGAGCAAACACCAGCUACAAUGGAGAAGAGGAUAAUUCACUGUUUCCUCUACUUCUCCACACAAACAGCAUUUAAUUAUUAACUGUGAGUAUACUGCUUGAAAAGCCUGCUCAAAAAAAAAAAAAAAAAAAGAAACCUUCGAAAGGACCAAACUACACCAAGCUUUUCUCCAGGCAUACCACACCUCCUGCACAGAAGAUAAAAAAAACUUCUUCACAUAAACCUCCCUCAUUCAGAACCCUUCCAACACAAUAUAUCCUCAUUAACUGUUGAGAAUCUCAAUCAUAUCAGAAUUUUUCUGAUCUGGUUGUUACUUAUUUUUUAGGGAUAAUCCGGGAAUAAUUUGUUGUUGUUUUUUAGGGUUAAGUUGUAUAUUUUAAAUUUAUUUUGUUCCUAGAAAUUUGGGUGUACAACUAUAGAUUUAGUUUGAUUUCUUGUAACUUUUCUAUAAAAGGAAGCAUGUUUCCCUUCCUUAUUCAAUUUAAUAUACGACAUUUUUUUUUCUUUUCUACAUGGUAUCAGAGCCAAGUUAAUUGACUAUUCCCUUUCUUUUUCCUCUCAUUCUUUCCAGUUCUGUUCUUCUUCCCUUUUUGUUUCUAUUGCUAUCUCUUUACCAUGUCAGAAAUUUCCGAAUCUACUCCUUCCAUUACUGUUGGUUUCAAUUCCUCAAAAUUACCCACAUCCAAUUCUCACUCCCACUCUGUCCAAAUCACCACAAUCUGCCUUAAUGAGAACAAUUUUCUCAAAUGGUCACAAUUUGUUCAGAUGUACAUUAGGGGCCGAGGCAAAAUUGGUUAUUUGAUUGGUGACACCAAAGAACCAGCGAAGACAGACCUUAGCUAUGCCACUUGGGAUGCGGAAAAUUCCAUGAUCAUGACAUGAUUGGUAAAUUCCAUGGAGGAGGAGAUUAGCUCAAAUUAUAUGUGUUAUCCUAUUGCCAAAGCUCUUUGGGACAACAUUAUUCAGAUGUAUUCAGACCUUGGAAAUCAGUCCCAAAUCUAUGAGUUACAACUCAAACUAGGCGAUAUUUGUCAAGGUGAGAAUUCGGUUACCAAAUAUUUUAAUGUGCUUAGGGGUUUAUGGUAGGAUCUUGACUUAUUCAAUGACUAUGAGUGGAAAAAUACGGAUGAUUUUAACUAUUUUAAGAAGAUGGUAGAAAGUUCACAGAUAUUCAAAUUUUUACUUGGGCUUAAUAUUGAGUUUGAUUAAGUUCGGGGUAGAAUCAUUGGUUGGCAACCUCUCCCUUUUCUAGGUGAAGUGUUUUCCUAAGUGCGUCAUGAGGAAAGCCAGAGGAAUGUUAUGCUUGGGAAGAAGCUCCUUAGACCUGUGGAAAACUCAACCUUGUUGAGCACUACAACAGUGACUUCUCGCAAUCCUAAUAACCGAUGUUGUCAGGAUGACAAGCUAAGAGUUUGGUGUGAUCAUUGUAAUAAACCACGCCACACUCGUGAAACCUACUAGAAAUUACAUGGAAAGCCAACUAAUUGGAAGCCCGUUGAAUGGAAGACUAAUAAGCAAGGCGACUAUAAUCGUUUCCCUGCAAAAGCACAUGCUACCGAGACACCCUCAUUGAGCAAAGAACAAUUAGACCAACUGCUACAGCUGCUAAAACCUGCUCUGCCAACUCCUGGUACUCCUAUAGCAUCUCUAGCUUAGUCAGGUAGUCUUUCGUGUGCAUAUUCUCUUUCAUUAUCUGUACCUUGGAUCAUAGAUUCAGGCGCAUUUGACCACAUGACUAAUUUAUCUCAUUUGUUUAUUUUUUAUACCUUGUUCUGGAAAUAAAAAAAAGUACGUAUUGCAAAUGGAAGCUUAUCUUCUAUUGUUGGGCAAGGCUCUAUCCGUUUGUCUGAUAAGAUUGUUUUACAAUAUGUUUUACAUGUCCCAAAAAUCUCUUGUAAUCUCUUAUCCAUAAGUCGUUUAUCUAAGGAUUCUAAUUGUCGUGUUGUUUUUUGUGCCUCUCUUUGUGAAUUUUAGGAUUUGAACUCGGGGAUGAUGAUUGGCUAUGCUAGAUUGAUUAACAAUCUCUACUAUUUUGAUGAUAACCGGUUUGAGAAUAAACAAGCUCAAGGUUUUAUUAGUUGUGUUCGUUCAAUCCCUGUGCAUGAUCAAAUAAUGCUAUGGCAUAACAGACUAGGACAUCCUAGUUUUUUCUAUUUAAAACAUUUGUUUCCAAGUUUAUUUAAAGGAAUGGAUUGUACUUCUUUUGAUUGUGAAACUUGUUUAUAAAAUAAAAGCCUUUUUAUUUGAUACAUCGUGAUGUUUGGGUCCUUCUAGGAUUACUACUUUAACUGGGAAAAAAUGGUUUGUGACAUUUAUUGAUGAUCACACACGCCUAUGCUGACUUUAUCUGAUGAACUCUAAUUCUGAGGUUGCAAAACUCUUUCAGGAUUUUUAUUCUAUGGUUGAAAACCAAUUUCAAACCAAAAUAAAUAUUCGUUGGAGCGACAAUGGAACAAAAUUUUAUAAUGAUUGUUUAGGUGAUUUUUUUGCUAAAGAAAAGUAUUUUACAUCAAUCAACUUGCAGGGACACUCCUCAACAAAAUGGAAUUGCAGAAUGUAAAAACAGACAUUUACUUGAAGUAGGUAGAGCUCUUAUGUUUUAUAUGAAUGUUCCUACACACCUUUGGGGGAAUGCAAUUUUAACAAGUUGUCAUUUGAUUAAUAGAAUGCCUACAAGGGUUCUAAACUAUGCAACACAUUUACAAACUCUUAAGAAUACUUUUCCAAACACAUGCCUCACCUCGGAUUUACCCUUAAAAAACUUUGGUUGUACAGAGUUUGUCCAUGUGCCAACUCAUUUUCGAUCCAAAUUUGAUCCAAGAACCAAAAAAUGUAUUUUUCUAGGUUAUACUCCUAAUAAAAAAGGGUAUAAGUGUUUUAAUCCUACCACUAGGAAAAUUCAUGUUAGUAUGGAUGUCAACUUUAUUGAAAAUAUUCCCUUUUAUAACAAAACUACUCUUCGGGGGGGCGCUCUAAUGAAGAUCGGUUUUGGCAACAAGAACAACCAAAACCUAGUUUUUUUUUUUCCUGAAAUAAAUCAAAAAACAGAUGUUUUAAUUAGUGAAAAAGGAGGAAAUACUGAUUUAUCUAUGCCAAACAAAAUUGCAUCACAAACAGGGGGAGAAACUCUACAACCUAUGUCCACUGAGUUCCAUGUUUAUAUUAGGCGCAAAUUUAUUUCUAAUACUGAGAAUAAUCAAGUCAAUCUCGAGCAUGGUCAAUCAUCAGCUCCUAGUUCUCAAAAUCCAGGUAAUCUUCCUAUGGACUCCACUCCUUUACCUAUUUCUGAUCUUGAUAUUCCUACUACAAUCCGAAAAAGAGUUAGGAAUUGUACCAAAUAUCCCAUUGCCAAAUAUCUAUCUUAUCAAAGACUCUCAGGAAAAUAUAGAACUUUCACUUCAAAUAUCUCUCACUUAUUCAUUCCAAGAACUAUACAAGAAGCACUAAGACACUCAGAGUGGGGAUCAGCAGUUCAAGAAGAAAUGAAUGCUCUUUUGAAAAAUAGAACAUGGGAAAUUGUUGAUUUACCUAAGGAGAAGAAGACAGUGAAAUGCAAGUGGGCUUUCACAAUCAAGUGUAAGCCCAAUGGUAGCAUUGAAAGAUAUAAAGCAAGGUUAGUAGCCAAAGGUUUCACACAAACCUAUGGAAUUGACUACCAAGAGACCUUUGCACCUGUUGCAAGGAUCAAUUCCAUUCGGAUUUUGCUUUCUCUUACAGUACAUUUUAAUUGGCCUUUACACCAAUUAGAUGUGAAAAACGCUUUCUUAAAUGGUGAUUUUGGAGGAAGAAGUGUUUAUGGAUUUACCAUCGGCUUCCGAAGAAAAGCUAGAAAAAAAAAAAGGUUUGCAGAUUAAAUAAGUCCUUGUAUGGUCUUAAGCAGUCUCCUAGGGCUUGAUUUGAGAGAUUUGGAAAAGUAAUCAAGCUUCGAGGAUAUAUUCAAAGUCAAGUUGACCAUACAAUGUUUUAUAAAUACUCAAGAAAAGGAAAGAUUGUUGUGUUGAUAGUUUAUGUGGAUGACAUUAUUCUAACUGGUGAUGAUAGUCUAGAAAUUGAGAGAUUGAAGAAAGCUUUAACUUGUGAAUUUGAGAUAAAAGAUUUGGGUCCCCUGAGAUACUUUCUUGGUAUGGAGUUUGCUAGAUCCAAGAAAGGUAUUUUCAUUUCUCAAAGAAAAUAUAUACUUGACUUAUUAAAUGAAACAGGUUUACUUGAAUGUAAGGCUAUAGAAACUCCUAUAGAACCAAAUUUGAAACUCCAACCAGCAAGUCCAGUAGAGGUGAUUGACAAAGAGAAAUAUCAAUGCCUAAUUGGGAUACUUAUUUAUCUCUCUCAUACUUGUCCCAAUAUUGCUUUUGCAGUAAGCAUGGUUAGUCAAUUCAUGCACUCACCAAAUCAAGGACACUUUGAUGCAACGUACAGAAUUUUAAGGUACUUAAAGGGGACUCCAGGAAAAGGACUUCCAUAUGAGAACCAAGGACAUCUCCAAGUGGGUGUGUUUACUGAUGCAGAUUGGGCAGGAAGUGUAAUUGAUAGGAGAUCAACUUCAGGGUAUUGUACUUUUGUUGGAGGCAAUCUUGUGACUUGGCGGAGUAAAAAGCAGAGUAUUGUGGCUAGAAGUAGUGCUGAAGCUGAGUUUAGAGUCGUAGCCCAUGACAUUUGUGAAGUUUUGUGGAUUAAACAAUCACUUGAAGAACUUAAGGUUGCUAGCCCUUUACCUAUGAAGGUCUUUUGUGAUAAUAAAGACGUCAUUGCCAUUGCACUUAAUGCAGUCCUCCAUGAUAGAACUAAACAUGUCGAGGUUGAUAAACAUUUUAUCAAGGAGAAAUUGGAAAAUAGACUGAUUGUUAUGCCCUAUAUACCUACGGUUGAACAAGUUGCAAAUAUACUCACUAAGGGAUUGCCAAAGAAGCAGUUUGAUGAUUUUGUAAGCAAGCUGGCCAUGAAUGACAUCUUCAAGCCAGCUUAAGGGGGAGUGUUGAAAAUCUCAAUCAUAUCAGAAUUUUUCUGAUCUGGUUGUUACCUAUUUUUUAGGGAUAAUUUGUUGCUGUUUUUUAGGGAUAGGCUGUAUAUUUUAAAUUUAUUUUGUUCCUAGAAAUUUGGGUGUAUAGUUAUAGAUUUAAUUUGAUUUGUUGUAACUUCACUAUAAAAGGAAGCAUGUUUACCUUCCUUACUCAAUUUAAUAUACGACAUUUUUUUUUUCUUUUCUACAUUAACCUUUUCCUAAAUCGCUUGAUACCAAAGGCAUAAGAAAUUAUCAGUAGACUCCAUCUCCAGUUUGCAUACAAGGCUCAUCUGCCGGAGCUUCCCCAACAUGCCCUGGUUUUGGCCAAGGUCGAACAAACCUAAUAUCAAGGCUUGAGCAAAAACGACUACUACAGCUUCACUUACCCAAAUCUCUACAAACAGAGUGAUAAAGGAGUCAUCCUCCUCCACACCCUGUGAGUGUUGAAGACUUUUUUCUAAGUUUCUCCACAACUUCAAUCUUCAAAUUUUAUUCUAACAACCCUAAUUAUAACUGUGGCUACAGAUGUCAGUCUUCAAAGUUUAUUGGUAAAAAAAAUAACAUGUUUCAUUUCCAUCCGUAAUCCCAAGGAUCAAACAAAGGGAACUGUCCAUGUUGCAAUCAGUUAAGGAUUCCCAAAAAAACUUAACUGAAUAAAUUGAUUACUGAGAAAUAAAUUGCACAAUAGAUUCAAGACAAUUUUUGCAAAAAGACCAGGUGUGCACUGUACAUUUCACCAAUAUUCUAUGUUCUCAGUGGAACUGCCAAUAUCAUUCUUCUGGACAAUGCAACUGCUGCAAAUAAUUGGAGAUAAAUAACCCAAAGAACCAUGUGAAUGCAAAAUGCUCCACAUUUAUUGUCACAAAGUAAGACUACAUAAAUAACAAAAAGCUAUAUUUUUUUGGGGAAAAAAGGCUGGAAUGCAAUUUAAGAAUUAUAAAUUACCUUCAACAAAUUCACUAAUUCCAUAUCUUUUCAAUAAUUAGUUAAAUAAUUGCUUCUUUUUUUUUUUUUGAUAGGCAAAAAAUAAUUUAUAAAAAAGGGGGCAGAAUCCAAAUACAUAGGAAGUAUGCAAAGGUCAACAAAGGUUGGGAAACAAGUAAAGGAAACACACUAAUGCAACCCCACCCAACCCACAAAAUCAUACACGGAUAAGCAUCCCCUCCCACACAAAAUCUGAACCAAAAAAGGAAUGUCUAAAUAAAAGAAACCUUUAACAAUUAAAUCAACUUCUCCUCUCUCUGUUUUGUUGCCUUUUUGGUACUGGUGUAUGCUCCUUGUAUACUUUGGUGCACCCUCUUUUGAUUAGUGUUGUUAAUAAUAUUCUUAUUUUCCUAUCAAAAAGAAAAAAAUAAAGAAAGAAAAAAAAACAAUUAAAUCAAUGUCUCCACACCUUAAAAGUUCUUUGGUUUCUCUCCUACCAAAUAAUCCAUAACAAAUAUAAUGGGACUAACCUCCAAGAUUUCUAUGUUUUUCCCCAAAAAAAAUCUUUGUGCCAUCCUAACAAGACAUCUGACCAAUAUUCUCUGUUUUAAUUGAAAUUGUUUUGAUUUUAUAAAAAUCAAGAAAAACCACAAAGAGGAUAACUAUGGUGUGUAGUAUCUGGAUGUCAUACUCUGGGACCAACAUAGUUGACUACUAAUGUAUUGUCUAUAAUAUUCAAAAGGCUAGCUUUAAAUCUAACAGAAUAAUUUCAUAUCAAAAAAUCAAAUUAUGAUGAAAAUUUGUUUUAAGUCAAAUCUAUAACUAAAGCUCUGAAGUUUUCACAAUCCAGCUUUGGACCCAGGACGCGGGAGAGAGCAAUAUCUAAAUCCAAGGUUUAGGAUCCAAGGUAUAUUCAAGAUUGAAUUAAGUCUAGAGAACAAUUCGCAUCCAAAAUGAGGAAACGGCAAACCACAUCCUAAUUCAUUGUGGUAAGACAAGGGAUCUUUGGAACUUAUUGUUUUCUUCGUUUGGGGUGGUGUGGGUGCUCCCGGAUUCAGUGAGAAAUUUGCUUCUUGAGUGGAAAAUGAAAGGCAUGGGGAAGAAAAGGAGUGUAGUUUGGAAAAUGGCGCCUAUUUGUUUGUUUUGGUGUAUUUGGGGAGAGCGAAAUUGAAGAACCUUCCUAGAGGAAGAGAUGACAAAUACGAGCUUGAGGAAACUUUUUCUUCGGUCCCUGCUUGAAUGGUCUCAACAAUUUGUGGACUUGGAUUUGGACUAUCUAUCUUUUCGGAAUUUGAUGGGUGAUAGGGUUGUUGCUUAGCUAAUCCUUUUUAGACUUUAUUUUUCUCUUGUUGCCUUGUUUUGGGCCUUCUUUGUAUACAGCUUGUGUACUUAGGGAGCACCCCCUGUUUUCUGGCGUUUUUUAAUCUAAUGGUUCUCUUUGUCUAUCAAAAAAAAAAUUCGCAUCCAAAACCUAAAUUGAUUCUUUUAUAUUCUAAUCACUAAAUCAAAUUGACAAAUCGAUUAGGUCUUAUGUUCAUUCAUUCAAGUCAUUAGUCCAUCUUGUAGAUUUAGCUUUGGACUUAAAUCCCAAUAGAUAAAACUAAGUUAACUAGUAAUCAAGUGGUGUCUAAGUACCACUAGUACCUCAAAAAACAUCUAAUAUAUCUUAUCUAAUUAAAACCACACAGAGAGUUUCCAUUCCUUCAUAUUUAAACAUUAAAACCCUAAUCUACCAAUCUAACCUUACCAUACUGAAUUGCUCCUCCUUGUCAUCCUCCACCUUCAUGAUAUAUCUCCAAAAUUAAGGGGUUUAGCCUCUCGUGGAUGAGCUUUAACACAAAGAUUCCAAAAGAGAAAAUAAGAAAUCUAAUAUUGAAAUUUAAAGAGCAAAGAGUCUCCAACAUACAAAGCAAAAUCAAACAAAGAAUGAAAAAACUUCUUUCUAACCUAACAGUGAAGAGUAUUAAUAUCCUAAUAGCAUAUUCCCAUGGCCACUUAAACCAAAAUAAUGUUAAAAAACCCUAAAUUACAAAAAUAAUCUUCGAAAGCAGAAUUUUCUAUUUGAACUUACAAGGAAUCUAAUGAAAUUGAUUUCAAGAUAUUAAAAUAAAAAAUUUCGAUGCAGAAUCAAUUUCUCCAUCAUGCUGAAACCAUCAAAUCAGUUUGAACCACUCCCAAAUCAGUAUUUCAAUGUGAUACACUGACUUCCCUUUAACAUACUUUCCCCAAAUUGAUUUCAAAUCGGUUAAACCGAUUUCAUGCAUUGGUAUGAGAUGAAUCGGUCUUCCUAAAAUCAAUUUCCUCUCCUGAAAUUGGUUUCUCUGAUCUCCAAACUGAUUUCCCAUACAUUUUGUGACUUCCUGCAUUUUCUCCACUUUGGCACACUGCAGCAACCACCAGGCCUCCUCACAAGCAAACUCGUACCACCAUUCCACCGCACAUGCUUAGACCUGCAUCAAAUAUCUCUUAUUUUCUCCAUUUUCUGCCCUUUUACUAAAAAAUAAUGCAUUACUCCUCGAGGUGGGCACUAGCACCAAUCUAAGCUAAAGGUAGUGGUUUGACCCGGUCCCAUGCCUAAAAGACAGUAAUAUUUUUAUAAGCAUACACAAUUAUUAAUAUCUGUAUGGUGGUGGAGUCUCCUUUUACUUUGAUCAGGUUUUGUAUUCUAUGAGAAGUAUCUCUCAUCCUUCUCUCUUUCUUUUAUCAAUAAAAUUGAUCUUUGUUUCUAAUAAAAUAUAUAUAUAUAUAUAUCUUUAUAAGCAUAGAUCUUGGCACAAAUCAACAUAUUUCACAUUAAAAGCAACAUAAAUCAACAUAUUUCACACUAAAGCAACACCCAUGACACAUUAAAGAGUGAGAACAAUAGGUACCAGAGACUAUGAGUUGCAUGCACCACAAUGAAGAAGGAUAUGAUUGGUUCAUUCCUCCUAACUCUUGCACAAGCAACACCAGUUAGCUAUAGCCCACCUCUCCUCCUUAGCUGGUCUAAUGCCAUAAUUUUUCCCCAAACCACCUCCCAAGUAAAGAAACCCACCUUAUGAGGAUCCUGAGAAACUCAAACUUCUUUGAUUAGAAAAGGAUCUUUAGUAACUAACUCCAAAGAACUGUAGCAGGGUUUUCCAAAGAACUUCCAAUCCUUAUUCAAUUUCCAAACCAACUUGUCCUGGCACUCUUUUUGAACAAACAUGUCUUAAAUUUACUUAAGGAAAGUUUCAACCAUUUCUAUCACCCAAUCUUGAACAUUUCUGAGAAAACAAGGGCUCUAAUGUCCAACACCUCCCACCUCCUCCCAAAGUCCUGUUAGCCAAGCAUCCAUAGAACUGGCAAUGAACUACAAAGCAGGAUACAAGGCUCUCAAAGAAAAAAAAGAGGGGGGGAAAAUCACCACAACACAGGUCAUGUCAAAACCUAACUCUCCAAUGGUCCUACCAUUGCAUACUUCAAAACUAUUCCUAGCCUGAAACUUUGCCUGCCUCUCCUUCCAUAGCCCCACCCCAUACCCUUUCCUCUCUUCACAAGAACACCACCCACCCAUCCUUUCAUCAAACUUAUGUGAGAUCACUCAUCUCCACAAGCUAUCCCACUCCAGAGAAAACAUCCAACAGCAUUUUCCAAGGACCUUGUCAAGUAGCGACAAAUCAGUCAACCAAUUAACUAAAUGAAGUUUUUCAUCCAAAGAGCAAACCCUCUAAAGGAAGUCCUCUGAGCCUUUUCCAAUCUUAAACUCAUCUUUGUUGGGAUAACAAAGGUAGGCAUGAAGUAGACAACCUUUAAACGGGUUAACCCUUGGAGAGAAACUGACAUUCUCAGAAAGCCAACUUCUUAGCAUAUGAAGUUGCUUCUCAGUAUGUGACAAGAUAACUUCUUGAUGAAAAGCAGUGCAUAGUUAAGUAACAAAAAUGCAAAGCAAUACAUCCUGAGAUGUAAAAGUAAAAUGGCUAAAUAAUUUCAUUUGGAAAUGAAUAGUAUCUGUAUACAUAGUGACAAACUGAACAUUAUCCAAGAGUAAAGAAUGAGAUACAAAAAACACAUACAUGAUGGAUUGUUUUGUGAAGGUUCUCCAUCAGUGUGCUGUAUGCUGUGAGAAAAAGCCAGUUUCCAAGGAGGUACAGAACAUAUAAAAUGAUGGUUUGAGAAACGUUUCCACCAGUACUCUGUGUGAUGUUCAAAACUUGGCUCCCUAACAAGAUGGAAAAAGGAGUUGCAAAGAAUGUGUAGAGAAAGUCCUGCAUCAUUGUGCUGUAAUACUGUACCAUCGUCAUUUCCCGUCAUUCAGCUUGCUUUUGAUCUCAGUUUUGACAAUACGAAUCAAGAACAAACCCGCUAGACAUAUUGCAAGGAUAAGCAUAAAAAAUACACUGUUCCAUCCUCUAGUGGAAAUAUAUCCAGCAAGAAGUGGACCAAGAGCUGCGCCAACAGAACCGGUACCAUCUAUAAUUGCAGUGACAGUAGCUAAUGCACGGGAAUUUCCCUUGAUCAAGCUCUGUGUACCAAGAUCAGCAGCGACAGCUGUUGUGAUAAGCGAGUAUGGACCAUUCACAAGCAACCCCGAAAGAAACAUCAACCCAAUGUUGGUGUACAUAGAUAUACUUCCAUAAACCCGGUAUAAAACAAGGGCUGGAAUAGAUAGUAACAAGAAUAUAAUUGAAGUAACAGCUCGAGCUUCAAUCUUAUCCGAAAUGUACCCUGCCAAAAUUCCUCCUAGAACUCCACCAACAUCAAAUAUAGUAGAAAGAAUCCCAGCAGUUUUGUGCGACAGGUGCACACCAGCAACAGCUUCAAUCCAAAACAAUUUUUAAUGGAUCUCGUUAGUUAGUGAUCAAAAGAGUCUCUUUAAGAAGUUAAACCAGGGGCGUGCUUAACACCCCAUGGAAAUUGAUGGCUCUAUUGUGUUUGUACAUAAAUUUACAGAGGGCCAUAAAAUAAGGCAAUUCAAUCUCCAUAAGACAUUCAAAAGCACUUCUAUACAUAGUUAAUAUUGAAAGAGAAAAAGAUUAAUAUACCCGUGUGCCUUAUGUAGAAGGGCAACCAGUAAAGGAAAGUGUAAGCCACAAGCUUGGAGAAGAAGAGGCAAAACGCAAAAGGCGCCACACCUGGUAACCUCCACGCCUCCAAGAACCCAAUUGCACCCGAAGAAUCUGUAACAUCGGAUGGAAGAAGCCCCGCAUCUUCCGAUUCAACUUUCUCUGAAUUUUCCAUAGAUUUAUUGGAUUCUACUUCCACAUUCAUCUCUAUCUCCUUUGCUAAAAGUUCGAAUCCAAGAUCUUCCGGAUUGACAACAAGAAACAUGAAAACAAAAAUUCCAAUGAUAAUGAUCAAAAUACCAGGCAACACAAACGACCACCCCCACCCGAAUUCCAACACCGCCGAUGACACAACUGACCCAACAAUGUUCCCAACCGAAGUAUGCGAAUUCCAUAAUCCCAUUAUCAACCCUCUCUUCUCUUUCCCAAACCAAUUACCCAGAACAGCCACAACACAAGGCCACCCAAUACUCUGAAACAAUCCACAUACAAUUUGCACCCCCACAAAAAACCCUAAUUUAUGAACAUUCAACCAAUCCCCCAACCCGAAUAUAAUUGUUAAAAUUCCACUACCUAACAUUCCAAUCACAAGGAACAGCCGGAGAUCCAACCGAUCACCGGCGUGACCAGAAAAAUACAUCCCAAUUGAAUAUGAAGAUAGGAAUGCGAGAUCGAGCUCGCCGAGACGGUGGGUGCCGUGAGGUCCAUUAAACGGAGCCCAACCGGUGUCGACUGAAGUGGAGUUGGAUUGAAUUUCGGGACUGAGGACGCUUUUGACUAUGCUGGGCGGUUUGCGGGAGGCGUGAAAGGAGGCGUACGCGACGAAGGUGAUGAGGAGAGCUGAGAUCCGAUGGAAAGUUAGGGUUUUGUGAGGGGGCUUGAGGGUUGGGAAGAGAUUAAGGCCAGGGGCUAGGGCUUGGGUGUUAGAUUGCAUUGUGUUUGGAGCCAAAAUUUGUUAAGAAAGAAAGGCAGUUUAAAACAUUUUUGUGCCCCUUUCCCUCAUUUUCCCGAGAAACAUUCAGGAAUUAUGCAGAAAUUACAGGGAAGAAGAUGAUAAUCUCGAAGCCAAGAAAACAUGCUGUGUUUGAUUUUUUGGAGGGAGAAUGCCAGGUUAGUUGGUUUCCGUUUCGUACACCCUAUGAUAUGGCUUAAAUUGAUUGGAGAACAGAUAGGGCAUGUUGUCUUUUUGAGAAACUCCAUGGAGAUUUUAGUAAUUAUGCUCUACCUAUGUGGAAAAGGUUUUCCUGUCAGCCCUUGCCACGUUGUCACGCGCUAAUGAAGGAGGAGGUCGCUCCAGCCUCCAGUAUGGGCUACAUCACACAGGCACCACUCUUUUCCCUUCGGGUUAAAGCAAACCUUUGAGUUGACUUUUGACCUAACGAAAAAUAAAAAAAUAAAAAAAUGAUAAAUGACUAAGCUAGAAGUGAAUAGGAUGUCCUCUGGCGCAUCCUAGUAUUGAAGUCCUGAACCAUAUGAUGCAUUUUCUUCUAUUAAUAACACUUGAACAGAAAAUGUUCCCUUCAAGUUUGCAAACCUACAUUCAUGUGGUUUCAUAACCUACCUAAUGGGCCUAUAACAUCUUUUACUUUGCCGAGAUAUCACAAAAUCAUUUUUAUUUUUUAACUUUUCAACAUUUACCCUAUAUAAUAUCCUAAUCCAACUUCUUACUCAAAUUAAAUUAAAUUCACUUUUAAAAUUAUAUAUUAAUUUUUUACUUAAAAAUAAAUUAAAUUAUUAAAAUUCCUUAAAUAUAUGUAAAAUCCUAAUUCUAAAAAUUUCAUCCUAAUUUUCAACCACCUAAAUCCAAAGUGAAGUGGAUACCAAUUGGAGACCUUAGAGCCUACGAGAGAAGUGUUUUCCAAACUCAGAAAAUAAUUUUAAUAAUUUUUUUACCUAAAACAAUUUUUUGAAAACCAAUUCUAAAAUAAAAUAUUUUCUUUGAAUUAUUUUCAACUAUUUUUAAAAAAUAAUUAGAUAAACAUAUAAUAUGAUUAAAAAUAAAAUAUUACUAAAAAUAAAAAUCACUUUUUAAAAUAUUGAAAAACACGUUAUGUUUAAAAGCUUUCAAACAAACUUUUAUUUCAAAAAUUAUAAUAAACUGUUUUUGAAAACUAUUUUAUAAGAGCCCGUUUGACAAUGAUUUUUAAAAGUGUUUCUACCCUUAAAAACACUUUUAAGUGUUUUUGGGAUGAAAAUAAAGCGUUUGACAAAUUUUAAAAAACACUUUUAAAAAUCUGAAAAAACACUUGAAGUGAUUUUUAGAGAAUCACUUGACAGGUGUUUUUUUUUAAAAACACUUCAAUUUUUUUGAAAUAUUCCAAAAUACCCCAGUGAUAAAUCAAUUAGAAAAAUCUUUUUUUUUUUUUAGAAAUUAAUAGGUGGUCAUAUAUUGUUUUACUUUUAAAAUUAUCUUUUAUUCAAUGUUUUUUAUUUAUUUAUUGAUUUAGAUGUUUUUUGUAAAUAUUUUUUAAAAUUUUAGUAUAGUGAUAAAAAAAUUAUUAUUUUUAAUUAGAAAAGUCUUUUUUUUUUUUUAGAAAUUAAUAGGUAAUCAUAUAUUGUUUUAAUUUUAAAAUUAUCUUUUAUUCAAUGUUAUUUUUUUAGUGAUUUAGAUGUUUUUUCAUUAAUAAAAAGUUUUUUUUGUUUAUCAUACCAUUUUUUUUAAUUAAAAUUGUAUGUCCUUUUUGGUAAUUUAUUAAUAUUAAAAGUGUUUUUAUAUUUAUACAAUAUAUUAUCAAAAACACUUUAGAAUCAUUUUUUCCGAUUAUCAUAAAAGUGUUUUUCACAGAAAUACUAUAGCAGAAAACACUUCAAAUAAAAACACUUCCACUAGAAUCACUACCAAACGGGCUCUAAAACAUUCUCCAGCAUGCCCUUUAAUACCAUCGGGAGCCAGUAAGCUUGCCCAUUCCACUAAUACAUUGGGCGGCGAACUUGAUAAUCAACACGACUGCCCCAUACUUUUAAGUACACCUCUUGACCUUUUCUAUUCAAUCUGGUUGCCAGGUCAAAAGGAGAAAGAACAGAAAAACACAAGGCCUGUGCCUUGGGAACGACUAAAAAAGCAUUAAAUUUCGUAACAAAAAUCCACCUAAGGCAAUUCCGUUGUUUUUUUAAUCCCCGAAUGGCAAUCAGAUGCACAAGUUUUUUGCAUUUGAAUUGAACUUGUACAGCUAACUAUGAUGAAAAAUGUGAGGAAGAGGACCAAAACAUCUGUAACAAAACCCUGCUUGGUGAUGCAGGAUAUCCAGCGAUCAGAAGAUGAGAUUAAACAGAGGAAUGCACUCCUGUCUCCUGACUUAAAUCAUUUGCUGAUGAAGGUCGGCUGCCUGCUGGGCUAGCUCCACCACCAUAGCCUCGUCGAAGAAUUUAUUGAUGCUUACAUCUUCACUCAUACCCUGCCAAAGAAAAUGGAAAUGCAAAAGAUUGGAUUAUAUAUCGUCUUCAGAUGGGUUCAUUAGAUCAUAUUAUUCUGUGUAACUGAAAUUGUCUGUUUGAAAUUCAUGGUUGUAGAAUGUCUUUCCUUCUGCAUGCUGAUGACUACUGAACUAACUUCAUUUGUCGUAAAACUUAUUGUUUGUGUUUCCUUCCACAAAGGAAAGACAUGAAAGGCAUGCAUUUGGCAACAUGCCAAUCAUCCUUGGCCUUUACUUGGAAAGAAAAAACAUUUGACUAGCAACAUGGUUAAAGAAACAUAUCUUAAAAACACCUUCCAAUGCAUAUUACAGCAAAAACCACACACACAUAAAAAGUGCUAUGAAGCACCUUUUCAGAUUCCAUACCUUUCUACGCCUUGUCUUAACCAUGAACUCACGAGCAAGGUGCUGAAUCGGUGCAGGUUCCAGUGGCCGCAGGACAAUACUCUUAUCAAGAGGGUCCCCUGGAACUAUAGCCCAGUGAUCAAACACAGAGGCGCAAAACGCUUGCCCUUGAGUAUGGUACCUCAAGUCUGUCUCAAACCCAAAUGAUUCUAUCACUGGCAAAAAUGCCUGAAAAUAAAUAAAUAAAGACAUUCAAAAAAUCAAGUUGCAAUUAGAUGAGUUUUCAAGCAUGUAUAUCUAGAAAAAAGACUUGGAACAUAUAAACCAAUAUGACCAACAAUAUCAUGCAUUUUACAUGAGAGAUAAAUUGGCAACACAUGUAACAAGAUGGAAGGAAUAAUCCCAACCAUAUGGGGUCAGCUCCAUUUAAUCCAAUUAAUGCUAUUCUAAUGUAUCUUCGAAAUUUAUAAUGAUAAUCUUGCAUAUUGUAUUAUCAAAUUUCUCAGUCAUAAAAAUUGGACUGGCAAGUCGGCUGGCAGUUCCAAGUGUUACUAAUUGUCCUCAAUCUCAUAGAAAACCAUUAAGAUCAAUCAUGAAAAUUUUCCAAACAUUUCCUUCAAAACUGUAACUAUAAAAGCAAAGUACAGCCAUCAAACCUUAACAAUAUAGGCUGGGGUCCCUGGUUGAGGAACAUCAGCUGUAACAUGCCCACGCCUGCGAGAUAAGACAGUGUAGAUUGCAGAGACACAGUCUAUUGGUGUUUGUAUCUGAAACAGAGAAACCAAAUUAAAUAACACAGUGAUGUCAUCAGCCUGAUAAGGGAAAAACACAUUUAAGUCUAAUAACAGAUUGAAACUAAAUAUUCUUUUUAGGGAUGAUUAAAUAUCAACUUGUUUACUGUCUGGAUCUAUGAUCCCUAUGAUUCUAUAUUCAGAUACACCUUCAAGGAAGAAAGACUUCCUUCUUAACUUUUAUGAGAAAUUUCUAUGAACUAGAAAAUUGCACGUUCUAGUUUUAGCAAUAUCCAGAAAUUUCACUUAAAAAAUGAAGCCUAAUUAACAAAUUUUCUACAUUUUUUGAGGCAACUAUGAAUGGUCUUAGGGGUUGGGUUGCUCAAAAGAUAAGUAAUAUGUUCAGUUCCCAUGCCCAGGCACAGUCCAUUUGCAGUCUUUUUUUUUUCCUUGAAUGAUGAGUGGAAAGAGGGGUCAUUAGCCUGCAUUCUUCCUUCAAUAGCUUAAUAUAGCAAAGUAUUUACCUCCACAUAGUAUACAGGUUCCAUAAGUCGUGGAGUUGCCAUAAGGAAUGCAGAGUAGGCCACCCGCCGAGCUGUAGGAAUGAUCUGACCAGUUCCUCGAUGCAAGGGCUCAGGUGCAAUCCUUGCAUCGACUAUUUUGAACUUAACAUUUCUGAUGGGCUCAUCACACAGGGGUCCUUCUCGGGCACCCCAUUGAAAUCUAUCCAGAACAACACACACCCUUAAUAAAAGGCAAAAACAAUAAUAAAUGAAAAAAGAAACUAAUGACAACAUAGUUUACCCUUGAACAAUGGAAUCUUUGACAGCAUUUAGUAAGUUCUUAUCAACUUCACUAGAGAGAGUAUCAUCUAACAAAAUGUUAGGCCCCUGCAAGCAGCUCAUUGGUCAGACAGAAACAUGGCAAUCAUACACAUAAGAGCUAGAUUGGAAAAAGAUUUGCAAGAAGUUAGGAAUAUAUCAAAGGAAGCGGAUGGAAUAACAAGCUGAAGUUAAUUUUUUUAAAAAGGGAGGUAUUGAUUAAACAACAGUAGGGUUGUAUCACUGUUAGAAGUUGAAACUUUUGCCAAGUACAUUACCUGCUUAUCUGGCCCAAAUGCCCAUAUGGACCUUGCAGCCAGCAAAUCCCAGUCAUAUUUUGUUUGAAAAAAGUCACCAAGUUUCUUUCGAUGCCAAUCAAUGCUUACAACACCAUUCUCAAUAUCCUCCGCGAGUCCUUUCUCCAAUGGCUCUGCAAUCUAGCAAAGAAAAAAACACAAAAAAAAAGGUUGUUUAAAUAAUUAAUAUACUGCAUAAAAUUGAAUCAUAUAUGAUUCUUGAUAGCCCCAGGAUCAAGGGAAGGGAAAAAAAAGGCAAUAGAUGACUUCCCUACCAUGGUUAUUUUAUUCUUCUUGUUGGGUGUUUCAGCAAAACAUUUCAUUGAUGAAGACUCCACCACAGUUUCACAAAAUGAUACAACAGGAUCUGCCACCUAUAUUUUAAGUAAAGCACAAGAAGCAAAAGCAUGCUCAUCAACAAAAGGCACAUCCCUCCAUCGAAAAGGCAAAAAGGGUACUCACAUGAAAGUUAAGAUCAACCAUAAAUCAAAUAAGAGAUCGAUGUGAAAUAGAUACCUUGACUUCAACUUCAGAAUACAGCUCUCUAAGGUCCUUCAUGAUAGAAUCCAAAUACAACUCCCCAGUACCUAAAAUAGUGUGUUCUCCAGACUCCUCAACUUUAGUAAUUGCUAAAGGAUAGCUCUUACUGAUCUUCCUAAGACCCUCCACCAUUUUGGGCAACUCACUUGGAUUUAAAGGCUCAGUAGCUGUUUUAACUACUGGAAGAGUAUUAAACAGAAGAGGCCGAAAUAUGUAUACAUCCUCAUCAUAAUCCAAAUUACAAAGUGUGGCAGUCUUCAUAAUUGAAGCAUCCACACCUUCAAUGAGAACCCAAGAACCAGGAGGAGCCUUGCUUAUGGGUAUUCUGUAACGAGCUUGAUAAACCCAUAAUUUUGUAACUUCCUUUACUGUCAUAUCCUCUUCGUCUUCUGGUGAAUAGCCUUCUCCCAGCACACGUAAAGUCUGCCCUGUUUGGAUUUCACCACUAUAAACCCUACCAAAAGCAUCAAAAACACUGCAAUCAGACUUUGGAUACAGUUUAGUCACAUUAACCAUUAGAGGACCAGAAGAAUCACAAUCUUCCAUGGCCUGGUAUAUUGCAGAAUCUUUGGGUCCAGUAUAAAUAUGAUCAACCUUCUUAGCUGCAGCAUCUUUGGCAGAAGGAAUAUGCUGAACCAGCAUAUCAGUGAAACCUGUCGCUGAACCAAAGACUGAGCUACAGGCCAACCUCAGCAAAGGCCUAACAUUUAGUUUGUAGGCUGCAUUACUGAGAGUGACACCCAGUUCUGCAAGGGUACUCUCCACACUCUUCUUAUGUUCUCCAAUUACUUGGCUAUAUAUCUUGUAGAGGGGCUCAAGCACAAACUGGACAAAUGAUCUUUCCCCUCCACUUGCAGGCGGUUUCUUCCUGAAAACCCUAGCAUCAGGAUGAUAAUACAUAUCUCCCCAAAGCCGAGAUGCAAACUUAUUGGCAUCAAAUGGGACGCCAUGGAGUUUGACAUAUAGUUUAGCAAAUGAUUGCAAAGUAAAAGACCAUCCUGCACUAGCACUAGCAAAACAGACAUUUCCAGCAGCCGGGUCUAUGAUUUGGACAUUUCCUGCAGUUGAUGAGGCAGCAGAUAUGUGAUUAUUGAUGAGUUCCAGAGUAUGCCUUAGCUUAUGAUAAGCAUCCUUUGGGGGCAAUUUGAGUUCAGUGAUCAGCCUGUCAACCUUGAAAAAAUAAGAGAUUAAAAUAAAUUAAUAAAAGAGAAUACAAGGAAGUCUAUGAAGUGCUCUGCUUCGUAGAGUUGAUUAAAAUGGUACAAAGAAGUUUUGACCACCAAAACAAAGGGUUAAAAGGUACCUUAUUGAUUACAACUACAAUAGGAAGGCGCUCUUGGAUUGCAUGGCGUAUAGCCCUUUCUGUAUUUACCUGUGCACAAAAGAAUUAUCGAACAUUUCAUGUCAUUACAAUCUCUCUCAAAGCAACUGCCAAAGCCAUUAAUUCAGGAAAAGGACAGAAAUGAGCAUAUUGGAUAAUCAAUAUGAACGGGUUGAACAUAAUUCUUCUUUAAUGAGAAAGUUUACCUGCUUCCUAUUAGUAAUUUGGUUCUAACUAUUCUCUCACUAAGGUAAUCUAAGCCAGGCCCUUUUAAUAUUAACUAGGUCGAUUAAACCUUGAUUUCCACAACUGGAUACAUUCAUCACUUGGGUACAGACAUCUAUACUUAUUCAACAUGGUAUUAAUCAUAUAUCUCUAUUUUGACUUAGUUAUGGAGUUUGCAUCUCUCUCUAUCUUUAACUUCAAAUUGUCUUUCUUCAACAUUCCUUUAUUUUCAGAACUUACUUUUUUUCUUUUUUUUCUUUUUUUUUCCAGGUGAUAGGCCAUAGCUUACUUUCAGUUAUCACCCUCAUUAAUAUUAAGCUUGUUCCACUAAGUCUGAUAAAAACAGGGAGAAGCAAAAACAACUAUCUUAAUUACAUGCAUCCUCCAACAGCAGGCAGAAACACUCAAAGUUGGGGUCAAAUAAUUAAACCUGCAUAUAUCUCUUAACUUUUAUUCCACUACUCGACCUAUAAAUUAUCAAAGCUAAAGUUCUAAUAGACUUGACACUUUUGGAAUUCCCCAAUCAAAAAAACAAAACAAUAAUUUCUUAGUUCUGAUGGGGAAUAAUUAAUAUGGAAGGGCUUUAAAGAAGAAGAGGUAUUUGGGUAAUACAUGAGUAAAGAUAGGCAGUAUGAACCUAAAACUAGGUUGAAAAGCUUUGUAGGUAAGAAACCAAUCAUAGAAGCUUACAGCAGAAGUUCAGAUUGAGUCAUAUCUAUUUUGCACUGAUUAUAGAUAAGUUAGUUGAGCAUUUAUGUGUUGGUGACAUCUACAAUACUAUGUUAAAGGAAGAGGUGUCCAAUCUACACAUCCACAAUUAGUGACCUGGCAUAAAUUCCACCUCCAAUUAAAAGAUAUGGAUAUAAUGAUUUUAUAGGAAGUACAGGUGAAACACUGGAAUCCAUUAUUACUAGGGUAGAGUGGAAGGAGGGAUGAACUCACAAGACCGCCACUCAUAAAAUUUUCACAAGAGCACAACGUAAGGAAUGUGCUCAGUUGUACAUUCCAAUUGACAAGACUAGGAAAAAUACUAAUGAAAAGUUAUAACCAUGUAAGGAAGCUUUAAAAUAAAAUAAAAAAAGCUGUGAGAAAAUAACUAAUGUGGAAAAUGUAAUAAAAUUACAAAAAUAAGUGCUUUUUUGGAUACACUUCAUGUUUUAUUGUUUUUAAACAAAGAAAAUAGUAGUUUCUAUCCCUUUUACGCAUCCCUAAAUCUGUUACAAAAAGGAUUGAGAAAAUCCAAAGAGAUUUCCUUUGGGGGGGAGGAAGUUUGGAGAGGAAAGCUCACUUAAUUAAGUGGAAGGUGGUUUGUAGCCCUAAGGAGGAGGGAGGAUUAGGCAUCCGAAAAAUAGAUGUAUUGAACAAAGCCUUGCUGGGCAAAUGGGUGUGGAGAUACGCCUAUGAGAAGGAGAAUCUAUGGAAAAGGGUGAUAGGGGUGAAAUAUGGUCAAGAGGGGUGUGGGUGGAGGACUAAGGACGUUUGUGGGCCUUAUGGAGUGGGACUGUGGAAGGAGAUCAUGAAGGAAGCUGAUUGGUGCUGGGAGAGUAUUGUGUUUAAGGUAGGCAAGGGGACCAGAAUUUUGUUUUGGAUGGAUAAGUGGUGCGGUAAUGAGGCCCUUUCUCAAAUUUUCCCUCAGCUGUUUACUUUGGCGGGUCAUAGGAAUGCCAAAGUAAGUGAAGUGUGGGACUCUAGCCUGGGUCAAGGAGGUUGGAAUCUCAGAUUGGCUAGAGAUUUCAAUGAUUGGGAGCUGGAACAGAUAGGAAAUAUGCUGAAUCUGCUGAAGGAUUUCAGGACUUCGACUGAGGAGGAUGCUGUAAGAUGGAAAAGGGAAAGCAAUGGUGUUUUCGGGGCUAAGGGUGCUUACAAAAUGUUGGUUGGGUCCUCAGCCUGUGUCUUCCCGAACAGACGCAUUUGGAUGAAUAAGGUGCCAACAAAAGUAUCUUUUCUUGCUUAGGAAGCUUCGUGGGGGAAGAUCCUCACCUUGGAUAAGCUUCAAAGAAGGGGGCGGCAGCUCCCUAACCGGUGUUUUCUGUGUGGAUGUGAAGAGGAAAAUGCGAAUCAUAUUAUGUUACAUUGUACAGUGGUUAAGACUCUUUGGGAGAUCGCUCUCGCCAUUUUUGGAGUCCAAUGGGUGUUCCCAGAAUCAGUUAUAGAAGUGUUACUUAGUUAGAGGGGUUCUUUUGUGGGGAAAAAAAGAAAAGACACCUGGAAUUCCAUUUCGUUGUGCAUUUUUUGGACGGUUUGGAAGGAAAGGAAUAGGUUAGCUUUUAGGGGGGGGUCUUUAGAUAUACAAAAAUUCAAGAAUUUUUUUGUAUGUAAUUUGUGGAGUUGGGCUAGGGUGUAUAUUGGUGAGGAUACCUAUUCUCUUUUAGGCUUUUUGGAGUGGCUUGCGGUCACUUGAGGGUGGGUGAGGUUUUCCCUCUUUUUUGUUCAGUUCGUCUUUUUGGGCAUUUGUGUAUACCCCCUGUAUACAUGCGGCUUUUUAGCCUUUUCUAAUAUAUUCUGACUGUUUAUCUAUAAAAAAAAAAAACAAAGAAAAUAGUAGUAAUUUUCAUGUAAAAUAUAACAACUCUUAUAUGAAAAGUAUAAACCUACCUCAUGUCUUUAAAAAUUACUUUGUAAAUUAGAGGUAGGUUUAUACCUCAAAGCGUAAAAUCCAAAAUCUUUUUAAGGCAAGUCUCAAAGAGUUCUUGCAUUUUAGACAGAAGUUACCAUUGUUUUCCUUUUGAAAAAAUAAAAAACAAGAAGUGCAUCCAAAAGACACCUAAAUAAUCUGAUGUUAGAUUGACGUCUACAAGAAAUCCAGGAGCAACUAUUUGCAUUAUUUUCUUUUCAUACAUGCACAGUGAUUGAUGAAUCAAAGAGAACAUUCCUUGAAGAACUAAUGCUAUAUGAAUGAACAAGAGAGUUAUGACACAACUAUGAAUACAUCCUGUGUACUUGGAUUGCACCUUUUUUUUGCUAGGCCCCUUCUAAUAAAUCAUUUUUCUAUCAAAAAGAACUACAAUCAUAAAAUCCUCAAAUUUCAAAUUUCUAAAUGUUGCAGCAUGUCAGCCUAAAAAGCACGAGAAUAAGAUGAAUUGAGUACAAAAACUAGAAGGAAUAGAUAUUAAGUCAUUUCCAGCAGAAAUGGGGGCAAAAUAAAGGCCAAUGAUUAAACUAAUUAUGAUUGAAAUGGUUAAAGUAGCAAGUACUAUGAACAGAGGGAAGGUCCAAGGAACGUAAAUCUUAAGAUAGUGCAAAAGAACCUAGUGGCCUACCAUUCUUCAAGAAAAAAUGCACACAAGUCACAACGUAUAAAGAUUAAGAUUCUGAUGGUUGAUGACGUAUGGUUGAGAUUUGAUACCAGAAUAAGAUGCAUACAUAACAUGCCUCAAGCUCAAAACUUUUCAGUGGGUAUGAGGGGUUGCUCAGUGUUUCAUGCGGCACUUUGUUAUUGGGCAAUUUUCUGUGUGUUUGCACGAGUGCCAUCAUGUGUUUGGCUUCCUCAGAAUUUAAAAAAAAAAAAUAGCAUACCUGAAAAGAAACAACAGAAGCAGCCAAAGAAAAGGGUCACUUACCAUUACUCCUUCAGCAGCAUCCACAAUCAAGACAGCACCAUCGGCAAGUCUGAGAGCAGCAGUCAUCUCAUCAGAGAAAUUUACAUGACCUGGAGUGUCCAUGAUGUUACAAAGAUAAGAUUUUGAAUUGCUAUCCUCAAGAACAAGUGACAUGGGAACAGCCUUAAUUGAUAUCCUUCUCUCUUGCUCAUCAAUCCUCGUAUCUGUGUAUCUCAUGUGCUUCUCACUAUUUGAAUCAAAUGUUGAAAUAUGGUGUGUUUGCUCAACCAGCAUGUCCAUGAAUAGUGUCUUUCCAUGCUGUAAAUGUCCGACCAGAGCAACAUUCCGAACCAAAGCUGGGUUUGACAUAAGACCCAAAAGAAACUGGGUUGACACAUAUGUCGACGAAUCCUUCACUCCCAACUCAAACUUAAUAUUCCUAACAGGUUUGAUUAUUGGUUGUUCAAGUGGUUGCUCAUCUUCAUCCAUUACCAAGGUUUCAACAUCUUCACCAUAGACUUCUUCAGCAGUAGGAUAGUACUUUUUGUCUUCAGCAAGGACAAUCUGGUUGUCCAUGUCAACAUCAUUAGAUGCAGUUAUCCACCCAUUAGAGGCUGCAACUGCAUCCUCAACAUCAGAUACCAUUUCCUCUUCAUCAGGCUUGUCAGGGAUGUCCUCAUCUUGAUCAUCUCCAUCACUUUCUCUGUCAGACUCAAUUUCUGGUCCAAUGUAGUUUCCAAAUUCAUCAUAUAAACUGUCAUCCAUGGUUCUUUCAAAUCUGCCACAUUGUAUAACCAAUUAUUAGUAUGGAACAGCAACCACCCAAUCAAGAAAGAGUUGUUUAGGGCAAUGUUCGGUUCACAAUCAUCAAUGGUCUUUGCCCACUUAAGACCAAAUGUUCUCUUAGAGCCUAGGCACGACAGGGAAGCCCAUGGCAUGGGCUCGAGUGAAAUGAUGCAACAUUAAUUAAUGUAAUUUUAUAAAAUUUAAUACGCUAAUACUUGUUGCAUACCAUAAAAAAAUAAGAAAAAAAUAUUCUCAAGAAAUUCAGGGAAAAGAACAUUUCAGUAAUUUCAUGAAGAGUUUCAUUGAAUAGUCUCAGUAAUUUCAGUUUUUAAAAAAUGUAUAAGAAAAAAGGCCAAAGUUUCCAAAGAGUGCACAUGUGAGCUAAAAACAGCCAAGUGUCCAGAAAAUGCAAAAUCAUCUAAGAAAACUUAAGUGAGAAAAAUUAUAAAUAUGUCAUAAUGCAAAUUGUACCAAAAUUUUAAAAGAAAAAUUUUCCAAAAUAUCAGGAAAAAAAAUCUCAAAAAGACAUUUCAGGAAAAAUUAAAAGAGAAAACGAAGAAGUAGAGCGACAAGUGUGUGCAGUGUGACGAAGUAAGAAACAAUGAAACAGAGAGCGUGUCGGAGCGAGUGGUGCAGUUGGGACUUGAAAGUUGUUGGUAUCUUCUCCUCCCCCAAGGAGGAGCAGAAGAGACUUGCAGGAAGAUUAGGAUUAGGGUUACUUUUUACAGAGAAGAGAGAAGAAAUUAAAGAAAUGUCGGGGUUUGGAUCUUUCACCUUUUCUCAAUUUGACCCAAAAACGAAAAAUGAAAUGGGUUUUUGAUUUGGUGAAUCCUGCAUCUGGGUUUCUUUUCUGAUCAAUUUUCCAGUCAUAUUCAAGAUGGCAAACAAUUCAAGGGUUUUAACCUAAAUACUACAAACCAUCAAACAGCUGAUACUAGAAUCAAAAGAAUAACCCGUUUUUGGAUUUUUUUUGCGCAGAAAUUGAAUUAAAAUUACCUAAUCCUUACAGACACGUAUACAUCCAGAGAAAGAGAUAUAGAGAGUACCUGAAGAGGGAGUUACAGGAAGUGAAUCCAACUGAGUGUUCAAGAGUAUUGAAACGAGAGGGUUUAUAGAGGGGUUGGCCACGGCGCGGCUGUCAAGAGGAAUUGGGCCUACACCUGGCUAGAUAAAGCUCGAGCCAUGUAGGUUGGACUGAGUUUGAGCCCAAUGGGCUCGAGUAUGUUGGCCUCCGGUGGCUUACUCUCUGUUUGGAAACUAUUUGGCACUGUACCUUGAAAACAAUGUUCUGUCGAACUUAUGACAAAAAAAUUAAAAAAUAAUAUUUAUUUAUUGAAUACAAAUGUUUAUAAAAUUGAUGGUAUUAAAAUGCUGUAGCAAAAAUAUAAUUGUUGGAAAAAAAACCACAUAUGAAGCAAUUGUCAAAGAAUCAUUUAAGUAAUUACUCAAAUCUACUUCAAAUGAUUAUUUAUAUUUUUAAAAUCAAAUUUAAAAACAUUGUUAUAAAAAACAACUUUUAAACAUUAGGAAAUGUAUAUAGUAUUUACGAAACCAUUCUCAAAUAAACUUCAAUUACCUAUUAAUAUUAACUAUUAUAAUUUUAGAUUAUUUAUUUGAUUUCAUCGAUACCACAAAAUCAUAUUUGAAAAGUCGCAGUAUGUUUCUCAAUUGCCAUUUAAUGGAAAAAGGUUUUGAAUUAUCUUAUAAAAUGCCUAAAAUCUACAUUGGUUGUUCACGGAUGAAUUCUUUUUUCAAGUAGCGAAUGAAAUUACAAAAAAUUGAGAACCAUUAUAUUUUUAUGAUACAAAUGUCUUAACCUUAAGAAAAACAGAGAAAAAAUAAAUAGAUAUAAUUCAAGAGAAAAAACUUUUUUUAAAGAACUCUAUUCAUUUGACUUUUGUCAUAUAAAGAGUGUGUGAGAAAGAUUUUUUUUUUAUUUUAUUUUUUUGUAAUUGUAUAAUAGCAUUUUUGUGUAAUUUUAAUUUCCAUAAAUUGUUUCAUGUUUCUUAUUUUGUUGGAUCGAGUCGAAUCAGUCCACAUGAGCACCCAAACCCAACUCCAACACCAUUAAACCCAUUUUUACAAUCAAUGAAGAUAAAAAAUUAAAUUAAAAAUAAUGAUUGGUAAAAUUAAAAAUUUUGAUAAUGAAAAUGUAUAAUAUAUAAAAUUUAAAAAAUGUUAACUUAUAGAAAAAUUAAACUCAUAGUAAGCUAAUAAAAUAAGAGUAUAUUCAUGUUCUUAAAUCACCUAUAAGAAGUGUAUUUAAUCUUCAACCACAAGUCAGCAAGACUUUAAUAUUACUUCUUUUUUUUUAUCACGUUUUGAAAAAAUAGAAAUAUAGUAAUGAUUACUCCAUGCUAUCAAUUACUAUACAUACAUAUAAUUAUUUACUUAAUUUGGAUUGGAGUUGCUUUAUUUUCCCCCAUACCUAACAUAGAUCACAAAAAGGCCUGCCUUAACCCUUCCAAGAUUGGAUUAAAUUCAGUUAAACCUGUUCAAAUUACAUCCUUAAUUGAUUUAGAGUAUUAUUGACAACGAUUUUAAGAAAUGUUUAUGGUAUUUAUAAUUUUUAAAAGAUAAAAUUUUUUAAGUAUUAAAAAUAUAAAAAUACUUUUUAAAAUUAAUGUUAAAUGCAUUCUUAAAAUUUGUUUAAAAAUGUUAGACAAUUUGUCUAAAAAGUAUUUAAGAAAAAUGCUUUUUAUUAAAAACAUUUUGAGUAGAAAUGAAAAUUUUUGUUAUGGAGUACAUUUACCCGAUCAUCAUCAAUUGUUGAGCAAAAAAUUUAAUGACUUGCUCAUGUCAUAAAAUACGGUAGUCAUGAAAAUAUUAAUAAAUUAUUUAGUUGAAAACAUUAAUUUAAUGAUUUGAAAUGUUACAUGAAUUAUUUAACAGGGACAUACCACCUACAAUCAUAUUAAAAAUCAUGAGAAAUAUUUGAUAAGUAAUUUGUCUAAAAACACUUUAAGAAAAACACUUUUUAUUAAAAACAUUUUGAGUAGACAUAAGGUGAAAAUUCCUUUUAUGGAUUACAUUUACCCAAUCAUCAUCAAUUGUUGAGCAAAAAAUUUAAUGAUUUGCUCAUGUCAUAAAAUACGAUGGUCAUGAAAAUAUUAAUAAAUUAUUUAGUUGAAAACAUUAAUUUAAUGAUUUGAAAUGUUACAUGAAUUAUUUAACAGGGACAUACCACCUACAACCAUAUUAAAAAUCACGAGAAAUAUUUGAUAAGUAAUUUGUAUAAAAACACUUUAAGAAAAACACUUUUUAUUAAAAACAUUUUAAGUAGAAAUAAGGUGAAAAUUCCUUUUAUGGAUUACAUUUACCCAAUCAUCAUCAAUUGUUGAGCAAAUAAUUUAAUGAUUUGAAAUGUUACAUGAAUUAUUUAAAAAGGACAUACCACCUACAACCACAUUAUAAAGUUUGGAAAAGAAUGUCCAUCCAUUGAACAAUGGAAGAAAGUGUGCCACCAUAGAAAACAUUAAUAAGCUCAGUCAUGAAAAUAUUAAUAAAUUAUUUAGUUGAAAAGUCCAUUCUUCCUUGUGUACGCUCAAAGGUCUUAGGUUUGAUGAGUUAAAUUUUAUUUUAUAUCUUAGAAUAAGAAGUUAAAUUGAAAAACCGAGAAUGAGAGAGAAGAGGAAGCCACAAACAUGGCGGUCGCUUCUCACAUUUAUUGUAACACACUUCACACACAUACACACGGAUGAAAGUCCUAGGCCACCACGUGUCACAAAUCACAGAGUCUGAGGGCAUUAUUUAGUAUUUAGUAUUUACUACAACACAACCCAGAAAGCAAAAAAGAGAAUUACAAACACAACCCUCUCAUUCAGCUGCUGGCCGUCACGUCCCUCCAUUCACAUUAUGACUUGUAGGCACGAGUCUCAAGGGUGGGUGGUUAGCGACUUACCAGGGGCGUUGGGGAGGGCCAGGAGGACCGGGAGGACCAUAAGGCCCCGGAGGCGGAGGGCCAAAGGUACCUGGCGGACCCGGGGGUGGCGGACCAGGGGGUGGCGGACCAGGGGGUGGCGGACCCGGGGGUGGAGGUCCCGGGGGCGGCGGCCCGUGGUGGUGUGGGUCGUGUGGUGGAUGAUGCAUCUUCUCUUCUUCUUCAAGGAAGCUGUGGUGUGGCGAAGGGGUUGGAGGGGGCUUCUCAAUUUAUAAUGUAGGGGAUGUGUGAGAAGUGGGAAAUGAGAUGAAAGGCAGCUUAAUUCAUCCUAUGUUUAUCUUUUUUAUCUACAAGUCAAACUUUGAUUUCUUUGAUUUUUUAUUAUUUUUUAGACGGUGUCACCUACUAUUCUAGAAGGCAAAGGGAAAUUGACAUCCAAAUUUUAUUUUCAUUUUAUUUUUUUGCCUCACGGCUCGGGCAUCUAUAAUUAUUUAUUUAUCAAUGUAGAAAAUCCUUGUGGGGAUAAAAGACACGUGAGUUCUGAUGGGGCGGGCCUCCAUCCCCGCAAUUCAAUCUCGCAUUCGCAUUCAUGUAUUAGGGUUUUGGACCACAAUAAUUAAUUAAAAAAAAUCAUAUUUAUAAUGACCUGUAAAAUAAUUCUCAAUUUAAUCCUUUUUUUUACAUGAAUUGUCACGUUCAUAAUUUUUAUUUUUAUUUUUGAGGUGCUUUCCAAUUUUUUAAUUUAAAAAUGACCUCGUUGAACACGUGGUCAGUAUGAAUUAAAUUAUAUAUUUUUAAAAUUCAAAUUAUAUUUAUAAUUAUUCCAAUCUUAUUAUGUAGAUAUUAUCCCAUUUGAAUCAAAAGUGGACAAUAUUUACACAAUUGUAUAUUGAGGAUUUGAUUGAUUCAUGAAGAGUAUUUGUUUACUUGACUUUAUAAUUUUUAAGAAAUGACAAAAACAUUAUGUUUGCAUGUGAUGUUCGUAAUAUUUCACAUAGGAUUGAGAAGGAAGUUAUUAAUUCUAUAUAAAUAUGAAAUUUUCUUAAUCAUGUAAAUGUGUUAUAAAGUUACAAGAAUCCUGUCAUCCUUAAAGAGGAUAAUGCUUACAAAUGUUUCAAAAUUAAUUUUGACUUUGUAGGGAGUGUUUAUCUUUUUGUGAAAAAGGAAAAUUAAAACUCUUUUUUAAAAUAAUUUUAUGAUAUUAAAAAUUAGAAAUUUGAAAAAUAAAAAAUAAUGUUUUGAGAACUUUUGAUGAAAUUAGGAUAUUUGAAUUAUUUUUCUUGUUUUAAUGAGAUUAUUUUUAAAAAUAAUUAUAUAAAUAUAAAGAAUAAUUUAAAAUAAAUUAUUGUAAAUAAAAACUAUUUUUAAAAAUAUAAAAAGAAUAUUUUAAGUGUUCAAACAAAAAUUUGUUUGGUAAACAUCAAAAUUUUGUUUGAAAAGUGUUUUUGAGUUCUAUUCUGAAAAUAGUCUUUAAAAACUAUUUUAUAAUCUUUCUAAAACAAAAGUUUCUGUUUUGACAGCUUGAAAGUUUGAAACACGGAAUUGCAGGCUUAUGCCCUACACGAGCAGGGGAACCUUCUGGAACUCGUGGACCCAAUUCUCGGUUCUAACUACUCUGAAUUUGGAUUUCUUAUGCACCAGCCCAUCUCCCACUCUCAGGCCAAAUUCCGCGUCUUCUGUAGUGAGCACGCUCCAAGGCAAAAUCGCUGUCCAAGCACCAAUAGCCAAGAGGAGCUCAAUGAACCAGGACAUGAGGUUCAAAGCCUUUGAGAGGCUGUCACAGGACAUAUCAUAUUAUGCUUUAUUUUCUUCUUUCAAUUUUUCCUCUGCUUUCUCUGCUACCAAACAAUGGCUUAUAUCAUUCUGCUGGAAAUUCUUUGUCCCUCUAUGCCAUAGCGAACUUGAUCUGAACCCAUAAUGUUUAUGGCCGAGUUGGAAUUCUGGGUAUUUAUUUUUUUCCUUUCUUUAAUUGGUUUGAAACCGGCACUGAAGCCGUAUUUUCAAAUUUUGACUGUUACAUAGGUUUUAAAGCCGCAUUUCCAAGAUGAGUUUUCUCAAUUAUGUAAGGGUUUGUUUGGAAAGUAUUUUUUAGAAUAGUUUCCUGUUUUUCAGAACGAAAAAACAAAGAAAAUGUGUUUGACAACCAUAAACUAUGUUAUGUUUUUUAUUUUUAAGAAUUAAAAAUAUAGUGUUUUAAAAAAACAUUUUUAAUUAUUUUAUAUUAUUUUCAUUUAAUUUUUUAGGGUUAUUUUAAAAAAUAAUCAUACAAAUAUGUCAAAUAUAUAGAAUAAUUAAAAAUAAAACAUUAGAUAUAAAAACAUAUUUAAAAAUAUUAAAAAUAGGUUAAAAUCAUUUUAAGUUUCACAUAGACUUAUGUUCUAUAAGAAUCAUAGAACAAUUUUUUAAAAAUAUUCAUAAAAACUAUUCUUCAAAAUUAUUUUGAAAAAUAGUUACCAAAUAGACUUUUGUCCUAGAUAUGAAAAAUCAUAUAGUUUUUUAUAAAUUGUUUUUAAUUUUUUAUUAUAUUUAUUAUUGUUAUUUUUAAAAAUAAAUUAGUUUAAAAAAUUAAGUUUCCUUAAAUACAAUAUUUACAUUUAUGAUGUAAAUUGAAAUCGAUAUUCAAAAUUUCAUAUAUUAAUUUUCCUUUUGCAAUGAUGUAAUUUCUUCUUAUUUAUUGAAUUUAUAAUUUUAUCAUCUAAUUAUAUAAAUAUAUAAAUUGAGAUCUCAUAUUACUAUGAUUCUAAGUCAUGUGAUGAAAAUAUUUUAUUUAGUUGCUUUAAUUUUAGAAAACUAUCCAUUCUUUCUAUUAAUUAUUAAAUAUUAAUUUCAAAAUUUUAUUUUUAGUAUUUAGUAAAAAACAAAAUAUUUUGACUUUUUCUAUUCAUUCAGAUAAAAAGUUAUAAAAAUAAGUAAUAAAUAAUAAGUUAAAAACAAACAAUUUAAUGUUUGAAAGCAAAUUACAUUCCAAUUAAGUUAAAAAACAAAUACCACUUCGAUAUUUGGUAAAAUUUAAUCCUUAUUAUUUAAUGACUUAAGUCAAAUUAUUCUUAAUAUGUUAACUUAAAAUUUGUUACUUACUUUUUUUUUUAAUCAUUAAAAUUGUUCGAUGAAAUUAACUUCAAAUUUAUUUUUAUUCCUCAAAUUAAUAUAAUUACUUUUGUUAAUUAUAAUUAAUAUUAAUCUUCAUUCAAUUAACUAAUUUAUUUUCAUUAAUUUUAAGCAAGACAUUUCUUUAUAAAACAUUUAUAUUUAAAGUAUUGAUAAAUAAGAUAACCAUAAAAGAUUUAUUAUAAAAAAUGAAUCAUAAAUUUGGAAUUAUAAUUUUAAAAUAUAUUCUCAUUAACAUAUGCAAAUGAAAAAAAAAAAGAUUUUGAGAUUAAGAAUAAGUUAAAUAUUUUGACUUAGUACUUAAAAGUUAUAAUAUUAAAUUAUUUUACCAAAUAUGAUUAAUCUACUUAAUGACUUAAAUUAAGUUGUCAAGUCAUUAAGUAAUUUAUCAAACACCUUGUUGACUUUAAACUUAUUGUUUAUUUUUUAUUUUAAAGUAUUAAGGUUGGUUGGUGAAAUUAACUUAAAAUUUAUCCUAUAUCGUCAAACAUAUUUACCCUUAUUAAUUUUAACUAAUAUUUAUAUUUUCAUUCAUAUUAAGAUAUAAACUUAUUCAUUAAAAAAAUCAUAUUUGAAGUAUUUUACAUAUAUAAAAUAACUACAAAAUAUUUACAUUCAAAAGAUGAGUUUCAAAUAUAGAGUUAUACUUGUAAAAUAUGGAAAAAUGAGAUAAAAAAGAUUUAAGAUUAAGAAUAAAUUACUUAUUUUAACUUACACUUUCUUCUUCUUCUUCUUUUUUUUUUUUUUGAAAUUUAAGUAGUAAUAUUAAGUUAUUUUCCAAAAUAUAUUUAAUUUACUUAAUGACUUAAAUUAAUUUAUUAAGUCAUAUUAAGUCAUUAAGUUCAUUUAUUAAACACCCUCUUAAAAUAUAUUUAUUUAUUUAUACUUAAAUCUAAAUAGAACUUAAUUUUAAAUACAACUUAAUAAUAUCAAAUAUUAAAUUAUUUAUUUUUUAUUAAUUUAUUUUUAUUAAGUAAUAAGUAUUAAUAAGGUGAGGGUCAUGCUAAAAUUGUGUUUUAAUUGUUUUGAAAAGUUAUUUUUAACGUUCAACAAAAAGUCAAAAUAUUUUGAUUUUUUCUAUUCGAUCAUUUUUAAAAAAAUAAGUAAUAAGUUAAAAAAAAAAUCUAAAGUCUAAAUGCAAAUUGCAUUAGACAUUAAGUUAAAAAAGCAAAUACCACCUUGAGCUUGGAACUUAUUAUCAAACUCAAAUAGUUAAUUUCUAAUGCUUUUUGGUUUGCAUGCCCAAUUUUAAGUUAGGCAUUUUAUAUUUUUCUUAACAAAAAAAAUUAUUUUCUAAAUUAAAUUGAAUGACAUUGGCCUUAAACAAUUUAGUUAGUUAUUGUCUAUGAAUCUAAUUGGACUGAACAACAUGAUUUUCAUUUGAGAUUUGGUCAGUAUGAUUCUCAGUGCAUAUAAACCAAUUACAUUAAUUUGAUUAGAUUUUAGUUUUCAAUGUGAAAUAGUUAUCAUUUGUAGUGAAUUUGAGGAAAUAGUAAUUAUUUGUAGUCAGGGAUAUUAGUUAAUGUUCAAAAUGAGAGACUAAUUUGUGGUCUUAGAAAAUGAGAAUAAUUUUUGUCAAGUUUUUAUUUAUUUAUUUAUUUGGAUAACCCAAAUGCCAAAAAUAUAUGUUCAUUUCAAUAUUUAAUAACAAUAAAAAUAAAAUUAGAAAAUAAACGCAUUUUUAUUAUGGUUACAUUUUACAUUUUACUAAACUUUUGCCCAUUUUAUUACUAGCCAAAAUAAAAUAAAAUGUAUUGAAAAUUAUUAUUAUUAUUAUUUGUGGUUUUCUCAAUAAUAAAAUAGAACCUAAUAACUUUGUUAUUAAUAGAAUUAAAAUUUAAAAUACUAAAAAAUUAAAGAGGGAAUGAAGAAUGCGAGAAAUGAUAUGAACAAUGUAAGGAUUAUCAUAUUUUUCAUACAAUUUCUCACAUUCUUUGUAAUUUUAUAAUUUUUUUUUCAGUUAAAAAUAUAAUAAUAUUGUUUAUCCAUAUUAAUUAAGCUUGGAAAUGAUGAAAAUUAUCAUUAAUAAAACAUUAAAUAAUUGUAACUAAAUAAUUGUAGAUGGUAGAAUAAGAAGAAUGUGAGGAAUGAUACAUGAGGAAUCCUUACAUUUUAAUUGGAGAGGGUACGAUCACAUACGAAGAAUGUUAUAAAAAAGUAUGAACAAUAUGAAAAUUCUUCACAUUUUUUUUGUCAUUCCCACAUUCUUGGUACCGUCCAAAAUUUUCUAUUUUUUUAUUUUAAGAAUUUUUUUUCCACUUCCCAAAAAUACUUUCUAUAUUUAAUCCAGUCUUCUCCAUAAAAAAAAUUACAAUUAAUAAUACAAUUUUUAAUUAAUAAUUGAUUGAUCAUAAUUCUAAUUUAAUAAUAAAUACUCAUUUUAAGUUAAUUAUAAAUGAUUUUUUCACGAGGUCUUAGUGUUUAAAAUUUAUAUCAUAAAAGGAUACAAUACUUCUUUGAAGACAUGGAUGCAAAACAAGAAGAGGAUAAGAAGGUAAGCAAUCGGAUUGCGGAAACAAGAGAAGUCGCCUACAAUGCUGAGGAUGCUAUUGAAAAUUAUAAUCUCCGUGAUUUUGCUAGUAAAUGGACCCUGAAAAGAAAAUUGACUUGGUUCUGAUUCCUCUAUUUUUUUAAGAAUACCGAGUCGGGUUCUUCUCCUACCCGUAUUGAAUAGAACAUGCUGAGGCAAAUCUUCUUCACUGCUUGCUUUAGAUCGGGAAAAUCGUAUCGAAUGUUGGAUCUGAGAUUGAGAGUAUUCAAAAAAAAAUAUCUCUGACCUUACAAGAAGUUUAGAAACCUAUGGCAUUAAAGCUGUGAAAGUCUGUGAAAGCUUGACUCGGGCCGUGAAUGUCAACAGACGUAAUCUUAUUCUCAUGUUAACAAAGAGGAUGUUGUUGGGUUGGAUGGUGAAUGAUGAAAGUUGUCUGGUUAUUUCUAGUUGCGGUAUGGGUGGUUUGAGGACACGAGUGUUACGAAUUACUUCCAAGGUUUUUCUUGGGCAUAUAUAUAUCCUGACGAUGCCGCGAAAUCAUGUUUGAAAAGUGGCAACAUGUUUCUUGAUAUUAAACCUAAUUUUGCAGUUCAAACAUAUCCAAAUUACAUCCUAAAUUGAUUUGAGUAUCUUUGAUAAUAAUUUUAAACACUAAGAAGGUUAUAGGGGUUUUAAUAUUUGAAAUAUAAAAAUUUUUAAAUGUUAGAAAAGUUAGAAAUAUUUUUUUAAAAUCAUUGUUAAAUGUCCUAUUUAAAAAAAACAUUUAUAAUCCAAAAAGUGUUUUAAAGAAAAACAAGGUAUUUAGUAAAAAUAUUUAAGAAAUAUUUAAAAAAAUUUUAAAAAUCAAUUAUAGUGUUGAAAAAACAUUUAUAAUAUUUUUUAGAUAAAGAUAUGUAAUUAUCCUUAAAACAUUAAGGUUAUGUUUGGUUCCCGGAAAAUACUAAGGAAAGAAAAAAAAUGCAAAGGAAAAUAAUUUUUUUAUGUUUGGUUGUCCUAUGAAAAAUAUCAAAGAAAAUCAAAUAUGAUUAAAACUAAUUAAAAACUUAUGUAUUUUUAAAUUAUUUAAUCUUUAUAUUGAUGAGUUAAAAUAAAUAAAAUGAGUUUAAAGUAACAAAAAAAAUAAUUUAUCAACUUUUAAUCUAUUUUUUUAUUUUCCUUCACUUUUUCUUUUCCUCUGCUUUUCCUUUGUAUUUUCUUUCCCUUGCAUUUUCCUUCAAAGUUUUUGGGAACCAAACAUAGCCUAAAGAGAAAAUAUUUCUGCUAAAAACACUUCAAAUGUACUCGAAUGAUCAUCAAUUGUUUAGCAAAUAAUUUCAUGAUUUUGAAAUGUUACAUGAAUUAUUUGACAAGGACAUAGCACCUACAACUGCAUUAAAAAGCUUGAAAAAUAAGGUCCCUCCAUUUAACAAUGGAAGAAAAUGUGAAAUCAUAUAUCAAAUUAAUAAGCUCAUGUCAUAAAACACAGGUAGUCAUGAAAAUUUUAAUAAAUUAUUUAGUUGAAAAGUCAAAUCUUCUUUGUGUACACUCAAAGGUCUUGCGUUCCAUGAUUCAAAUUUUAUUUAUUUUUAUCUUAAAAUAAGAAGUUGAAGUUAAAAUAAUUUAGGUCAUUGAUUAAUCUUCAAACAAUUAAUAAUAUUUGUCAUUUAAGUUUUUAGUAAAUGAUGUUUUUAAUUAAUAUUGUUAUAAUGGAUUUAUAUAAUCUUCAUAAUUGAAUUUAUUUAUUAAUUAAAUAAGAUUUCUUUGGAUCUCUCUUGUAAUACCAAAUAUGGAAAUAACUAAUAUUGAGAGUUUUGGAUCAGUGAUUGAUGUGAUACUUAUGUGAUUCGAAGCUAUAUUAAACAUAAAUUUUAAAAAACGACUUAAAAAUUAUAUUUUUAUAUUCCAAUGGCUCUCAAGAGACACGUGACAUGUUUUUUGCACAUAAUUAUUUCAAUUUAUCAUAUCUUUUUUUUUUAACUUGAAAUUAUGAUCCGUUUGAAACAUUAGAUUCAUGACUUCUUGAGUAUCAAAAUCAUAUGUAAUUUGGUGUGAUAAGAGGGUUUAUGGUUGGACAUUUGAAUCCAAACUUCCAAUAUUGAUCUCUUAUAGGAUAUUUUGCUUAUAAUUUUUCUUUAAAAACGACACAAAGAAAAACUGCAAAUGAGAGAGGAGAAAGCCAUAAACAUGGCUUGUCACAUUUAUUGCAACACAUUGCACACACGUACACACGGAUAAGAGUCCUGGGCCACCACGUGUCACCAAAUCAGAGACUCUGAGGGCAUUAUUUACUACAACAUAAACAAGAAAGCAAAAAACAUAGAAUUACAAACACACCCCUCUCUUCCAGCUGCUGGCCGUCACCUCCAUUCACAUGAUGACUUGUAGGCACGAGUCCCAAGGGUAGGUAGUUAGCGACUUAGCAGUGGCGGUGGUGGGGAGGGCCGUGCGGACCGGGAUGACAAUGAGGUCCCGGAGGAGGAGGGCAGUGGUGAGGAGGGCCGUGGUGAGGAGGGCCGUGGUGAGGAGGGCCAUGGUGAGGAGGGCCGUGGUGAGGAGGGCCGUGGUGAGGAGGGGGGCACAGCUGAGGGGGCGGCGGACCGUGGUGGUGGGGAGGUGGUGGACCAUGGUGCGGAGGGCAAUGGGGCGGGGGCGGAUGUCCGUGGUGGUGGUGGUGGUCGUGGUGCGGGUCGUGUGGUGGAUGAUGCAUCUUCUCUUCUUCUUCGAGGAAGUUGUGUUGUGGCGAAGGGUUGAAGGGAGCUUCUCAAUUUAUAGAAGCAAAGCUAACUUUCAUACUAUGUCUAGUCUUUUUUUAACUGCGAGUCAAACCUUCAUUUUUUUAUUUUUUAGACGGUGUCACCUACUAUAAUUAUUUAUUUAUUAAUGUAGAAAAUCCGCGUGAGGAUAAAAGCCAUGUGAGUUCUGAUGGGGCAUUGUCAGGGCCCCUGCAAGUCUCCGUCACCUCCGCAAUUCAAUCUCGCAUUCACAUUGAUGUAUUAGGGUUUUGGCCCACAAUAAUUAAUAAAAAAAAUCAUAUUAAUACUGACAUGUAAAAUGAUUCUCAAUUUAAUCCUUCUUUAUACAUGAAUUGUCGCCACCAUAAACCUUUUUUUUCCGAAGCUUCUUUUCUAUUGAUGUAUUAGGGUUUUGGCCCACAAUAAUUAAUAAAAAAAAUCAUAUUAAUACUGACCUGUAAAAUGAUUCUCAAUUUAAUCCUUCUUUAUACAUGAAUUGUCGCCACCAUAAACCUUUUUUUUCGAAGCUUCUUUUCUAUUGAUGUAUUAGGGUUUUGGCCCACAAUAAUUAAUAAAAAAAAUCAUAUUAAUACUGACCUGUAAAAUGAUUCUCAAUUUAAUCCUCCUUUAUACAUGAAUUGUCGCCGCCAUAAACUUUUUUUUUUUUAAGCUUCUUUUCUAUUUUUCUAAUUAAUAAUUACCUAACCAUGUGGCCAAUCUAGAUUAAAUUAUACAUUUUUUAAAAUCAAAUAAUAUUUGUAACAUUUGGCGUACAAUCCUAUAAAUAUUAUCUCAUUUAGAUUUAAAAUUGACAAUAUUUAUACAGUUGGAUGCAAGUUGUUAUUAAGAGUUUAUUUAGCUCCAUGAGGGAUAUUUGUCUAUUUGACAUAUAAUCUCAUUUAAAAGAUGUUUGUAAUAUACUAUAUUGGAUGUGAAAGAAAAUUAUUUACACAAUAUAAAUAUGAACUCCUUUAAAUCACUUAGACAUAUUUUGAAGUCAUAAGAACCCCUUUAAGCUCAAGAUGAACAUUAUUUAUACGAUUAAGUGCGAAUUAUUACAAAUUAUAUUAAAGUCAGUCCAAUAAUCCUCAAUUUCAAUGUAGGGGGUUUGUUUGGAACUCUUUUUAAAAAUAAAUUUAUGAUAUUAAAAAGUAGAAAAUUGAAAAAUAAAAAAUAAUGUUUGGAGAACUUUGGAUGAAAUUAGGAUGUUUGAAUUCUUUUUCUUGUUUUAAUUUAUUUUUAAAAAUAAUUAUAUAAAUAAAGAAUAAUUUAAAACAAAGUACAGUAAAUAAAAACUAUUUUCAAAAAAUAAGAAAACCAUGCUGAGAAUAUCGUAAGUUUUGAAAUAAAUUUGUCUUUAAAAACUAUUUUAUAAUCUUUGUAAAACAAAAGUUUUUUUUGACUACUUGAAACGUAGAUUGCAAGCUUAUGUCCUACGCGAGGAGGGAAACCUUCUAGAACUCGUGGACCCAAUUCUCGGUUCUAACUACUCAGAAGAAGAGGCAGCAAGGCUGCUGAAUUUUGCUCUCUUAUGCACCGGUCCAUCUCCCACUCUCAGGCCAAUAUCCGUGUCUUCUGUGUUGUCCAAGGCAAAAUCGCUGUCCAAGCACCAAUAGUCAAGAAGUGCUCAAUGAACCAGGACAUGAGGUUCAAAGCCUUUGAGAGGCUGUCACAGGACAGCCUAUCUCAUGUCUCGGCAUUCUCCCAAGAAAGCCAGGUGCAAGGCAGCAUAUCAAUGAACGGGCCAUGGAGCUGCAUAGAAAACUUGGAUUCUCUAUGGCAUAAAUUUCCUGGGAAUUCAUCCUUAAACUCACUUGCAUUUAUAAAAUAAUAAUUUAAUGAUAAAAAAACGGAGUUCAACUUUUCAAAGCUUUUCCUCUUACAUCCCCUCCCCCUUCUCCUCUUAAAUGCUCGAAUUUAUUCAAUUAAGAGCUCUUUGAUAGUAAUUAUGAAAAAUAUUUUUAAUAUUUUCAAUACUUAAAUUUUUUUAUCAUUUAAGCGUUAAAAGUUCAACUUUUCAAAGCUUUUCCUCUUACACCCACACCCCCACAUUCCCCUCUUAAACGCUCCAACUCAUUCAAUUAAGAGUCCAUUUGAUAGUGAUUAUGGAAAACAUUUUUAAUAUUUUCAAUGCUUAAAAUUUUUUAUUAUUUAAGUAUUAAAAAUACUAAAAACAUUUUUUAAAAUAACUUCCAAACACCCUCUUAGUAUAAAGCAAACUAGUCAAUCAAGAGUUGCUAUUGACAAAAAAUUUUAAAAAUAAGUAAUGAGCAAUAAGUUGAAAACAAACAAUCUAAUGUUUGAAAACAAAUAAUAUUCAAAUUAAGUUAAAAAAAAAAAAAGCAAAUACCAUUGUGAUGUUUGAUAAAAUUUAAUACUUAUUAUUUAAUGGUUUAAGUCAAAUCAUUCUUAAGAUAUUAACUUAAAAUUUAUUAUUUACUUUUUAUUUUAAUCAUUAAGAUUGUUUGACAGAAUUAACUUAAAAUUUAUUUUUAAUCGUCAAAUUAAUAUAUUUACCUUUGUUAAUUUUAAUUAAAAUUAAUCUUCAUUCAUUUUAACUUAUUUAUUUUCAUUAAUUUUAAGCAAUAAAUUUCUUUAUAAAACAUCUAUAUUUAAGGUAUCAUAGAUACAUAAAAUAACCAUAACAUAUUUAUUAUAAGAAAUAAAUCAUGGAUGUGGAAUCAUAAUUUUAAAAUAUAUUCUUAUUGGCAUGAGCAAAAAAAAAAAAAAAAAAAUAAAUUAACUAUUUUAACUUAAUCCUUAAAGUUAAACAUGAUUAACUUUAAGUUGUAAUAUUAAAUUGUUUUAUCAAACAUGAUUAAUUUGUUUAAUGACUUAAAUUAAGUUGUUAAGUUGAUUUACCAAACAUCCUCUAGUUAUUGACUUUAAACUUAUUGCUUAAUUUUUAUUUUAAAAUAUUAAGGUUGUAUGAUGAAAUUCAUUUAAAGUUUAUUCUAUAUCAUCAAAUUAGCAUAUUUACCCUUGUUAAUUUUAACUAAUAUUUAUAUUUUCAUUAAUGUUAAGAAAUCAAUUUAUUCAUUAAAAAUUAAUAUUUAAAGUAUUGUACAUAUAUAAAAUAACUACAAAAAUAUUUACCCUCCAAAGAUGAGUUGCAAAUAUAGAGUUAUAGUUAUAAAAUAUAUUUUACUAAAUAUGGGGAAUAUGAGAUAAAAGAGAUUUAAGAUUAAUAAUAAAUUGAUUAUUUUAAUUUAAUACUUAAUUUUAAAAAAUUUAAGUAGUAAUAUUAAGUUAUUUUACCAAAUAUGUUUAAUUUACUUAAUGACUUAAAUUGAUUAUUUAAGUCAUAUUAAAUCAUUAAAUUAAUUUUUUAAAUACCCCUUAAAGAGGUAUUUAUUUAUUUUUACUUAAAUAUAAAUAUAACUUAAUUUUAGAUACAACUUAAUAGUAUUAAAUAUUAAAUUAUUUAUUUUUUAUUAUUUUAUUUCUAUUAAGUAUUAAAUAUUAAUAAGGCGAGGGUCAUAUUAAAAUCAUGUUUUAAUUGUUUCAAAAAGUUAUUUUUAAUAUUAAGGAAAAAGUCAAAAUAUUUUGGAUUUUUCUAUUUAGUCAAUUUUUUUUUAAAAAAUAAGUAAUAAGUAAAAAAAAAAAUUAAAAACAAAUCAUUUAAAGUCUAGAUGCAAAUUGCAUUCAACAUUAAGUUAAAAAAAAAAAACGAAUACCACCUCGAACUCUUAUUAUCAAACUCAAAUAGUUAAUUUUUAAUGCUUUUUGGUUUGCAUGCCCAAUUUUAAGUUAGGCAUUUUAUAUUUUUCUUAACAAAAAAAAAAUGAUUUUCUAAAUUAAAUUGAAUGGCAUUGACCUAAACCAAUUUAGUUAGUUAUUGUCUAUGAAUCUAAUUGGACUAAACAACUUGAAUUUCAUUUGAGAUUUGGUCAGUAUGAUUCUCAGUGCAUCUAAACCAAUUACAUUAAUUUGAUUAGAUUUAGUUUUCAAUGUGAAAUAGUUAUCAUUUGUAUUCAAUUUGAAUUUAUUAGUUAAUGUUCAAAAUGAGAGAUUAAUUUGUGGUCUUAGAAAAUGAGAGUAGUUUUUGUCAAGUUUUAUUUUUAUAUUUGGAUAACCCAAAUGCCAAAAAUAUAUGUUCAUUUCAAUGUUUAAUAACAAUAAAAAUAAAAUUAGAAAAUAAACAUAUUUUUUAUUAUGGUUACAUUUUACAUGAACUUCUUUAUUUAUUUAUUUAUUUUAUAGCCAAAAGUUACAUUUAACUCAUAAAAACAUGAUACAUUUUAAUAUUUACAUUGAAAUUAAAAGUGGAGGAAAAAAUCUUAAAGUAUUUUUUAUAUUUUUUAUUUUAAUUAUUAUUAUUAUUUAAGAUGUCAAUAGUCUUAAUUUUAUUGUUAAAAAAUUAUUUUUACAAAAGUUUCUCAAACAUAUUUGUUAAGCAAGAAAGAAAACUUUUCUUGUUUAUAAAAUAAAAUAGAAAAUUGUUAGAAAAGAGUAAAGACAAUUUCCUUUAUGUUUGGUUAGAACGGAUGAGGCAAAAAGGAGCAAAUAAGAAGGGUAAAACCGUCAGAACAAAUUGGUUAUUUCUAUUUGCGGUAUGGGUGGUUUGGGGAAGACCACUUUGCCCAGAAGGUUUAGCAUGACACCAGUGCAACGAAUUACUUCCAAGGUUUUUCUUGGGCAUAUAUAUAUAUAUAUAUAUAUAUCCCGACAAUGUCAAGCAAAAGAUGUCCAAGUAAUUUUAUUUGAUCUCCUCCGUCCAAACAAAAGUAAAGAGGAAGAGAUGUUACAAAUGUGAUAGACUGAACUUGUUAGGAGAGUGUACGAAGUCCAAAUAAGAUAAAGAUAUUUAAUCAUUCUCAAUGAUGUUUGGACUAAAAAUGCUUGGAAAAGCCUAAGACUUGCAUUCUUAUUGAAACAAGGAGGUUCCAAAAUACUGCUCACUACACGGAAUAAAAAUGUAGCCAUGCAUGCAGAUAUAAAAGGCUUUAUUUAAGAAACUGUGUAGCCAUGUAUGCAAAUACAAAAGACUUCAUUUAUGAACCUCAGUGCUUGACUCUUGAAAUGAGUUUGGAGCUGCUCAAGAAAGCAAUAUUUCUAAGAGGCAGUCCAGGUAUGUAUCUUGAGUCACUCCGCUCUCUAUAUAAAUUGAGCUAUAUUCCAUUAUUAAUUUUUUUGUGACAUAAGGCUUCCAUUGAAUUUCAAUUGUUUAGACAAUUAAUAUCAGCUAGUUUGUUCUUUCUUUGAUUUUCAGAUUUUACACGGGAAAGUCUAAGGAAGCAAAUUGUGACGGACUUAGGUUUCUCCUAAACUCACAUGCAAUAUUUAAACAAUUCAAUACAUUUGAUGUUGUUAAGUCGGUCUUCUCGUUGUACUUAACUUUUUAGGCUAAGUUAGGCACACGACUUGAAAUUUAAGAAAACCAAAGGCAACACUUAAACUAAAGGAAACUUGUAUUACACAAAUGAAUGCUUACAAUGACUAGAUGCUCUCACUUGUUUGGUGUCUUGAUCAAAUGAGACUCACCUAUUUAUUGACACUUUAAGAACUUAAAAUCUUGAAGGGUUCCUUACAAAUCAAGAAUUCUUUAGAACAUCCUACACAAGUCCUAUGCAUAAGUAUUUACAAAAAAUCUUUGAAACUCUCCAGCUCCAUACUCUUCUCUUGUCUUCUAGCUUAGUGUAGAGAUGCGUGAAUAUAUAUAUAUAUAUAUAUAUAUAUAUAUAUAUAUAUAUAUAUAUAUAUAUAUAUAUAUAUAUAUAGAAAGAUUCCUUAUUUUUCAAUCCGAGCCACCUAAGCUUCAACUAGAUGCUUUAUGUAAAAUUAUUUGUAUAUGCACUACAUCAAUGUAAAAGGUUGGAUCUCAUAUAAAUUUUCCUGUCUUAUAGUUUUAAUUUGAUAAAAUUAAAAUGGUAAUAAAACUUCAAUUAAACUAAAUCUGUGGACAAAUACUUUACAAUAAAAUUAUUUAAUAAUAACUAUUAAGUACACAAGUGUAUUAAAAUUAAAAGGAAAACUAGUUAUGAUACGAAGAAGAGAUUAAAAAACAGUUAAUGAUUUAUUGUCGAUGGUCCACCAUUGACAAUCAGCAACAAGUGGAAACGGCCCUGUACUUUUCAGGGUACUAUGAUACUAAUAUGAAACUUGAAAUGAAAAAUAAUAAUGAUGAUGAUAAAAAAAUUAUAAUUUUUGUUGAGAUAUAAGGAAUGUUGAGAUAUUAUGAUAUUAGUUGUUCUUUCCUUAUAUCAUUCUUUCAUUGUAUUAUUCUUUCCCAUUCUUAGACUGGUGAUUAUCCUCUAUAUAUACUCUGUAGAUGAACGAAUGAAAUAAUCAAUGAAAAACUACCAUUCAUCAAUUUGAAGAUGGUAUCAGAGCCAUGAAGCUGAAAUCCUGGAUAUUUUGUCAGUAAGGCCAACCAUCGCCCCUCCUUCGCGAUAAAAAAAAUAAAAAAAAAAUGAAUGAAAAAAAUACUAUUGUUUUUCAAUCUGAAGGUACUUUUAAUCCAUGAAUUAUUUUAACUGAAUCAAACUAUGAUAUUUAGUCACAACUCGUGGAGAUGCAUAUUGUCGAAUGGGAAAAACUUUCCUACAUUCGAGGUAAGACAAAUCCACCAAAAGAGUCAGAAGAUGGAUAUGAAAAAUGGUAUGCUGAAAAUCAAAAGGUGAAAAGAUGGUUGUUAAUGUCCAUGAGUCCAGAAAUUAUGAAACGUUACUUAAGCUUACUGUAGACCCCUAUUUGGGUGCUAUUUCAUGCAGCUCAUUCUGGCCACAUGUCACUCCCGGAUUAGUCAAUAUGGGAUCACUAUAGUGGAAUUGAUGGACUAAUCAGGGGAAGACACCUGUAAAGGGAAAGAAUCUUCUAGAAGGGAAAAAGGUUUUCUGUUAUGGGAAGGUGGCAGAGCAGCUGCAGGGGGAAGAGCAUUUUUGGCUGCAGGGUGAUGGUUACUGGCAGAGAGCUGCAGGAGGGCAGGUGCUUUUGGGGACGUGUUGGAGGAGGCCGUUAGGGAUUUUUUUUGGAGAGUUUAGAGAGACAUUCUUGAGGGGCAAGCUGGAUAUGCAGAGAGGGGAGAGAAAAACGAAAGGAAAAAUCAGAAGAGAGAGGUACUUGGGCUGCUGAAAGGAUUGCCAAGGGAGUCCAGAGGGAGUUUCCAUUAGAGAGGGAGUUGAGAGCUGUUAUUGAGAUAACAGAGGAGGGUUUUUGACCAAGGGUAGAGGAAGCUUAAGUUGCAAAGGAGUGAUAGCAGAGAGCUUUGGGAAAAGAAGUGGUUCCUGGAGCUGCAGAGGAGGUUUUUCUGGAGAGUAUUCCUGGAGCUUAGGCUACUACGGAGGGAAGGCUUAGAGGAGAUAUUCUCUGAUAGCAAGAAGAGGAAACUUUCAGCGCAUUCGCGAUUGCCGCCCAGGUACGCAUCUAUUCAUAUUUUGCUCAUUCUUUAUACAUGCUUUGCUUCUCACAUGUGCAUGAUCACUCUGAGUAUUCAUUGAUUCCCGCAUCAAUUGCUAUGAUUGCUUCAUUUUAUUAUUAAAGACCCGACUUUAUGGACUUAGAGGGGUGCUACGGUCGUUACCGUAUCUUCCCGAUAAGUAACCUGACCCCCGAACCCGAUCCGGUUUUUCGUAGAUUACCUUUUCCAAAAUAAGGAGUCGCACUUAGGGUUUUCUUUCUUAUUUUGUUUACCCUUUUAAAAAAUAAAAAAAUAAGUGGCGACUCCAAGUCAUUUUUCUUAAUCAAUAAAAAUCAUUUUUCAAAUUAAAAUCGAGCUCGCCAUCAAGUGGGAAAAGCAUUGAGCCGAAAUACGGGGUCCACGAAAUCGGCCAUCUUCUUGUCAUGUCAGUUCAGUUUCUAGGACCGCACCUAUACAAUCGGUCAUCAUCUUAUUAGUUUGAGUCGGGGCCGCACCUAUACGAUCGGUCAUCUUCCUGUCAUGUCAGUUCAGUUUCUGGGACCGCACCUAUACGAUCGGUCAUCAUCUUAUCAGUUUGAGUCAGGGCCGCACCUAUACGAUCGGUCAUCAUCUUAUCAGUUUGAGUCGGGGCCGCACCUAUACGAUCGGCCAUCUUCCUGUCAUGUCAGUUCAGUUUCUAAGACCGCACCUAUACGAUCGGUCAUCAUCUUAUCAGUUUGAGUCGGGGCCGCACCUAUACGAUCGGUCAUCAUCUUAUCAGUUUGAGUCGGGACCACACCCAUAUAGAUCGGUCAUUCAUUCUUCCUAUCAGGUCAGUUCGGCGUCCAGGUCUUUGCUUCAGUAUGACAUUCAGGGUCACAUUUCCAUUUUGGGCGUUCAGAUUCAUUUUCUUCCCCUUGUUACCUUAUGCUUAUCGUUUCAUCAUUGCUCUUCUAGACUUCCCCUUCCAUUGCACAUGACAUAGUUCUUUGAGUUCGUGACACAUACUUUUGUCAUGUUAUUAGGCACCCUACACCCAGCAUUCUCGUAUAGCUCACCUAGGGCAGUCUCCUUUGAGCGUAGUCUUUUCUAUACUCUAGGGUGGUUCAACCGUUACUCAUCUUUGACAUCGAUCCUUGAGUCACUUUUGGAGACGUCUUAGAAGGAGCUUGGAUCCUUAGUGUGGCUUCAGAGGCAUUUUGAGACAUCUUUUUCUUUUAAGAUUAGAGCCUUUGUGUUCAUCUGUUAGUCUGAGUGAGUUUAUAUCUCACUAGUGUCCCUAUGGGGGUCUCCUUGGUUUUUCGGUAGAGUUCACUUCAUUGCACUCACUAUUCACACUUACUUUUCACUCCAGUGUUCAUGUUCUUCACACUCGUGAACUCUACCGAAGAGGGGCAUAUUUGUAGACCCCCUUUUAGGUCAUUCCUACCUUGCAGCUCAAUUUAACCACGUGGAAGAGCCUUGGUCAGCCACGUGUCAACACCUGAGAAGCCAUGAGAGAAUCAUAAUAGUGGUUUGGGGAGCCAAUCAGGAGGUGACGCGUACAUGGGAAUAUACUGGCCGUUAGAAGAGCAGAUGCUGGCAGCUGGUGGCAGCUAGAGGUGAGGUGCUUUUGGAGAGGUUUGCCAGCUGCAGGAAGGGUGUCGUCUGGCAGAGUGGAAGGAGGUACCUGGGCUGCUGGCAGGAGCUCUCUGAGCAGGCCGUUGGAGAUAUUUUGAAAAAGGAGGCUUUUCUGAGGGUCUCCAGGAUGGUCUGGGGAGAGGCGGGGGAGAGAUUUUUUUCAAGGAUAUUUUAGUUUCAGAGUUUUCCGGAGAGAACAGAGAGCUAGAGGGAGAGAAGAGAAAAGAAAAAGAAAGAAAUCAGAGGAGAGGGAGAUACCUGAAAAAGGAAGAGAAAAUGAGAGGAGAGCUUUAGAAAGAGGAGGAUAAGAGUUCUUGAGAGUUGAAAAAAAGGCUUAGAGGGGAUUAGCUAGAGAAGAGGGGAGAGCUUUCACAGGAGGUCAAGACAAAGGUGAGAGCAGAGUGUGAUAUUUUUUUGAGGAGGCUACCGGAGAUAUUUGGGGGAUUCUUUGCUUUCCGGUGAGGCAGGGAGAUAUUUGAGAGAACAUCUUCUUAGCUAGAAGAAAAGAACGGAGACAGAGGAGGGAGGAAGCAUCCUCAGGUACCUUCAUCGUGGAUUCCCUGUUAGUUUCUAUCGGUAUGUUUUUCUAUUCUGUUUCCGCUGAUUCUUAGAUGAUGUUUAUUGAUUAGGAGUGAGCAUGUUGAUAUUUUGCUCAUGGUCUUUUUGUAGUUUGAUUUGCUCUUGUUUUGUUCUUUUCAUGAGAUAUUUCCGUAACAGUGUUCUAUCUUUUAUUUGAUACUCGUUUGAUUUCACCCACCCUCACGAGCUCAUUGAUUGAUAUAUGAAAUGAGGCUUGAGUGAGUUCAUGUUGUUCCUAUUGCUUGCACUCUGUUUUUGCUGUCCGCCCUGUUUCUGGUACCCAUACCUGGAGUGCAUUAUUUUUCUCAUUUCUACCUUUGGAAGUAAGGAAUUACAGAGGGUCAUUCUCAGUAGGAGAGUGCUUGGUGAACACUUAGGCACAAAGAUGACAUGUUCAUCAGGGUAGGAAGGCCCUGAGUGUGCAGUUGCUGGGUUGAUUCAUUGCCUGAUAUUAUUGCCAUGCGACACAAGAAAGGUUGUCUCAUCAUUUGAAAAGAAUCUUGCCUGGCAAAAGGCUCUUUGACUAUGGGACUGACGAGUCUUAACCGGAGUUAUGCUCAUCCGUGCAUGGUUAUGAAAUACCAGAUGUGACUGUGUAACAUUGAGGUGUCUCACCUGUGGUAUUGAAGGAGCUAGAAACAGAAAUAUUAGAAGCCUAUGAGCAGGCUCCGGAGUCAGAUAAAUGCUGCGCGGGGUAUACCGUCUAAACAAUCAUCAUGGAUCGGGCCUUGAAAAUUCUUGGGUCAUGGCAAGCCUAGCACCAGAAGGUUUAUGAUUUGACGCUCGUAAUUGUGAUGCUAAAACGGAUGAAUGCGUUUAAUGGAUGGACGGAAUUUCUUCAUAUCUCAUGAUGAGAUCUUAAGAUAAUUUUGAUGCUAUGGGUUUGCAAGAAAGCCGUCUCCGAGCAGCCUGUUUGUGAAUUGGUAGAAUGUCAAACCUCGAUUGCAUGUAGCUUGUAAUCCCGGAGCAGAAUAAUUCACAAUGAGAGGGAAAAUGGAGGAAUUUCUGAUAGACCUAAUGUUGCUGUGGGUGUCUUCCAUAAGUAUUUUUGAAGUCGCAGGACUCUUAUUUCUUGAAUAUCCAGGUCUGGUCGCCUAUUCUUACAGACAUCUAAGGAGCUUGAGAGGAUGGAAAUAGGAUUGCCGGAACGUGGCAGGAUGGUGAUAGGAAACAUUCACCACUGUCAUUACUGUUGAGGGCCACGUGUUGACCAUUAUAUCUUUGCUUGAACUAUUACUGUUUCUGCUAAUUGAGGUGUCAUGCAGCACUGAAUCUCCACACCCAGGUUGAGGUUUAGAUCUUGGGGGACUGCCGAAACUUGCCGGAAAAAAUAUGACAAGGUAACCUCAUACAAACCCUUCUCUCAUAUUAUCCAUCUUCAUUCUUCCCACAUCACCUGCCCAUGUCCUCUCAUCACCUUUCCAAUUUCACACCUCCCCGCACCCGUGACCUUACUCGCAGCUAAACCCAUAAAUCCUUUCUCUCACUACUUCCCUUCCUCCAUCUCUGCAUGCAUGGCUGCUCUACCUCUUUGUGGCGAGACCUAGAAUAUAAAAGCAUCCGAUUGGAAAGUUUGCAAGCUGGGCUUAAAUGGUUUUCCAGAGGAUAAAUCCUUAAAUGGACCCUGUUCCCGUCCGUCGCUCUCGAUCUUCGUGGAAAAUGAAAGCGGGGUCACAUUUGAAACUUCCAAAGUGUCUCAUCUCAGUGCACCAGAAAUGGGUUUUCUAAAGGACAUGUGGAAUCCAUGGUGAUCUCUUGAUAUUGGAUCUUCACGGGAAUAAUAGGAUUGGUCUGUCACGGACCUUUCCUACUGUUGCAGUUCAACAUAAUUGCACCCCUGGGACCCACUUGUGCAUGAACUGCAUGGCCAUCUUCAGGCCACCUGUCUUUCUGCCAUUGCUCUCUCUUAUUUCCUUAUUAUUUAAUUUUGAAAAUAAUUCUUCCAGACCCCAUUUUGUAAAUAACCUUUUUCAAAUUGUGGUUUUUCAAAUAAUUCCAACUCUCCUUAGUUUUUCGUCCUUAGUUUUUUUUUAGGUCCCCAAAAUCACUUUUUUAAUCAAAUUUGCUUCCAAUUCCUAUUCGGCAAGCAAUUUUCAAAUUUAUUUUGGUAUUUUAAAACGUUUUAAAAUAAAUAUGAAUUUAAAUUCCGUAAUCCGGACUAAUGGAAUUUAUGGAAUUAAUUCAUGCAAAAUAAAACGGGCUUUGGUGGGGGCCCCACAUAGGUGAUUUUAUAAUUGAUUGAUUGAUUGUUUGACUGAUUUACUUAUCAUGCAUGAUUGAUUUAAUCUAUUCCUUGAUAUGCGCUUCACUAUAUUUGUUCAUUGUUCACUGAUCCUGCUUCAUGAUAGCGCAUUUGUCACUGAGGAUCCAAGUACGCACCUACUUUCACUCUGGUAAUUAUCCUCUAUUGCAUAUUCUGACACUCAUAUGUGCAUGAUUGAUUCAGGUAUUCAUUGAUUUCUUUAUUAGAUGCCACGAUUGCUUCAUUUUAUUAGUAGAGACCCGACUUUAGGGACUUAGAGGGGUGUCUUUUACCGUACCUUCCCGAUAAGUAAUCUGACCCCCGAACUCGAUCCGGUUUUUCGCAGACCACCUUUUCCAAAACAAGGAGUCACACUUAGGGUUUUUCUUUCUUAUUUUGUUUACCCUUAAAAAAUAAAACAAAAAUAAGUGGCGACUCCAAGUCAAUUUUCAAACAAUAAAUAAAAAAUCAUUUUCAAAUAAAAAUCAAGCUCACCAUUCGAGUGGGAAACGCAUUGAGCCGAAAUGCGGGGUCCACAUUUACCCACUGCUCAAGAAAUUUGGAGUGCAUUAUCAAAGGUCUUCUAUGAUGGAAGUGAUGAAUUACAAGUUUUCACUUUGAAUCAAAAAGCCUUCACUGCCAAACAAAAUGGCAGGUCUCUUUCUGAAUAUCAUGGAGAGCUAACUGAAAUUUUUUGCGAAUUAGAUCAUCGGGAUAAGGUAGUCAUGAAAGACUCUGACAUUGCAGCAUACUAGAAAUCCCUUGAACAACAACGAGUGCACAUCUUUCUUGUUGGAUUGGAUGGUGACUUUGAGCAAGUUUGAGGAGAGAUUUUAGGCAAAGAUCAUCUUCCCAAUUUGGAAGAAUGUUAUACACUGAUUCAACGAGAGGCAGUGCGUUAUGCUAGUAUGAAAGUAGAAUCUGACAACCUUGACACCUCAACUAUGGUAGUCCAACAGCGAUCAACCUAGAAUUGGCAUAACCAAUCUAAGACCAACCAUCCUAAGACAGACCCUAAUAUUAAUAAGUCAACCUUCAAAUGCACUCACUGCAAUAAGACUGGUCAUACCAAGAGUCGUUGCUUUGAAAUUGUGGGAUAUCCAGACUGGUAGGAUCAUAAUCGUGAUCAACGGAAGAAGGAUUCCAAGAAAACCUCGACUGCAGCUGUUGCCGAAAUAAAAACAGAGGCUAAUGUUGCUAAGAAAGCCUCUGCAUUGGUAGCCGCUACAGAUUAUGGUGGUAAGUUUUUAAAUACUUCUACACCUGUUAUUAAUAGUGCAUGGAUAAUUGAUUUUAGUGCUACAGAUCAUAUGACUUUUGAUUCUAGACAGGUCUCACCCCUUAGACAUUCCCUACAAAAAAUUGUUUCCACAACCAAUGGUAACACAACCCCAGUCAUUGGGGAAUGAUCCUUAACUCUUACUGAUACUUUGAAUUUGGAUUAUGUUUUAAUUGUUCUAUCUUUAGAUUACAAUCUUUUAUUAAUUUCUCAAAUCAGUACAACCUUAUCUUGUAUUGUCAUUUUUUGGCCUGAAUUUUGUAUUUUUAAGGACAUCCAAAUAAGAUAGACGAUUGAUUGUGGUAUUAAGCAGGGAAAACUCUAUUACUUGGACUUGCAAUCAAAGGAUUCAAAUAAGUUACGACAAGCCUUGAUGACAGAUGGAUCUGAGGGGGAGAAGAAAAAGUUUGAAAUUUGGUUGUGGCAUCGACGUUUGGGGCAUGCUUCAUUUGGUUAUUUAAAAAAAUUGUUUCCUAGUUUGUUUGCAAAGAGUGAUAUUUCUGGUUUCCGUUGUGAUAUUUGUGAAUUGGCUAAAAGCCAUCGUGCUUCAUUUCCAUUAAUUUUGAAUAAAAGUCUGUUUCCUUUUAUGGUUAUACAUUCUGAUGUUUGGGGCCCAUCCAAAGUCUCAACUUUGAGUGGUUCGUGUUGGUUUGUUACUUUUAUUGAUGAUUGUACCAGAAUGACAUGGUUAUACUUGAUGAAGACCAAAGAUGAAGUGAACUUGUUGUUUCAAAAAUUUCAUAAAAUGAUUGAAACUCAGUACAAUGAAAAGGUUCGAGUUCUACGUAGCGAUAAUGGUGGAGAAUAUCAGAGUUCUAAUCUUCAAAAGUAUUUGGAAGGACAUGGCAUCAUUCAUCAGACUACUUGUUCCAAUACACCCCAACAAAAUGGAGUCGCUGAACGGAAAAAUCGUCACUUGUUAGAGGUUGUUUAUGCUUCCUUGAUAGCAGCAAAAAUACUGAUAUCUUAUUGGGGAGAAACAAUCACAUCUGUCGCAUACUUGAUCAAUCGGGUACCUUUUAGCUCAAUUAAAUUCCAAACACCUCUCCAAGCUCUUAGUAAUGUCGUAGUUGCCCCAACCUUCCCAAAUCUACUCCUCGUGUUUUUGGUUGCGUGGCAUUUGUGCAUCUACACAAACACCAACGCACCAAGUUAACUUCCCGUGCAUUGCAAUGUGUGUUUGUUGGAUAUGCAUUGCACAAAAAGAGAUAUCGAUGCUACCAUUCUCUAACUCGACGAAUGUUUAUUACAAUGGAUAUGGUGUUUCAUGAAGAUUCGAUGUAUUUUUCAUUUGAGUCUGAACUUCAGGGGAAGUACCAGAAGAAAAUUCAGACUCUCGAUUAUGAUUAUCAUAUCUCUGAGGAGGAUGAAUCUGGACAAUCUGAACUAGUGAACCAGGAAGCAGGUGAGUUGGAUAUGAGUGGUACAACUUUGGAACCAAGUAGUAAUGACCACNNNNNNNNNNNNNNNNNNNNNNNNNNNNNNNNNNNNNNNNNNNNNNNNNNNNNNNNNNNNNNNNNNNNNNNNNNNNNNNNNNNNNNNNNNNNNNNNNNNNAAUAGAGGUAUUCCUAAACCCACAUAUGAACUUGAAUUGUCUACCAAAGUCAAAUAUCCCAUCAACAACUAUGUGUCUAACCAUCGUUUGUCUGAAUCAAAUAAGUCAUUUGUAAAUCAAUUAUCUACUUUAGUUAUUCCUAAUAGUGUGCAGGAAGCCUUAGCUGAUCCAAGGUGGAAAGCAGCCAUGAAUGAAAAGAUGAAAUCAUUGCAGAAGAAUGAAACAUGGGAACGCGUAGAAUGUCCACCAGGAAAGAAGCCAGUUGGGUGUCGUUGGAUCUAUACUGUGAAGUACAAGGCAGAUGGUAGUAUUGAACGAUUUAAAGCAAAAUUGGUAGUAAAAGGGUACACUCAAACUUAUGGAAUUGACUACACAGACAUUUGCACCUAUAGCUAAGAUCAACACAAUUCGAGUAUUACCGUCUUUAGCUGCAAACCUGGAUUGGCCAUUACAACAGUUUGAUGUGAAAAAUGUCUUUAUGCAUGGCGAGUUAUCUGAAGAAGUAUAUAUGGAUCUUCCACCAGGAUACAUGGUGUCAGAAAAGCAAUAUCAGAAGGUGUGCAAAUUGAAGAAGUCAUUGUAUGGGUUGAAGCAAUCCCCGAGAGCAUGGUUUGGAAGGUUCACAAAGUCAAUGAGAGCUUUUGGUUAUCGUCAAAGUAAUUUAGAUCACACUUUGUUCCUAAAAAAGCAACAUGGUAAGAUUACAACACUCAUCGUAUAUGUGGAUGACAUGGUAGUUACAGGAAAUGAUCCUGAAGAAAGAAAAGCUUUAUAAAAUUAUCUAUCUAGAGAAUUCGAAAUGAAAGAUCUAGGUCAUCUGAAAUGCUUUCUUGGGAUUGAAGUUUCUCGAUCAAGUGAAUGAAUUUUUCUGUCUCAAAGAAAGUAUGCUUUAGAUCUUUUACAGGAGACUGGAAUGUCGAGAUGUCAACUUAUUGAUACACCAAUAGAAGAAGGUUUGAAAUUGUGUGUUGAGCUUAAUCAAAUAUCAACCAAUAAGGGAAGAUACUAAAGACUUGUGGGGAAAUUAAUGUACUUAGCUCAUACAAGACCAAAUUUUGCUUAUGCAUUGAGUGUAGUAAGUCAAUACAUGCAUAAUCCUGGAGAGCAACAUAUGAAUGCAGUUAUGCGUAUUUUAAGGUAUUUGAAGAAUGCUCCUGGAAAGGGAAUUUUGUUCACUAAAAAUGUUGAUCAUUAGAGUAUAGAAGUAUAUACUGAUAUUGAUUGGGCUGGUGUAGUGGAUGAUAGGCGAUCUACAUCUGGUUACUUUACCUUUGUAGGUGGUAAUCUUGUGACAUGGAAAAGUAAGAAGUAGAAUGUCGUCGCUCAUUCAAGUGCAAAAGCGAAAUUUAGGGGUAUGGCUCUAGGACUUUGUGAGGCAUUAUGGCUAAAACUCCUCUUAUAGGAUUUAGGUUACCUAUCUAGGCAACCAAUCCAAUUGUUUUGUGACAAUAAAGCCGCAUGUGAUAUUGCUGAUAAUCUAGUACAACAUGAUCGUACAAAGCAUGUCGAGGUGGACAAAUUCUUCAUUAAGGAGAAGUUGGAUGAUAAGAUUGUGGAAUUGCCUAAGAUUCGAUCAGAAAAUCAAUUGGUCGAUAUCCUCACCAAAGCUGCAGUCUCAAGUCGAGUGUUCUAAAAAAUUUUAGACAAGUUGGGCAUGUGUGAUGCACCAACUUGAGGGAGAGUGUUGAGAUAUUAGAAAUGUUUAGAUAUUAUGAAAGUUGAGAUAUUAGAAAUGUUGAGAUAUUAGGAUAUUAGUUGUUCUUUCCUUGUAUCAUUUUUUCUCAUUCUUAGAAUGGUGAUUACCUUCUAUAUAUACUCUGUACAUGAACGAAUGAAAUAAUCAAUGAAAAACUACCAUUCAUCAAUUUGAAGAAUUUUAGCAUUUUUUAAAUAAAUAAUAAAUAAAAACACCAUCUUUAAAGGCACCUCCAUUUUAGGUAGGUGCCCACUGAUAAUCACUUACAUGUUGAUUGGGCACUUGCAUGCUUAGGACGGUAUCUAGGAACACGUGUGAUGAGUGGCUCCAGAAUUAAAUGGAAAAUUCUAACGUAUCAAAAGGUGUAUCAUAUCAAAGUGUGGGGUGAGAAAUUAUUUGAGUUUAUAGGAAAAAAAAAUGGAUAGAAAGGAAUAUGAUAUAGAUUUUCUCAAGUUUUUCUUCAAUAUGGUUUUGUCCGAUCCAAGUCUGAUUAUUCUUUGUUUAUCAAAGGAUCUUGAUCUUUUUUGUUGCUUUAUUGGUUUAUGUGGAUGAUAUCAUCAUCACUGAUCCAAACACUCAACUGAUCCAGUUUUUGAAAACGUUUCUUCAUACUCAGUUUAAGCUUAAGGAGUUGGGAUGUUUGAAAUUGUUCAAUCUACCACAGGUAUUGUGUUAUCUCAAAGGCAUUACACGCUUCAACUCCUUGAAGGUGUAGGGACCCCUUCUCUGAUGACACGUGGCACGCACCUCUAUCCGGAUCGACCCUGGCCGUACCCCCCCAAGAGGACACGUGGCGCACACCUCUAUCCGGGUCCCCCAGGGAGGAGCACACGACACUCGCAAGCAUCAUGCCCGGACGGCAAUAUAUCCUACCCGGAUAUAUUGUCCAGAUCAUUGACUAUAGCGAGCAUGCCCUGCUGAGUCAUCCUCGAUAGCCUGCCACCACCCACGUUCCGCCACCUGCAGGGCGAAAGGACAGGAGCGAUGACAAGUCGCCUCCCACGAUCUCUGACAGCCGCCUGCAGGGUGAUGAUGACCCUGCCACCACCUUGAGGGCAUCAUGACGAGCCAAAAAGUCUUCCCACCAUUAAAGAGGGAAGUAGAGCUUCUGACACUAUAUAAAAGGGUCUUCACACAAGGAAGAAAGUAAGCUUGCUAUCCCUGAGAAGAGGCCGACAGCUUAAUCUCUAGAGCCAUGGCUAACAAAAUCAUCGGAGGGUGUGUCCGGACAUCCUGUUCGGACAUCUUUUGCAGGGACAACUGAGCUAGAACUCAAUCUUGGUUGACAGCGUGCGUCCACUUAGCAGCAACGUGGAUCCCUGGGACGCAAGACCUCAACAGAAGGUACUGGGUAUCUUACUUGUAAGCUGACAUCUGCUCCUAUGGAUCCUAAGGUUCAGCUCAGUGCUCAACCUCGGUUACCUCACUUGUAAGCUGUUCAUCACCUUUUUAAGUCCACUCUAGAUCAGGGCCUUUUCUUCUCUUCCUCAUCUUCUCUUCAGUUGAAAGCUUUUUUCAGAUACUAAUUGGGGCUCUUAUUUAAAUACCAAAAAAUCUAUCAUUAGUUUCUUUAUCUUUAUUGGUGAUUUUUUGGUCUAUUGGAAAGCUAAGAAGCAAACCACAAUUUCUUGAUCCUUUGUAGAGGUCGAGUAUAGAACUUUACCUUCUACUACUAGUGAAUUGGUCUGACCACACCAAUUGCUGAAGGACUUUGAAGUUGUUAUUUCCUCUCUUGCACUUUUGUUUUGUGAUAAUCAAACUGUCAUUUAUCUUGCUUCUAAUCCUCUUUUUCAUAGAAGGACCAAACAUAUCAAGAUGGAUUGUCAUUUUGUUCGUGAUAAAGUUGUUUUAUUUGCUUAUUAAAUUGUUUUUCUAAAUAAAAAAUAGAAUAAUGUUAAACUUUUAUAUUUAACCACAAAAAAAAUAGUUAUUGAAUUUUAUUUUUGAGAAUGUUAUAUUAAAAUUAUUUUUAUAAAAAAUAAUAUAUAUAUUUUAAUUUUUUUAUUGGGCAUAUAUAUCCCGAGAAUCUCAAGCAAAAGAUGUUCAAGUAAUUUUAUUUGAUCUCCUAUGUCCAAACAAAAGUAAAGAAGAAGAGUUUUUACGCAUGGGAUAGACUGAACUUGUCAGGAGAGUUUACGAAGUCCAAAUAAGAAAAAGAUAUUUAACCAUUCUCAAUGAUGUUUGGACUAAAAAUGCUUGGGAAAGCCUAAGGUGGUGUUUGUUUUUUUACUUAAUUCUAAAUAGAAUCUUAAUACUUAAUAGUAUUAAAUAUUAGGUUGUUUGUUUUUGUAGUAUUUUAUUUCUAUUAAGUAUUAAAAAGUAAAAAAAAACCAUGAUAUUUUUUCUAUUUAGAAAAAGCCACAUAUUUUGGCUUUUUCUAUUUAGUAAAAAGUUUAUAAUAAGUCAUGAAAAAGUAAAAAAACAAAUAACCUAAAUUCUAAAACUAAAUGAUUUUUAGCAAAAAGCCAAAAAAACAAACACCACCUAAGACUUGCAUUCUUAUGGGAACAAGGAGGUUCCAAAAUACUGCUCACCACACGGAAUAAAAGUGUAGCCAUGCAUGCAGAUACAAAAGGCUUUAUUUAAGAAACUGUGUGGCCAUGUAUCAUGUAUGCAAAUACAAAAGACUUCAUUUAUGAACCUCAGUGCUCGACUCUUGAAAUGAGUUUGGAGCUGCUCAAGAAAGCAAUAUUUCUAAGAGGCAGUCCAGGUAAUUCCUCAUCCAUCCAUCUUUUAACUUCAUUACUGGUAUGUAACUUGAGUCACUCCGCUCUCUAUAUAAAUUGAGCUAUAUUCCAUUGUUAAUUUUUAUGUGACAUAAGGCUUCCAUUGAAUUUCAAUUGUUUAGACAAUUAAUAUCAGCUAGUUUGGUCUUUCUUUGAUUUUCAGAUUUUACACGGGAAAGUCUAAAAAAGCAAAUUGUCACGGACUUAGGUUUCUCCUAAACUCACAUGUAAUGUUUAAACAAUUCAAGACAUUUGAUGUUGUUAAGUCAGUCUUCUUGUCGUACUUAACUUUUUAGGAUAAGUUAGGCACACGACUUGAAAUUUAAGAAAACCAAAGGCAACACUUAAACUAAAGGAAACUUGUAUUACACAAAUGAAUGCUUACAAUGACUAGAUGCUCCCACUUGUUUGGUACCUUGAUCAAAUGAGACCUAUUUAUUGACACUUUAAGAAUUCUUUAAAAUCUUGAAGGUUCCUUACAAAUCAAGAAUUCUUUAGAACAUCCUACACAAGUCCUAUGCAUAAGUAUUUACAAAAAAUAUUUGAAACUCUCCGGCUCCAUAUUCUUCUCUUGUCUUCUAGCUUAGUGUAGAGAUGCGUGAAUAUAUAUAUAUAAAAAGAUUCCUUAUUUUUCAAUCGAGCCACCUAAGCUUCAAUUAGAUGCUUUAUGUAAAAUUAUUUGUAUAUGCACUACAUGAAUGUAAAAAGGUUGGAUCUCAUAUAAAUUUUCCUGUCUUCUAGUUUUAAUUUGAUAAAAUUAAAAUGGUAAUAAAACUUCAAUUGAACUAAAUUUGUGGACAAAUACUUUACAAUAAAAUUAUUUAAUAAUAACUAUUAAGUACACAAGUGUAUUUAAAUACCACUUAUUUAAAUAGUAAGUUAUUAUUGGUGUAUUUAAAUACUCCAAGUGUAUUUAAAUUUUCUUCUCAUCAGUUGAAAGCUUUUUUCAGAUACUAAUUGGGGCUCUUAUUUAAAUACCAAAAAAUCUAUCACUAGUUUCUUUAUCUUUAUUGGUGAUUUUUUGGUCAAUUGGAAAACUAAGAAGCAAACCACAAUUUCUUGAUCCUCUGCAGAGGUCGAGUAUAGAGCUUUACCUUCUACUACUAGUGAAUUGGUCUGACUACACCAAUUGCUAAAGGACUUUGAAGUUGUUAUUUCCUCUCUUGCACUUCUGUUUUGUGAUAAUCAAACUGUCAUUUAUCUUGCUUCUAAUCCUCUUUUUCAUGAGAGGACCAAACAUAUCAAAAUGGAUUGUCAUUUUGUUCGUGAUGAAGUUGCUAAUGGUUUCAUUAAACUAAUGCCUCUUCGCUCUCAACAUCAACUAACUGAUAUUGGAAUUCGGUGGCUACACAUUAGUUAGUGGGGGCUGAUUUCAUGCAAGUUGUUGAUGUGUAAAAACUGAGAAUUUGUGGAUGGGUUUUGUAGAGAAUUUAUAAUAUAAGUGGCUAGGUAAUGAGGCAUGGUGGCUGAAUUUUUUUGUGGAGAAAAUCAUAGAGAUUCUUUAAGAUUUAGACAGGAAGAUUGAGGGGUUGGUGCACAGCCAUAGGAGUUUUUUUUAGAGAUUGGGAAGAUACGGAUUGGUUUUGGGAAGGUUUGAAGAGACCCACGACAUUGAAAAUUUCUUUAAAAACUUUUAGAUUUUUUGGAUAGAAUGCGAAAGGAGAUGUAUAUGGCUGCAAUAGGGGACUUUUGGGAAGGAGUAUCACGACACAUAUUUUGUGGAGGAGGUUUCUCUUAGAUUGGAAGGCAUGUGGGCUGACAUAUUCUGAGAAGGAAAGAUUUACACGGCCAUGGAGAGUUUUUUUCUGGAAAGGUGGGCGGCAUUAAGAGUCGUCCGGGAUAUUUUUAGGAGACGUGGGCUGGAUAUAAAAUGGCUUUGUGCUUAAAAUAUAAACAAAUUUCAAAAUAAGCCUUGAAGUUGGCCCAAUGGUUUUGGACUAAGUUUAAACAAAUUCAACCAAAUGGACCCAAAAGGUUUGAUAUAAUUUUGCUUUUGAACAAACCAACCGUAUUGAUUCGAUCCAAUUUUCUUUCAUAAAGUGAUUGAACCGACUUUUUUAUAACUUUAAUAUUAAAACAUUCCUAAUUUUCCUAACUUCAUCAUUUAAUCAUCCAAGUGUACCAUCCAUGAUUUGCCAUUUUUCCUCUACUUUCUAUACAUUUGUUGACGUGGAUUGAUCCCCUUUGCUAAAAAUUUGAACUGUCGGCAACGGCAGAUUAUCAUAAUCCUCUUGGGCCAUCGCAUCUUCAUUACCUCCCAUAUUUAUUCCUUUAAAUAAGAAUAAUUAUCCCAUUACAAUCACAUUGUGCCAUAAAUCAUUCCUAUUUUGUCUUCAACUUAAGCGUCCAUAUCAUGUAGAUAUUCCAUGUCACCUACCACUUUCCCAUCUGUCAUAUUGGACUGAAUUAAUUACCCGAUUGUACCCUCUAAAUCAUACGUGGAAGUGUAAAAUAACACAAAAAAGAAAUUAAAUUGAUUUUAGAGUCUGUUUUGAUUAGAAUGUUGCACGUCUUGAAGUUCAUGUGCUUCAAAAUUUUAAUUUCAUGAAAGUGACAAAAAAGAGAGAUAGAAACCAAAAGGAAAAAUCAAGGAAGAAAGCAAUACCACCAUAUAAACAUGGUACUCAUUUUAUUAUAAUUACCACACCAUAUUUAAACACAAGGCGCCUAGUAUAAGGAUUUCCUCGAGGCUUCCCCACUUCACAGACGUAAAAUGGGAUCACAGAUGUCAUCCCGCCCUUAGUAGCCUCAGCAAAAGUUAAAGGAUAAAAAAAAAAAAAAAACAUUAGCACAAACUCUAGAUUACAAUAAUAUUAGAGCACCAUAAGCACCAGCUCCGGCCCAUAUGAUCAGUGGUGAUGGUGGGGUGGUCCGGGUUUGUGAGGCUCCGGAGGCCCGUGAGGCCCCGGAGGUCCGUGAGGCCCCGGAGGUCCGUGAGGCCCCGGAGGCCCGUGAGGCUCCGGAGGUCCGUGAGGCCCCGGAGGUCCGUGAGGCCCCGGAGGCCCGUGAGGCCCCGGAGGCCCGUGAGGCUCCGGAGGUCCGUGAGGCCCCGGGGGGCCAGGAGGUGGUGGAUGGGGCUGUGGGUGAGGGUGGCCGUGGGGACCUGGCGGUGGUGGGUUAUUCAUCUCUCUUCCUCUUUACCUUCCUUCUUGUUCUUCUUGUUCUUCUUGGUUGCUGCGGCGAAUGGUACGAGGGGCGCUUGCGAAUUUAUAGUGGCAAACGGUGGGUGGGAAUCUCUUCGCCCAUUGGUAAGUUCAAAACUACAAGUCAACAAUGUGGUAGCUGUGUCUACCUAGAAUUUAAUAGAAUCAUCCGGAUGAAACUGGUUUUCUAUUCUUUUGGCUUUUGUUUUUUCUUCAAUUUAAUGUUAUUUUGCUUUGAAUUUAGUCAAUUUACUAACAGAACCGUCCACGUACAAAUCCUAUCUCCUCGUCUUCCUCCCUCUGUUCGACACCUGUCUCUCCAUUUCUCAUGUCACAUCCCACUAUUGAUAAUGACAACCAAUAUAGAACAAAGACGUUGACCUAAAAUCAAUCCAGACAGGCUGGCCCAAGCCCAGAGUUGGGUUGGUUUUGGGCCGAACAUAGAGUCCACGCCAAGCCAGGUGAAGUUCCUUGAACUUUCGUUGGAACAAGCGUCGGUGAGCCCAUUACUUCGAUUCCUGGAUUAGAAUAAAGCGACUUAUCUUCAGUGAAAAAGGUCAAUCCAAUGACUACCAUACCUUUCCAGCUUCACAGCCAUUGCGAUCAGUUCCGCGUGGGAUGAAGUUACUUUGCCUCUAAUUAACAUUUAUAAAUUAAUAGUAACUUUUAAUAAAUUAAUUAAGAACAUUUGGAGUUUAACAUCAAAAUCACUAUAGUUUUCUUCCUUCCCAAGUAAAAGAAAAAAAAAAAGAAAAAAAAAAGGGCAAGAAGUGGCAAUGACAAGUAACAGCCCUUUCAAACAGGGAACAUGUUGGGAACCGACGUGGCACCCAAAUUGGGUGUCAAGGGCAAUGGGGCAUGAGGAUUUCAAACUAAACGUUUGGGUUUCAAAAUUGAAACGAUGGGCACUUGGGUGCCUCCAUUUUUAGGGCACCUGACACACGUGGCGCAUGAACCGGGCCUCAAAAAGUUCAAAAUGGCGUGGGCGAGGGGGGUCUGAACGAGGACAGCAGGCCCUAUUUUUGUUUUCCAGUAAUGCCCCCAAAAUUGUCUCAAAUAAUUGAGAGAUGAGUCGUGGAGAAAGAGAGAAAAGGGUCGCCCUCUGAAUUGGUUAUGUUGCCAUUAUCAUCAUUUCUCAUCUUCCCCUGAAACCAAACACACCGCUCCUUCUCUCUCCAUCUCUAAACAGGGGUCGCACUCCCAAAUCCCAUGGGCUCCAGCAGCAGUCGUCUGGGUUCGCGUUCUUCUCGGCCACGACUCAACCGCAGGCUCUCCUCUCUUAUCUGCGGUGGCUCCACUUCUCGAGCUCAGCCCGAGGUAUCAUCGCGAUUGUCUUUAUCAAGAAUAUUCAGUUUCGAACCCUAGAUUACCUAUUGCUUGUUUCUUUGUUAUUAUUUGCGGUGGUUUCUGUUCGAAUUUAUCGACUUCUUGUUAAAUCCGUCGAGUAAUUUCAAUUUCCAAUCAUGUGAUAUAUUUGUUUCUGUGUGAUAUGAAAAUUGGUUAAUCGAUGCACAAGAUCGGUCAAGUUUCGGGUCAAAUUUGGGAUUAAUUAUACGAUUUAUUGUCUCGAACUUUUAUACGUUUUAUAUAUAUUGCUUUUUGAAGGGUUGAAUUUAUGCAAUACUUAUUUUGUUGAGUCAUUUGAAUAAUUAAUCUUCCUGAUUAGAAGAUUUUUAUUUUAUUUUUCCGAUUUAUUUUGGGAUGUAGGUGUUUAGUUGUUCCAUUGGAAAUGAAUGAUUUGAGUCAUUUGACUAUUUUUAAAUGUCAGAUGGAGGUACUCAUCCAGUCACCAAGAAUGGGUUCUUUUAUUAUUAAUUUGUGGUGUCUAAAAUCAACGAAAGUAGUUAGUUUUAGGGUGUCACGAAAUGCUCCCAUUUUGAAGUUUUCCUAGAAUUUUUGUUUUCUGGGUUUGUUGAAUGAUCUAUAAUCUUUUUCCAGUAUUUAUUUUUUGGAAUAUUGAAAUCAAAUAUGAUAAUUCUGUUAUCAGUUUUUCUUGAAUAGUGGUUACCUUCUUUAAUUGAUCCAAAUUCUUGAGUUUUAAAUGGGACUUCUAGGUCUAUUUGAAUCUUGGAAAGAAUGAGAGAAAGGGAGGAAAAAAUUUGGAAAAGUAGCCUAAGAAAGGAAACCUUUUUCUAAAAUAUAUAUCCAUGAUUGUCCCUUUGUUUCCCUCAUUGUUUUCAAGAUUCAAAUGUCUGUCUUAAGGCUUUCUUUGGUUAUUGGGAGGAAAGAAUGAAGAAGAAAGUGCCAAAAAAAAUGCAAAGAAAGUCAUUUGUAAUCAUUUUCCUUUUGGUUUCCCUUUCCCUCAUUAUUUCUUAGAAACAAAUGGAAGGUAAGGGAAACUUGGGUUACUAAUUUAAUUAACUCUUGUACAAGUGGGCCAAGAUGAAGAUAUUUGUAAGAAGCUUUGAGUAAAGUAGACAAAAGAAACUAGACUGAUUUUAUUGUUUAUUGGACUCCAGAAUCAACCGUUUGAUCUCUGUGAAGUUUUGUUGGCGACCCAUUUUUGGAAGGAUACCUGGCAACUUCCUUUGGUUUCCAUGUGACAUGAUCCAAAAAGGGGAAAUAGAGAUGGACACCUGGCAACUCCCUUUGGUUUCCGCUUGACAUGAUCCUAAAACAGCAAAAAGAUUCACCAGGGGUUUCACUUGCCAAUUCCAGAUAGAUUGUUCGCAAAGUAGGCCCAUGCAGGGGGCUGCUGGACAUCUCAUCUGUAUAGUCACAUGCCUUGGUAACUCAGCAUCUUCCUUGACCACAGUACUGAAGCACCCUAUGAUUAAUUCAGGUUAGGAUGAAGCUUAUGCUAUGGCUCAUUGUACUCAAGUCCUGCAAAAUGGACUGAGGUUCUUUUAGUGUGCUAUCCAUGAACAUCAUAGUGCACGCAUGGGCUAGGCCUUGGGGGGAUUGUUAGGCGUAAGAUCUGGAGGCUGGAGUUAUGGACGUCCAUGGUGUAAGAUACUUUCCAAGUUGAGCCAUGUCGGAAUAAGUUAGAUUUACCCGUUAAAGCGUUUGUGCUCUCUGCAUCAAAGAUAAUUGCCGUGCAAGAACCAGGCAGCUUAUUAGAAUAGUGUGCAAGUCUAUUUCAUGUGAUUGGUUCGUAAAUCGGCUUCUGUGUCUCAUAUUAUCAUCCUCUUGUAUACUUUGGGAUGCUGUUUUGACGUAUUUUUAUAUAUAUAUAUAUAUAUAUAUAUAUACUUUCUGGUCUUACCUAUCAAAAAAAAAUCCAGUUGAGGCUUUUGAUUAAUGAUGAAUGCAGUUUGUGUGGUACUUUGGCCUGAUUCUUGCAGAUUAGCAGGAGUAGAUUGUUUAUUGAUGGUUUGAAAUUUGGCUUUUCCAUGUAAUCAUUCUGUUCUGUUUAACCUGUUUAUGGGGCUUUUGAAGCAAACAUUGAAAUACUUAUGUUAUUUUGUCCAUUUGGCUUAGCGGAUAGUAUUUCUAGAACAAGAGGAAUGAGGACAAAGUGAAUAUGCUAGUAUAUUUCAGCAAGUUUAGUCCGUGGAGGUUUUGGUUGGUGUCUAUUUUGUUAAUUAAGAUCACUUUGAUCAAGAGCCCAGACAAGCACUGGGAUCACAAGAAAGCUUGAAGAAAACCAUAAUAAUAGGCACCAAAAAAUGUGUGCAACAUGGGUAGAACUACUUUCCUUAUUUUCAGUCCAUUAUGCAUCUGGCAAAGAAGGCCCUUCAUUUAUUUUAAUUUUUCUUUUUUAAAAUGUAAUGAGAUGAAGUUGUUGAUUAUUUUCUAGUACGGAAAAUGGUUAAAUGGAUCAUCCAUACUGCUCAACUGUGUUGUCCAAUUCCAUGAAAGAAUCACAGGACUUGGAAGAAUCCCUUCCCCAUGAGUCGAAAGAGUGCUAAAAAGAGUUCAUAUUAGUUAAGCAGUAAUGCUCAAUGUUGCUUUGUAUUAUUUAUUUCUCUUUUAUUUUUGGUUGUGACCUGACCUAAUAUAUUUAUCAGAUUAUUUUCAUUUCUUGUGACGAAACAUAGUGGAUUGUCUCUAUGUUGGGACCUUCUUUCUUGGUCUGAUAAAAAAUGAAACUUUUAGAAUUGCCCUUUUGGUAUGGUAAUGCACUCACUCUUUGUAGGGCUUGGUGGUGUCAGUUUGAAGUCAAGGGUUUUUCUUAUGAAUUGACAUUCUUAUUCUAUGGCUAUGCACCAAAAAAGAAGAAAAAGUUACACUUAACUUCUGAAACAAAAAUAAAAUAAAAUCAAUAAAACUAUGGUACAUUAGGUUUUGUUGAUUUUCCUUUACAGGUGUGGACUUUUUUUUUUUUCCUUUUUUAAUGGUAAUGAAAUUUCUUUUCAGUCAUUAAUUACAGAAUCUUUUUGGGAAGCCUUUCAUAUCUAUGCUUCAAUAGAUGAAUUUCUGAGUAGACAAAAUUGCUAAAUUAACCAAUAAGCAAGCUGUUUCUUUCUUUCUUCUUCUCUUUCUUUUUCUUCUUUUUUAAUUUCACCAAGUUGCCUCCAUAAGUAGAUGUAAGAAAGAGUGUCUAUAGACCUUGGAUCUUGGUGUGGGUAUUGUGUUGAGCUCAUCAUUGAAGUAUUAGAUUUGUUACUUUCAAUUAGUUAAUUAAUAGAUUAAUUAAUUUCUUGUUUUUGAUCUUCAUUUUUAUUUGUUUGUUUCUGUUCUGUGUUAAUUAGUUCUUAUCCUAUAUUUGGGAUGAGUUCUUAUUUGAGAUGCUUGUGUUACAGAUUGAUCACCUUCUUUCAUCCUUUUGGUAAAACUUUGGUUGUAUCCACUGGCAGGCUCACUUCUUGAAGAAGUAACAGAAUCAUAAAUUUAUGGCUGCCAAACAUUUCAAUGCCAACAUAAUUUGUGCCUUUGAUAGGUAAAUAAGAGAUUGUAUUAGAAAUGCCUAGAAGCGGCGAAAAAUUUGGGCCUUUGACUGUGUUGGUAUGAAGAUGAAAAAUUAUUUAGUAAAAAAAUUUAUGUGGUCAAAGUUUUGAUGCUUAUAACUUGAUGAUCUUUCAUCUUCAAAGGUUGGAAGGAUAAGUUCUAUUGACCAGAUUUUUAUCUUUAUCUUUUAGUUCUAAUUUUAAUCUUUGAUAGGCAAGUCAUGCACUGUUGUCAAACAAAAAGUUCUGAACAAAAAAAAAAAAAAAAUCAGGCAUACAGGUCCUUCAGUUAACUGGAAUAAAUUUGAACCUGGCUUACUGUUCACUAUUGGGUGAAGUGUUUAUGAGUUUAAUGGCUCCCCAAAAUUUUUUUAUGGGGUCAUUACUCAGUCUUUAUACCUUGAACUUGGUGAUAUCAAAAGAGAGUGAUUGGAUUUUAGCAAAGGAAACUGACAUGAUGACAUUAUUUUCCUGAAGAUUGAAGAUAAUGAGUUUAAUGGCUCCCCAAAAAUUUGUAUAUGGGGUCAUUACUCGGUCUUUAUACCUUGAACUUGGUGAUAUCAAAAUAGAGUGAUUGAAUUUUAGCAAAAGAAACUGACAUGAUGACAUUAUUUUCCUGAAGAUUGAAGAUUGUCCAGCUGAAUUACUGGUGAAUGCUAUAGAACACAAUGAUCCUGUGACUGUCGAACAAAGCUCAACAAAGGCAUCCCAUUUGGCCUCCAGUGCUGGGACUGCAUUUACCAGCACCAGAACUGAAACAGGAACUUCAUCUGAGAGCAGUAGCGCAGCAAGGGAAGAUACUUCUUUUAUCAAUGAUUUAAGCAAUAUCGAAACAAGUAAUCGAGGGAAAUGCUUAUCUGAAAGUAAGGAAUUGAUUCCUCCUCAUCUGGUAAGUGAUGAACCUAGUCAAGUUGAUCCUUAUUGGGAGAGAAGUAGUAAUAUAGCUAGUGCUUCAUUUAAGGAUCUGCAUCCUUUGGACCCUGUCUCUGCAAAUGCAAGGGCUAACAUGGGUGCUGUAAAUGUUCAUAACUCAAUGGACAAGGAUAGGUCUAACAGUGGUGCAGGGGUCAUACAUUCAAGCAGUUCGCAUGCUCCAGAGCAUAGAGCUUCAUAUUCAGAUGGGGCAUCUGCUGAAAAUCAUGUGAGCGGAGUAUCAGCCAUUGAUAAUUCUAGUUCUGUUUCUGUUCCUGCUGUCACUGACUCACCAGUGACUUUGCACUCACAAGGAGAUGAAUCCAUUCAAGAGGCGAUACCUUCAGGUCUGGGAAUUGUGGUCUCCGAUCGGGCUGAUAGGGAGCGAGGUCGGAGAGAUGGAAGUGUACUUCAUGUUGAUGUGGUGAGCAUCUCUUCCAACAUUUUGUCUAGUACCACUGCUGAAGUAAGUAACCGUGAGGCAAGAAGGAAUAGUAGAAGACUGUUCUGGGAUGCCUUUUCAAGACGCAGUUCUCGAAGGCAUAGUGAUUCCCCAACCAUUGUCUUCUCAACAGAUGAUACUGAUGACCUAGGAUCUCAUGACAGAUGGCUCCUUGAUUUCAGUGGUGAUUUCUUUGAAGAUGGGGUUGGAGGUGACUCUGGCUACCUGGGUAGUAGAAUCCACAGCAUGAAUGAGCGAAGGUGGCACUCAAGAUCGGAGGUGGUUUUUUAUACUAUGAAGCAGCUCUUUUAUCAACACUUUCAAUAGUUUUCUUUUGAAAUCAUCUUGCAUCUCAUAAUCAGAAUUAUGUGGAAUUUUGUUGUAUGCAUGCUUUGUGAAAAAAUGUGCAGUUCAUUUCAUUUUGACUUCCUUAGUUAUAUGCACAUUACCAAUGUGAAUAGGCGCUAUUUCCCAUUGUGAUUAUAUUUCAAUUUUGGUUUAAUUUUCUUCAUAUUCUUUUUGAUUGUCCACCUAGGUAUUCUAGUGUGGGCAGUGGAAGCUAUAUCUGGAGGGGUUUAACUUUCUUUUCUUGCUCUUGGGUAAUUUUUAUAAACUCAUCCCACAAGAAUCUUUGCAGAUAUGGGAAAGGCUUCGUGGUGGGCUUGAUGAGAGUAGUCGGCGAACUACUACUUGUCCAACAGGCCUCCACCCUGAUGGUAUGUGCUCCUGCGAUUCCUUCUUGAUGGCUGAAGAAUCUAGCACUCGAGCAAGCAUCUCCCGAAUAGUCAUGCUAGCUGAAGCCUUAUUUGAGGUAGUUUUCUCUUAACCUGGCAUGGUUUUAUAUGGUUUCUCUCACUUUUGUUGUGCUCCUUUUUCUUGGCUAGUUUUCCUUUCAGUAUUUGUUUAAUUACUAACUUUUAUAUUAAACAUAAUGUUUCUUUUUUGUUAAGCUAUUUUUUUUUGUACUCCCUGUAAAUGAACUUUGUCCCUGGUAAUAGUCCUAGUGACUUUUACUUCAGUAUCAAUAUAAAAAGUUAAAAAAAGCAUUGAAGAUAUCAGCAUGAGAGUUAGCUUGGGAAUGAUCCUUUACUUUUUUGUUAUAUUUAGCCUUGAUUAGGAUAGAAUCUGCAUGUCUUUGAAAGGCUGCCCUUUGGUUUUUUUAGAUAAUUGAUUUCAGCACCUUAUCUAUUGUCUCCAUUUGUGUUACUGUGUUUUGACCCAUUGUUGAAGAAGCGUGCAACGAGUUGACUGUAGCCAUUAGUUUGGUGCUAGCAUUUUCUUGCCAGAAUUACUGAUUUGGGGACUUAGGUUUAUACUUUUAUACUGGAUCUUGUAGGAACUUUUAUCAGGCUGUGCAGAAUCAUUAGGCUGUGUGCAAUAUGCAACAUUUGAAGUUCUAUAUAUGGUUAUCUGACGAUUAUUUCAAAACAGAUAGUGGAUUAAUCCAGUACUGGUACUCCAUUUUUUAUUGAAAAACUGGGAUUUCCACCAGAAUGGAAUUAAUUACAUUGUAUUGGAUUUCUUUUAUCUCUUUCUGCUACUUGCGUAUGUCUUGGGUUAUCACUUUCUUGUUUUAGCCUAUUGAGUUUGAUAUAGUACAGGCAAGUAGACCUAAUCAACUGGAUGUCAAUGAAACCUGCCUUGACUAUAACUGAGGUUUUUUUUUUUUUUUUGGGUGGUUUAGCUUUAGGCUUCAUAGUUAGGUGAUAUUUCCAUUGCUGCAUUUGUGAUUGCUUGCUCUUCUAGAAUAUAGGCAAGGUUUUUCAUUGAAACACUCCUUAAAUGCUUGGUGAAUUUACCACUGAAAUGAGUAGUAACAUAUGCAUGGAGAGGAUAAACUGAUUUCUCUUGGCCGUGGUAUAUGACUGGCUCUCAUUGAAAUGUUUAGAAUACUGGUGAGCUAACAGAUGGGAGCAUUGACUGAUGUUAGAUAUUUCUUGAUUGCAGAGGCUAUUUUGACAUUUUGUUAUGAGCAUGGAAAAGAAAGUUUCCUCCUCAAUCUAUUUGAAGUUAAAUUGCUGUUUUGGAUGUGCUGACCUGAAUUCUAUUUAUUUACCCUUUAUAAGAAAUACAGUUUCCAAUUGCUUUUUUAUCAUGUAUAUCUGCAAUAUUACGUUUGAUUUUUUGUUGAUGGAAGUUGUAAGAAUUUUUUUUGGUUCCUCCUGAUUUUCUCUGCCAUGAUAAUGAUGAAAUUAGGUUUACUACAUUCUUGUAGGCUGUCUCAAAGGAGAAUUUUUCAUUAUCUUAAGUAUUAUGUUUGAUAAAAAAUCUUAAGGCAGAGUUUGGCUCCUUAAAGCUGGGUAAUGAGGUAUAUUUUAAAUUUUUGAUAUGCAGGUCUUGGAUGAAAUUCACCGCCAACCUGUCUCACUGGCACUGUCUAUGGUAUCACUCCCUGCCCCAGAGUCGGUUGUUGACUCUUUUCCUCUCAAGAAUCACAAAAAGGCCGACACAGCUCAGAGUGGGGAGGAUGUGGCACAGUAAGUUUCUAAUUAUAUUUUGUACUAGGACAAGCAGAAUAUGAUUGAAAUAAGAUGAUAUUGAUGAAAUAAUGCUUGAAAAUUAUUCUUUCAAUUCUUUAUUUCCAAAAAAAAAAAAAAUGAAAGAAAGAAAAAGGAUUCUUGAGUUUAUAUAUCUUUGGCAUGAAAACCAUUUUGUUAUUGUUGCUAUUAUUUGAUAAGUGAAAUAUUUUGACAAAACAUGGAAAGCUAAUAAUUUACAGUUCAUUACUUUGUAUUUGAUUGUGAGUAACAAUACAUCCCUCAAUUAUAGAAUUUCAUGAUAUUACCACCUUAAUGUAACUGUCAUUGACAGGUGCUACAUUUGUCUGGCUGAGUAUGAGGAAGGUGAUAAAAUUAGAGUUCUUCCCUGCCACCAUGAGUAUCAUAUGUCAUGUGUUGAUAAAUGGCUCAAAGAAAUACAUGGGUAUUGUCAUUCCUGUCCAGUGCUCACUUGCCUUGCAUUUGUCCUUUUUUUUUUUCCUCUUCAAAUUUUACUAAUUAGGUUUUGCUUCACAGGGUGUGCCCACUAUGCCGCGGAGAUGUUCGUGAGGGCCUUACUGGUGGUUCUGUCUCAAACGGAGAGACCCCCUCUCUUUGAUAGCAUUGUACAUAUCCAUGUAAAUAGGGGCAAUGUGCUCUUUAAAUGUUGUAUUUACCUCCCUCAAAAGAUAUUUUUGUAUCUGAAUUUUAACCGUAUAUUUUCAAAAUUCCAUACUUGGUAGGAUCUUUGCCAUGUUUUGAUUCUGCAGAAUUAGCUUCCAAGGGAUCAACAGCCUUGGUCUCACCAAAACAUGCAUUGAUCUUAAUCACACAAGACUCACAGAAGUAAGAAACUGAGAACUAGGGUACCGGCAUGUUUAAAUUCUGAAUAUUAUUAAAUCGUCAAGCCAUUCAUCACAUUGAGAUGGUUUAUUCCUGCUAAAUGUGAAUGGCAUGAUUACUUUAAAUAGUCUCUUGACGUUAGGAUGGCAUCCCACACCUCAUGAACCUGAUUAAUUUAUGGUCAUUCUACAUUCCUAUUUGCUUUUCUGGUUCUUUUAGAGAUCAUGUGCCACUAGACUUAAGGUUACAGUGAGAGGUUUACAUGGCAGGAAAUGGGUGAUUGUUUGUUUGUUGGCGCACAUUGAGGGUGUGUUUGAUAUGCUGAACAAGAAGUUCAUUCUAUUCUUAUAUUGUUUGAAUGCAUAUGGGAAUGAAAUGUUGAAAUGAUAAUUUGUUUUCAUUAUUUAAAUGUUAAGUGAAAAGGGGAAUGAAAAUGAAAAAAAAAAUAUCAAUAAUAUCUAAACAUUUGGUUUAAAAUAAUUUUUAAUUUUUAAUUAAAAAAAUAUGAUAUUAUUAUAUAUGGUUAAAAUCAAUUCUUAUUUUCAUUUUAAAAAAAUCCUUGAGUGUGCGUGGGUGUUUUUUUCCCUAAAUGAUAAGAAUCUAUUGGGGCAUAUGAUUUAAAAAUAAAAUUAUUUUUAAAAAUUUAUAUUAUUAUUUGAUUGUUAUUUUUUAGAAAUAAUUUUUAAAAACAAAGUAAAAGAGAGAAUUGUUUCAUUUUUUUUUUCACUAAAGAAAAUGACCAUAAGUUUAAUAAAUUUAAUAAUUUUUAAAAAUAAUUUAAAACUAAAUAUAUAUAAUUGAUUAAUAAUGAAAAAAAUUAAAUUUAGUUUAUUUUUAUUUAAAAAAUAAAAUUAUUCUUUACUAAUUUUGAAUAAUUUUCUGUUAGCAAUUAUUAAUUUUAAAUUAUUAAUAUUCAUAUUUUAAUUUAUUUGUAACAAAAAAAUAUUUUCUAUUUUUAAUAAAAUUUGAAUUAAAUUUAGUUUACAUUAUAUAAAUUAAAUUUAAAUUUUAUGUUACAAAAUCAAAAUAAAAAAUUAUUUUUAAAAAUAACUCAUUUAAAAGAGUUCUUAAUUUUUAAAUUUAUGAAUAUAUUUUAAAAAUAACUUGCACAUGGAGAAUCAAAAUAAAAUACCUCCUACUCUAUUUUAUUUAGAAAAAAGAAUAAGACGUACAUUCCCACGAUGGUCGUUUCCCUACCAAACACACCCCGAAGUCUCACUGCACAUUCUGAGGGAAACAACCGGGAAUAGAACGGUCCAUCUACAAAUGUAAUAGGUGGAAUUCUACAUAAGUCGAAGAACAGAGUUCUUCAUUGUUCAUGCGAUGACAAGAAAAUGAGUAAAGAUAAAAGCAUACUUCCGAGCGCGGCCUCUCGGUGCCAACAAACCAGCACUGCCCUAUUAUAUUUAACCCAUCACGGAAGAUCCUUGCUUUGGACUCCAGAAGGGGUUCUGGUUCUGGUCCUGGUAAAAACCCAAUUCAGACCUUGGCUUUUCACCUCUACCAUCACUGUAGUCAUGAAAGAAGGGAUUGUUUUCAAAGCACUUGGUGUUACUGCUAUCGAUGUUGCUGAUAUAGGAGUAAUCUUCCUUGGAGGGGGCGAGCUUUGUUUGCUUCAUCUGGAAUGAAUGAUCCUGAUGCGCAAAGAGAUUUGGGUGACAAUUCUCAUCAUCUUCAAAGGUUGUCCAUCUGGUUGAGUGGCCACGCUUCUCUCUGGCAGCAUUUCGCAUACUCUCCAUCUCUCCCACGUGAUCCUUGAAUUCCUUUUUCACCACAUCCAACACCACAUCUCCAUACCGAUCACACCAUGACCUUGAUGAUCAUCACAAAACAAGGGAAGAUUAGUGAACACUUAUUUUAGCUGCUUAUUUUCACUGUAAUUGAAGUUCUUUUAACCCACUUCAAUGUGCAAACAUUGGCUCUAAGUGAAGGAACCAUCUACACCAGAAGAAAGAAAAUGGUUGCCUUACUUGGGAAAGAACUUUUUCAGGUCUGCUUUGUCAACAGGAAGCUUGGUGGAAAUUGCUUCAAUCUGAUCAUUCCUGAGAAAUCAAAUGACAAAAGAUAGAAAGGAACAUUGAGUAGCCAUCGUAUAAACACUAAAUAAAUAGAAAUUGAGUCAUGGUUCCGUGAGAAAUCCUUACGAAAAUUGAAGAUUGUGGUUUGUGGUAUUGAGUUCCGUCUGAAUUAGCGACAGCUCCUUCUUUAUUUUCUCCCCCAACACCUACAAACGUGAGAAAAUUAUCAGGCUUGAGAAGAUAACAGUCCUAAUUUACUUGGAACAAAAUGAAUACAAGUCUUAAGAGUUCAAACCUUAUCGAUGAAAAAAUCUGAGGAGGAACCAUUAGAAUGUAUCUUCCUCUUUAUUUGUUUUGUAUCAGGGCCCUCCCCAAUGGGGCUAGCUACAAGCUGACAAGGUCCCAAAUAAGAUUCAAUAUCUGAUCUCUCGCUAAGGGGCAAUGGAGUUGUCUCGUCUUCCCAGUUGUUUCUCUUCCACUUCUUCAACCCCUCAAACCCCCAUUGCUUCUUCCCCGAUUUUGAAACUUUUUCCUCAGAUUCAGGCACAUUUUCACUGCCUUCCUUCUGAAACAGAGUCCGAAAUACUUUCUUCUUUGCCUUGUCGGCACCGCUCUUUUCAACCUUCACUGUCUCCACUGGUAUGCUUUCUGGCAUAAGUAUGGAUCGAGUUUCACUUUCUUUCUCCUUCAAAUGGAUGUUCCAAAAAGGGUUUUCUCUAGACAACCCCAACUCAUUAUGCCCAGAAUGUUCCGACACUGGACCGAUGAUGCUCUUUUCUUCCCUGUUCUUUACAUUCUUAUGAGGCGUUGUAAAGCUCAAAACUGAGGCCACGCCUUUAAUCUGCUUUAUAGCUGAACCGUGUUUCGAUUUGCUCUUUGAAUUUGAACUUUCUUUGCUAAGCAAGCACUGUUCAUCCCUCAGGUCAAUGACUGACCACUCCUCUUCUGAAUUUUCCUUCUGAUUCGCAACAAUUACGUCUCUGGCCUCGAUCUCAGCCCCUUGAACUGCAAGCCUCUGUAACAAAGGCCUCUUCGAAGAAUGAUACUCAUCCGCCGUAAUGCAUUUUGCGUAAAACAGCUCCUACAACAAAGAACAAAGGAAAGCACUCAAUUAAGGAUUUUAAAAAUAUUUUCCAUCGAAACAAACAGACCCAAAAUCUCAAAACCCAAAAAGCAAAAACUACCUGCAAAAAUAGCAGCUUAUCCCUCAAGAUCACAGGUUGCUCUUGAUCGGCUGGAGAAGCGAUAAGGGUCUCGAGUAAAUGAGAUCGAAAAGAUGAAACCUCGUGUUCUGCUAAGAUUCCUUCUUUACAAAGGCCCAUCAAUUUGAGUAUUUGAUGGAAGGAAUCUUGCUGCCAUUUCAGAUUAUCCGACUGCAGCUUCGAUAGCUUCUGCUCGGCCGCUGGCAGCCGCCGCUUCUUGAAGGAGAAGGGAAGGAUGGUCUUGCAGAGAGAGGUGAUCGAGUCAUGAAGAGUGGAGUAGUAUGUGGGUGUGUAUGAGUACAUUUUUGAACCUUUGUUUUCUGGUUGCGGACCGAUGAAGGGACUGAUCAAUGAUUGUAGAUGCUGGUUGUGAUUUGCCAGAGCUAUUCAAUUGGGUUCUGUAAAUUUCGAUUUUUAUUUUGAUUUUCCUUUCCUCUUGAUGAAGUCGAUUUGUGUACGUUUAUUGUGUGAAGAUACUGUUCAAAAAUUUGAAAUUUCGGGUGCUCUGAACGGUCACUUGAAACUAGCCGUUGUGGACUAGGAUGAAAAUGGGAAAUGUCACCGUCGUCAAUUAUUUCUGGAUAAAACGACGCCGUUUUCACAUGUUCGCUUGCUUAUUUUAUUUUCAAAAUUUGCUUAACCCAAUAUAUGUUUUUAUUAUUGUAUUUGCACUUCAUAUCUCUCCUUUUAAGAAAUCUAAUAAUUUUACCUGGCAAAAUUUUCUCCCUCAUACUUCACCUACUUUUUAACUUUUAAAAAUGGUUUGAAAAUGUAUUUUGAAAAUUCCACAAUGUUUAAAUUUGUGCGGACAAAAUAUUUUUAAAUUAUGAUUUUAUAUUAAGGGUUAUUUUCAUUCAAAAUAUCAUAAAUAUUAAAUAGGAAUUUUGGAGAAAAAAAAAUGGUUAGAUAGAAAUUAAGGAAAAUUCAUAAAAUUAUUAGACAAAAUUCUAAAAAAAAUGAUAUGAUAAGUAAUAAUAAAAAUAUUGAAGUUGUUGUUGCUUUUUUAAAAAAAUAAUAAUAAUACAUGUGUGAUAGUACAAUAAUAUGUCAUAAUUAAGAAAAAAUUUAAAAUGAUGAUGUUUGUAGUUUUUAUGUAUUAAAGUAUAUAGAAAAAAUAUGAUCAUUUUUUUGUUUACAAAUGCUUACAAUUUUGUUUACUAAUUUAUGUUUUUCAUGUGUUACUUAAUAAAAGAUAUUAAAAAAUUAAUUAAGAAAAUUAUUUUUAAUGAAAUUUGAGAAUAAGAUAUUUAAAUUUUAUUUAUUUAUUAAAAUUUUAUUCUUAAUAUUUCAUUUGAUAGGGAAGUUUUUAAGGAUAUAAAUUAAGAUUCAUAUGUUUAGUGUGCACAAAAGUAUAUAGAUGAAUAAGUGGUUUAUUUGGUGAAGCACAAGGUUGGAGCUCCCUCAUGCACUCCUUAUUUCAAUCUUAAUUUAAAAUUUUUCCACAUUCAAGAGAUUUGUGUCUUCAUUAAUCUUUUGGAUACUCUCAUCACUUAACCUAACUCCAAUAUAACAUAAUGCCUCCAUCAUGAUAAACUCUUACAAUAUGAUAAGAUUGAAAGACAAAAUGGGUAACGCCUCUUAUUCGAUCAUAAACUCUUCCAAUAUGAUAAUAUCUAAAUCCAAAAUAGGAUAAGCAAUCACACAUCUUACAAAGGAAAGGAGGUAGAUGAUUUAUAGGUUCCCACCUCAUUUUACUUUAAUUUUUUUUAGAGUAAUACUAAGUUUGACAAAUUAGAUAUCCCUCAUUGACAAUCCCAUGGGCAGUCAUUUGUAUGCAGGUUGUAGUUGUGCCCUCUAUUCAAACAACUUUCUUGUUGUAGAGUGGAUGAGGAUAUGCAUGAUUAGAAUGAUCAACCAAACAUCAAUCAACCAUUUCAAAAAAGUGUAAGAUUGUUGGUUUUGAAAAAUAGCUCAAUUAUAGUCAUUGAUCUUAUUGUAUUUAUAAAAACAUUGAAUUCUAAUCUUUUAAAGAUUUUUAGAUUUUGCCAAGUAGUUUUUAAUUUCAAAAGAACUUCUAGCCUUUGAAUCUCGUAUAAAAAGUACGAUGAGCAAGAGGAGAUUUACUACUAAAGGAUAUAAAGCUAAGGAAUAUUUGGACCUAAUGCCUAUGGAUAUGUGUGGACCUUUUAAUGUUCAUAUACAAAGAUGAUAUGAGUAUUUUACCACUUUUAUUGAUGAAUGCUCUAAGUUUUGAUAUGUGUAUCUAGUAUAUAAGAACUUGAUGUCUUAGAUAAAUUCAUUGAAUUUAAGGUAAAAUUGGAUGACCUAUUAGGUAAACAUAUGAAGGCCCUUUGAUUAGAUCGAAGUGGUGAUUUUUGUGUUUAGUAGGUUCAAUACUUUCCUUAGGAAUGAUGGGAUUAUAUUCCAAUUGUGUGUACAAAGGACUCCAUUGCAAAAUGAAGUAAUGGAAAAAAGAAAUCAAACUUUAAUAGACAUAAUGAUAUUGAUGAUUAGUUUCUCAUCACUUCCCACAUCCUUUUAGGGAUAUAUCUUGGAGACCGUCUUACCUCUUUAACCUAAGAGGUAUAUUAAUUUGUAGGAUAUCCAAAAAGAUCUCAUGGGAUUAUCACCUUUAUAGUUAGAAUUGUCAAAAAGUGUUUGUUGUUACGAAUACUAGAUUUUUUAUGAAGACUAUGAUAAGGAAUAAGGUAAAGAGUGAUACAAACUAGGGAAUGUUAGAAGAUAGUGCCUCAUUUUCACAAUAUACUUUAGAUCCAGGGGAAUAGAGACAUAUCAUUCUUGAUACUUUUAACACACAAGUACUUCAUGAUAGUGGGAGGAUUACAUCCCGUGAAUUAUGAUAAGUUAUGGUAAAGAGUUAUGAAGUAAGAGUUAAAAUUUUUAAGUUAUAGCAUAAUUUGGGAACUUGUAGAAGAACAUGAAGGGAUAAAAGUCAUAGGUAUAAAGGUUGAGACUUAAGUGGCUAAGGUUAUAGUUCGAAACAGUGUUUUGACUAUGGAAAAACCUUUUCAUUAGUAGUCACUCUCAAAUUCAUCAAAGUACUCUUAUCCAUUGAAACAUAUCUCAAUUAUGAGAUAUGACAAUUGAAUAUCAAGAUAACAUUAUUAAACAAUUAUCUUAAUAGUAGCAUCUAUAUGAUGCAAUCAAACAUUUUCAUAACAAAGAACCAAGAGCAUCUAGUAUGCAAGUUGCAUAAAUUCAUUCAUGGAUUAGUGCAAACAUUUUGCUUAUGGAACAAGUGUUUUAAUUAGGAGAUCAAGACCUUUAUGUAGACCCUAGAAUUUAUCUGAAUCUUUCUUUUCAAUCAUUUUUAUUUUAUUUUUUAUUUAUUUAUUUUCAUUUUUAAUUUUUAUUUUAUUUUUCUUUAUAUUACUUAUUUUAUUUUAUUUUUGGGUCCUUUCCUUUUAUCUUUAUUUUUAGAUCCAUUUCUUUUUGACUUUAGCCUAAGUUUCAGGCUCAAUACUUACCCAUUUUAAUUAGAUCAAAUCUUGGCCCUUGCAAUUCCUACCAUUCAUUCAAAGAGAAGCCCUAAAGACCAAUCUUCCUAUUUUUCCCACAUUUGUCGUCCCAUCUUCCUUUUUCCUUUCUUCCUUUUUUUUUUUUUUUUCUUUCUUUCUUGCACAUUUCUUUUUUCUCUCAUUCAAAACUAGUUGUCCAUUUCCGAUUUCUUCUUCUCAUUCUCUCUCUCUCUCUCUCUCUCCCUACAUUUCUUUCUCUCUCUUCUAUUCCUUCUCAUACCUAUUGAUACCCAAAACAACCACUUCGCAACCACUGAUCUAGUAAUCGUGGCUACCUUCCACCUCAUUUUUGUCACAUUCACACUCGCAGUGCACCCAUUGGUGGCCACACACCAUCAUUCAUGGUCAUCCCUUCUUCACACUAGAUUCAUUGUCAUGGAUGUCUCACAUUUCCUCUCACAUCCACUACGUAGUUUACCUUGCCACCCAUUUUGCUUCACCCUAAGGCUUUAAAAAUGAGAUAAGUCUUUAUUUAUUUAUUUUUUAUCUUAUCUCCACAAUAUUUCUUUUCGUUUCGAGUUUGGUUUUUUGAGAUCUAAAUAUUGAUUUUGGGACGUUCCUUUUGUUGAGACAUUGGUAUGAAUUUAGGUUGUAUUUCAAAUUGACUUGGAUUUGGAUUUGGUUUUGGGUUUGCUUGUAUUUGGGUCAGUAUCCUCACACUAUGUUGAAAAUGAGAAAAUACAUAACAUGUUGGAAGCAGGUGGAGUGGUUGAAGACAAGGUAUAUGCAUGAGUAGAUUUUAAGGGGAACUUGAUUUGUAUUAAAGGGAGAAGAUGGAAGCAGAAAAAUGGAAUAGGAGAACAUUGACAAGUGUGUGACACCUAGACAAGUGUGCUCUCGACCUAAUGGCUUCAAGUGCAACUUGUGUUCAAAGAUUCGUUGAUUCACAAGAUUCUGAAAUUCACACUAAGUAUCACAUUUUGCUACUUUCUUUAUCGAUGUGAGAGCCUAGAUAUUCGUUGUCGAGAGUUGUUUAUGUGAAUGAAACAACGACACCAAGGAUUAAGGCAACAGGAGGGUGUUGGUUCAUUUGUACGGUUCUUUGGCAUAUUUCGCGCUAGGGUUCGUUGUUUGCUCUAAAGAGUUGUCCAAGUCGUUCCCUGCCCAUGCGCGAGGCAUGAUGAUGGGUGAGGCUCCCAAUCGAGGGAAAAUGAGUGGUAGGCUCGUACCCACCCCACUUAGUCCCCAAGAGUGUUGCAACGUGUCCAUGGGUCAUUUUGUUAUGUAGAGAUUUGAUAAUGAUCCUUUACAGGUUCACCUAUAGAAACCUUGUUAUGACUUCUCCUUCCUCUAAAUGAUAAGGUUCAAUGGAUUUUUCACGAUAGUGCGGACAAUAGACUGCCCACGUUGUUGUGAUCCAAAGACUUCACCGGACCAUUUAAUCAAUAGGAAUGAUGGGCGGUGUGUACAAAAGGUAAGAACGUAGUCAACAUAAACUAAUGGCUCAUGUUUACUAGAAAUUCCUUGUUGAAGACCAACAAUUGCAAAGAUUAUGUGGGCUUGUCAACCAAGGCUAUAGACUCGUUGAAUACAUCAAUGUAACACACAUGCGGUCCAAAACAUCUAAGAGCAUCAUAGACCUGUUGUUGCCUCAAAUUUCCUUAUCCUAAAUUGUCAUAGUCCCUCUAAGAAGCUAGCUACGGAGGAUCACUUGUUUUGUGCAUCCAUAUAACGUAGAGCUUCCUUCAAUCCAAACAAUUAUGUGAAACUAUGAGCUUCCUUCAAUCCAAACAAUUAUGUAAGACUAUCCAAUCACAUCUUAUAAAAUUAAACUCUAGGAUCAUAUGAUAUUAUUUUAUUCAUAAAAAAUUAUUUAAAGUGAUAGGUUUUAGAAUCCAUUUGGUAGUGUUUCUCGUCAAAAUGGUUUACUGACAAUGUUUUUUUCUAUAGCUUAUUUAUGAAAAACACUUAUAUAAGAAUCAAAAAAAGAGAUUCUAAUAGUGUUUUUCACAAUGUGUCGUAUGAGUAUAAAAACAUUUUUAAUAUUAAUAAACUACCAAAAAAGAUAUAUGCUUUAAUUACAAAAAAGAAAUAUUAUAAUAAAACAAGAACUUUUCAUUACAAAAGAAUAUAUAAACAUUUAUAUGAAAAAGAAUAUAUAAAUAUUUAUAUUGUUAAAAAAGCUAAAAAAUAAUCAUUUGUAUGAUUACAAGAAAAUUUUUAAAAAUAUUUACAAAAAAAAUGUUUAAUUAAUAAAUAAACAUCGAUCAUGAUAUAAAAAAUUUUCAAAAUAAAAUAAUUGAUUUUAUUUGUUUGUAUCUUCAUCCUGUGUAUUUAUACCAUCAUUCAAUGACCAAAAUUUUAGAUAAACUCUAAAUAACUUCGAUUGUAUCUAACUUGGACGUUUCCAUGUGUCCAUUGUCUCAUUGCCUUAGUUAAUGGGCUAGACUCAUAUACUACCAACUUUGCUUUCAUUGUGUCAAAAUUUUCAUUCAAACCUUGCGCCAAUAUUAAGAGGAAAAGGGGUGUUUUAGGCGUGCAUUCUUACAUGGAUUCUUGCACAAAAUAGAGAAAGUUGAUUAGGACAGGAUUACAUUUUAUAUCAAAUUACUCAAUUUGAUAUCUUGUGCGCAUCCCAUGACCACUGACGGGUGGAUAUCAUAUUAGAAUCGGAAGUUUCGUGCUAAGCAAGAUCAAUUAAAGGACCAAUGUAGCUAAUGACUCAUAUUAGUGGGGAAAAUGACACACCCACUUUGUCCAUAUUGCGACAUUAGUAAAGCUAGGCUUCUACUCUCUCCUCUCCUAAAAAUGGAGUGCAUUAAAUAAACCCAAAAGAUGCACAAUCAUCAGCCUUCUGUGUGAUUCAAAAAGCAGAAUCGAUGAUCUUUGGUCCGACAAGAGAUGAUGGACACAUUUUUGAAUGAUUAAACCAUAGGACACCCCAUGGUUUCUCAUACCCUAUCCUUUUUAUUGUUGGUCCCACUCAUAGACGAGCGAUGCAUUAUUUGUACUCAAUUUCCGUGGUGGGCACAUGAAAUGGACGGAAAGUGAUCUCUGGUGCCUCUACCAUCACUUGCUUCUACUAUGGAACAAGUGGGUAAUCAUCCAGUAGAAUCAAUUCAUCUCUACUACACAACAUUUCAGAUAGAAAUUGAGGACACAUGUUAGAUUGAUCCUCCAUCACCACCCACCAAAGCAAGUUGGUAGGUCCUUCAUCCAAGGUGACUUUCCAAUGGAUUAGGUCUUGGCUACAAUUUUGUUACUGUUGUUAGGUCACGGCAAAGUGCUUGAGAUUUGAUGAAUAGGAAAAAUAUGCUCCUAUACCCUAGGUUGUCCAUCUAGAAUUUAGCAUCAACUUAAAAAGUAAGUCUAAGACGCGGGAUUUGGUGCGAUUUGAAUGACAUAAAAGGGAUUUACGUAGUCGCACUUAAAAUCAAUUGAUUUUUAGAUGAGAUGACUAAACCUUUAGGUGGUGAUGCAAUAAAUUACAUCUGCACCUAUUUUCUGAUUCAACAUAAUUAACUUUGUUGAUGUUCUAUUUCUGAUAAUUCCGCCUGGGCUAUCAUUAUCUUGGAUUCCCUCAGAAGCGUUGGUUGAUGCAUGCAGACAACAAACGUUGGUUACCUCAUUAACAUCUAGAGACUUAGUUGGUGAAUGGUCUAAUCAAGGCAGUGAUCUGUUGAAAAUUCUUGUGAUUUAACAGUGUCAAUUCUUAAUAUUUUCUUCCAUGAGUACAUCAUCUUUCAGACUAACCACAAUUGCGGAAAGUAGUUCCUUUGGCAAGAAGACUUCUUAGUUUUCAUUUGAUAGUACAAAAUCUUGAUCUCUUUCAGGUUGGUUUAAUAUAUAUACAUAUAAAUUAAUCAUAGAAAGGGUAAGUUUAUUAAAGAUUAUUAUUCUUGUGUACUUGCUUGAAACCCAGAAUACCUUUUACAAAUUUAGAAAAUAAUUACAACAGGAGAUAGUAGAUUCUUAGACAAACCUCACAACUUGCUGCUCACCAACCCAAACAAACUACAAGAAUGUCUUUCCUGAGAGAGAGAGAGAGGGGAAAUCAAGGAGAAGAAAAAGUAUUGAACGAUUUGGUUAAGAAACAAAGAUCCCCAUUCUGCAACAUGGACAAUGGGCAUUAGUCUCCAGCCAUGGCAUCAAACACCUUGAGUGGAAACGGUGAGCGCAGGGCAGGUGCACCAGGCUCUCGCCAGCCUUGAACCCCUCCAGGCAGAUCGCGCACUCCACUUGGUCUGAGGCCUUCCAGCUCAACUUGCCCCAGCUGAAUCUCUUUGAACCACUCCUCUUUGAUCCAAACACCUCUGUCUGCAGUUCCCCUACCACCAUGGCUCUUCCAUCUACUAUCCUCAAGCUUUCCUUGCUCUUAUUCCUGAAUCCAAUUAUCAAAAUACAAUGAUUAAACACACAUAAGAACGGACAAUUGUAACUCUUCUGUCUGUUAAUUACCUUGUGGGUUCUGAUUUUCUUUGGGUUCUCAGCCUCUCAUCCAAUCUUUCCUUGGCUUCUCUCGCCACGCCUCCCAGUUUCUCGUCGCUGUAUGCUUGGUUCAAUACGCUUCUUUGCUGUUUUUGAUUUCAGAUAAUUUCAGAAAUAACUAAGAAAAAAAAACCGACACCCCAUUUAUAGAGAUUUAGAAAAAGAUAAGGUUGAUUAUGCCGAUAGUAGUACCAUAGAAGAGCUUGAAGUGGCGUGGUGGUUUUCAUGGUUGCUUGUAUAGAGACAGAAAGAGGACCGCCUUGUGCAGCCGUGGACCGCCACCGUCGGAGAGUCCGAGCACCCUCCACUCUGGUGGAAUCGUCUCCUUCGAGCACAUUCCACACCAGGAAGCAUUCCAGCCAUCUCUACCCUCUACUAUAUAUAUGUAUCUACAAACAAAUAAACUCCAAAAAAGAAAGAUUUGUUUAUAUAUGCAUUCAAUUCAGCAGCGGCUCUAGACCUUGUCUCCCAUCUUCAAUCUGCCUAGAACAAUGAAAGAAGAAGCAAUCAGAAACAAGAGUAUCCCACAUGUAUAUAUAUAUAUAUAUAUAUAUAUUUAUAUAUAUAAACAUAAACGAACUCCAAUUAAGCAGCUGUUCUGAACUCACAUGUUUCAGCACAGUGUGAGUAGAAAGGAAAUCAUGAUUGAAUCAAUGAAACAAAAGAGAAAACAGUGAGAGAGAUGAUAUUGGCAGACAAGAGCGGGACCCCGGCAUUGAUGGAUUCCAUCGACAGUUUUGCUUCCAUCAUUUUCAACAUCUCCAUCUAUGUAUCAAUUAUUUUCGAUUUUCAUUUUUGAAAAAAAAAUAUAUAUAUAUAUAUAUAUAUAUUAGAAAUGUGAGUUGAGAGAAUAGAAAGAUUGACGGAGAAGGACGAUGGACUGACUAGACAUUUGGACACCCAAGGUGAGCUAGCCACGUGACCAACCAAAUACUGCCCUACCCCCUCUUCAUCCUCCUCCUCUCCCUCUUUAUAUUUGUUUUCACGUUCUCUCCUUUGUUUUUAUUCACACGACCGCCGGCUGGCCUGCUGCCAAGCAUCCUAUCUUCAAUAACUUCUUUUAAAAGUAGGUCCCCAAUGGGGCCAUCCUGUGCAUAUCGGAUUAUUUCAUCUAUGCAUUUUAAAUCUUCUUAACAAAAUCCGAUUUUAUUACUAUUUAUCUUUGUAACAUCAUACUUCAACCAUCGCAUUUGAAAAUCAAUUGAUGUUCAAUGGGAGUGGGUCAAAUUUUUUAUGAUAUGCUACAAGUUUGUUCUAAAAAUGGUACCCAUGACCCAGUUAUAAGAUCGGGUUUUUAUUAUCUCUUCUGAAAAUCAAUUAAUGUUUAAUAAGGAUAGGUUAAACCUUUUAUGAUAUCUAACUCUACGAAUUUAUUCUAAAAGUCAUCAUUUUGAAUCUUUGAUGACAUGUCUUCGGGUUUAAGAGUGGCAUUAUUGCACCCCAAUAACCUUAUUCAUAUUCUUUUAUUUUGUGAUCUCAUUUUUUUUAUCUAAUUUAAUUUAUUCAUACACAAUGAUCUACGAUUUAUAUUUCAUUGUGUAUUUUCAAUGAUCUAGAAUCAUCUUCAACAAAUACUAAUUUAAUGUUCUGGAAUUUUCCAAAUAAUUAAUACUUCAAACCAAAACAUGUGUAUUAUAAUGAAAUGAUUCUAUUAUAUUGUGAUUGUCACAUUAGUAAUCAAUAUUUCCUUAAUUAAUUAAUUAUAACUAUUAUCACUGCAAUUAUUAAUUAAUUAACAAAAAGAAUAGCAAAAGGAAGGAAAAAGAAGAACCUUAUCUGCAUUUAUGGAUGGCUGACAUCAUCCAAAACCAGCUUACUUGGCCAUCUUGUGUUGAUCCCAACAAACUAAACGGUGUCCCUUUUCAUCAGUCACUACUACUCCAGGACAAAAGCGGAAGGAGGAAAAAAACAAGAACACAGACGAAAACUAAAAAAACAAAUAGGCCAUUGCCAGUGGAGCUCUCAGUAUCUGCCCCAUCUGCUUCAGUAAGUUCUUCAAAUUUCACCCAUUUCAUGAAUUGUCAAAAUUUGGAAUUUAGAAUCAAAUUCUUUUGGCUCCAAGGCAUCUAGAAAACAAGACAAAAAUAUAUUUUAAAAAAAAACAAAAAACAAUCAUAUACUUUGGGACUCCCAAUCUUUUGUUUACAAUGUGAGAAAAAUUGAUAAAGGAGAGGGAGACAUGAUUUAUGCUUUAUUUAUUUGAGAAGUGUUUUUAAAUAGUUUUUUAAAAUUGUUUUAUGAUAUUUUGUAAAAUAAUUUUUUUUUUGAAAAUUUAAAAUAUUUUUAAAAUAUUUUUUAUAUUUUAAAAUAUCUUUUAUAUAUAGUGUUUUUAUGUUUAAUCAUUCUUUAUAUUUAUAUAAUUAUUUUUUAGAUUUUAGAAAAUAAGUAAGAAGACUAAAAAUAACUAAGAGAUGUUAUUAAAAAUACUUUGUUUUCAAUUUUUAAGAAUAGUAAUUUAUUGUUUGUUUCUAGUUGGAAAAUUAUUUUCAAAACCAGUUACUAAAUAUUACACUAGUUCUUUAAUUUUAUUUUAUUUUAUAAUUUAUUAUUAAGUGGACUAUAAUAUUUUGGAAAGAAGAGGCAAGGGCCCAUUUAGUAAUUGUCUUCGAGAACAAUUUUUUGUUCUUAAAAAAAAAACAAUAAGAAAACAUGUUUAACAAAUAAAAAUUAUUUUCUAUUUUCUAUUGUUAAGAAAAAAAUAAAGUAUUUUAAAAAAAUAUCUUUUAAUUAUUUUAUAUUAUUUUCACUUAUUUCCUAAUUAUUAUUUUAAAAAAUAAUUAUAGAAUAAAAAUAAAACAUUAAAUAUAAAAAUUAUUUUUAAAACACAUUUAAAAAUAUUAAAAAUAUGUUAAAAAUAUUUCAGGUUUUUAAAUAAAUUUUUAUUCUGUAAAACAUCAAAAAAUAAUUUUUAAAAACUAUUCUAAAAAACUGUUUUUAAAAAAUAGUUACUAUCCAUCCCCUAAAAUUCUUGAUUCUUGUGAUAAUUAUUAAUUAAGGUGAGAAAAUGUGGAUGUGGCCGGUGGUUGUACCCAAUUUUGAGAGGCAAUGGAGAUUAGGCAUGGAGAAUCGUUGUUUUGGGACAUUGAUGCCAGUGAUUCAAUAUUUUAAUUUGGCCAAAGUGGAUUCGUAUCUCAUUAGUAUCUCAACGGAUGGGCACCCAUCUGGAAUCAGUGCAUAUCACCCGACAUAAUUAGUACUGUACUUCAUAAACAAUGACGUAACCCAUCAGAUUUUUUUGCACUGAAAUCGGAUUGGAUGCUAGAUUGGAUUGACGGGUUGCUCCGGUUUUAUGCCCAAAUUGGGCCGACAGAAACUGGGUUAAGCCUACAAAGACAUGAGGUGUUUCAGAGUCCACAAACUCAGAUUGGGCUCAGCUGAAGAUAGGCCCACCAGAACACUGAUGGACCCCGUUUGAGCCGUUCUCAAAUCACGGAGCCCAAGUCAACCACGCCAGCGCCAAUUAGUUCUUUACCGUCUUGAAUGGUUUUCAGACCAAAGCCUUCCCAUUAUUUCGAGACAUUCAUUAACCACGUGUCAUGCGAGCAUGUGGUAAAAAUGGUAGGAAAAAUAAUAUUAGUAAUAUCAUAACUUUUAGUAUUCUUAGUUUAGAUUUUUUUCUAGGUUUUUCAUAAUUUUAGAUUUAUUACAUAUAAGAAGUAGUGGACAAACAAAAAAAAAGAGACGGAAAUUUAUUGAACAAAUAGAACUUCUUCAAUGAAGUUAUAAAAAAAAUUUCAAUUUUGAUUAGAUACUAAAAUAAACAAAAUAAAAAUUUAUUAAUAUAAAAAGGAUUUGUAUGAUAUCUGAUCUAGGGAAAUAUAUAUAUUAUACUGUGUCAUCCAAAAAAUUGAGUGAUUCCUUCUUUCUUCUAACUUUGAAAUGAUUGAUAAAUACUAUCAAGGAGCAAAUGUUUUGAAUCAAUCAAUCAAGUUCGUUUUUCAUUCAAAGGAAAAAUAAUUAAAAGAGUAAGCAAAUUCACCCAAGAUUCUCCUUAGUUUGGACUAUUAUAUACGGGACCAUAAAGACUAAUGAUGAAAAAAGAAGGCCCUCAUUCAAUUAUUUAAGAAAAAAUACACUAAAAAUGCUAUGUAACAUUGAUGGAUCCACACCACCCUAAUCAACACAUCAAAGAAAAAUGUGUUGGAUAUUGUUUUAUAGCAGUUUGAAUAUAGUCUCCCAAUUAUAUAGCUUCGCAACAAUUUCUAAAAUCAACUUCCAUGGCUUUGAUCGAUUUACACUUGAAGUUAAAGCUAGUCUACUAGUCACCCUUCAUUGAUGUAUGCCUUGGAUACCGUCACAAUGGUGAUCUAGUGAGCUAAUAUGACACAACCCAUGUUAGAGGAAUCAUUCAUAGAUGAUUGCCUUGAGCAAUGAUUAGAUUCUUUCACCAAUAUCAAUUUAGGAAGUAGUAAUGAUAUGCAUUGGGAUACUCCUCUAUUGACGGAACCAAGUGACCUAUUAUUAUCUUACUAUUACUAAAAAGAUAGAAAGCUUUUGUGAUUGACAAUAAAAGUAUAAUUAUGUGUUGAGUGAAUAAUGUAAAUGCACUCAAUAAUAUCAGCAUAUUAAUUAUUCUAAAAUCCAUGAAAUGUUUUAUACGUGACAGAGUUUUUAGUAAACAAACGAAACCCGAUAUCCAAAUAAAACUAAUCAAUUGAACAACUUGUGACAGAAAGGGAAGACAGGUAUACAGUUUGAAAACCCUCGUGGGAGGUGUCCACUAUGAGAGCAAUGGAGGCCAUGGUGCGAGCUGGCCGUGGUUACAUGCAUGGGAGAUGGUCAUGCAUAGCAUGGGAGUGUGGGUGUAGUUUUGAAGGUCGCAACUCGCAAGUAGGUGAUAUGGGCCUUGGGUGAUGGGUGCUGUGGAAGUCUUCGACGAUGAUAUUUCAUGUUCUUGUUGGCUUUUAUGAAGGUCAUAGUAUCUCUUGUAUUGCAUCUCUUUCAAAGUAAGCGUCCUUUUUACCUUUAUCUUAAGGGGUGUGAGGGUUUGUUUGAUUAAUGUUUUUAAAAAUAGUUUUUUAUUCUCCAAAAUAAGAAAAUUGAAAACACAUUUGACAAUAAAAAAAUAAAAAAAUAAUUUUUUGUUUUUAAAAACAAAAAAAAUAUAGUGUUUUUAGAAAAUAUAUAUUUUAAUUGUUUUCAAUUAUUUUCACUUUUGUUUAAGAUUAUUUUAAAAAAUAAUUAUAUAAAUAUGGAGAAUAAUUAAAAAAAAUCAUUAUAUAUAAAAGUUAUUUUUAAGACAUAUUUAAAAAUAAAAAAUGGAUUAAAAAUAUUUCAAGUUAUCAAAUAGACAUUUUGUUCUAUAAAAUAUCAAAAAUAGUUUUUGUAAAAUGUUUUCAAAAACUGUUUUAAAAAAAUAGUUGCCAAAUAAGACGUUAGUCAUUUCAACUUUCCCUCUCUUGAUCUUGCUAAGAAGUUUGAUUGGAGUUCUAUUUCAAUUAUAACCUUCAUAAUACUAGUUUUAAAAAGAAGUAAUACGUCAUACCUCUGCUUGCCUUUUCUUUCACUCUUUCAUUGGCGGACCCAUGCUUUUAGAGAUGUCCAGCUUCUUGUCAUUUAUAUAUAUAUAUAUAUAUAUAUAUAUAUAGUAUAAUAUCAUAUCCCAUUAGAUAAGAAAUACAUAUCCUAAGAUAUCAUCUUUAAUGCGAUGUGAUAUCCAUGAAUAUUAUAUUUAAUAUAAAGAUGUUUAAUAAAUAUAAUAUCCUAACAUAGUAUAUGCAAUGAAAUGUGUUGUACACACAAAUUUUCUCAAAUAAGGAAAUUAUGGACAAAAUUGUAAAAUUGAUAGUUUGAGGAAACAAUUUCCAACAUGUCCUCUAAUUUUGUUUAGAGAAACAAAAACAUCAUUUUAAUAAAUUUAGUUCUUAGUUUUGGAUCAAAAAGGUUUUCUUUAAAAAAUAAUAAAUUAUGAAGUCUUCCAAUAAAAAGAAAUCUUCAAAUCUUUUUCGAUUUUUCAAGAAAUCUUUGAAUUUUAAGAAUCUUUUACAUUCAACGAUAUUUAUAAUUAAAAUAUUUAAAUAAUACAUAUAUUGAUAUUAUUUUAUAAAUGUUUUUUUUUCUUUUUUAACUACAAAUUUAUUUUUUUAUUUUUUAUUUUUUGUAAAAAAGUAAAAUUUUGAUAAAAGGAUAAAUUUAUGAUACAUACGACAUAUAUAUCUUAUCUUUCAUAUAAAAAAGAUAUCACAAAAAGCAGAUAAUAUAUUUUUAUUAGUUACCCUAUCUAAAAUAUUAUAUUUUAAAAAAAAAACAAAAACAAAGUGGAGGAUCUUCCUUCAACAUGUACACGAACCAUGUGGUACGAUGCAUUAUGUUGGUUGUAAAAAGAAUUUCUUCUGGUAUCCCUCAAAAGCACCCUCCUUUGUAUUCUCCCACGAUCUCCUUAUAAACAUUCCCCCUGUUACAUUGUUUCAUUUCAUGGUAUAAUAUAAAGGAACAACCGCCUAUGGAUUACAUUCUUUGAUUCUCAUGCCUUUCGACAAAAAGUUCUCAACUACUCCUGAUUCUUUUCUCGUACCAAUGGCCGAUUAUUCUUUUCCCAUCCCCAACCCAAAAUUACAUACUACCAAAAAUGGGUACACCUCCUAAUUCUUUUUUUUUUUUUUUUUUAAUUUUGCAUAAAAGGGAAAUUAAAUUUAAAAUAAUAAUUUAUUUUUCUCCAUUCCUACCUUUUUUUUCUUCUUCUCUCCAUUCUCUUAAACUUUGUACAUUCAAGGAAGUCUUAAGUGGGCUUUUUGCACUUUGUUUUGCUUUUUUUUCUUCUUAUAAUCAAACAUUCAAAAAUCAUGUUUGGCAUCGAUUUUACUUUUUCUUUUUUUAAAAAAAAAAAAAUUGUUUGACUGCAAUACCGUUGAUAUCAAAUUCAAGGAUGGAUCAUUUAAAUAAUUAUGAUCUAAUAUCAUAAAAAGUUUUAUCUAUCCUCAUUAAACUUCGAUUAAUUUUCAAAUGAGAUGAUCAAAGUUCAAUUCAAGAAUUGAUAUAAAAGUCGCAUCAUAGAUUUAGGACACAGGAGGAUUCAAGGCACGAAAAAGUCAUGAAAUGGUUAUCCAAUAAUUUUAUAAUAAAUAUUAAGAAGACAAAAAUAUAUAAAUUUUUUUAUCUUUAAUUUUUUUAAAAUUUAAAAAUUCUUUUUAUUUUAUUUUAUAAUUUGACAAUAAAAACGUAUUUUUCUACUACUUUUCAAUAAUUUAUACAAAAAUGUACCAGAAUCUCAAACUUUCCUUUGACUUUGAAAAUUAAAGUCAAACUGGAGUUUAUAUUUAUAAACCUCAGCGUCAUGCACGUAGAUGAUAAUGUCUCAUAAAAUAAUAAAAACUUUAUAAUAUUAAUUGGGAAUAACAUGGUAUGACAUUUGCAAUGUGCAUGUCGCUUUCCUUGUUUCCAAACAGUGAAAAAGAUAGAUACCUCCAUUACUAAAAUUUUAAGAUAUGGAAUCCCCAACUAUUACAUAUUUAUAAAAUUUUGAUUGUUGACAAUGCACGAUAAAAUUUAAAUUGUUAAUAAAAAUAUAAACAUAUGAGAACAUAUAUAAAAAAAAUGAUAUUAAAAUAUAAAGCAAUGAAUCUUAUAUAUAUGAUACAAAUUAAUAAUAUUUAUAUAUAAAGUAAAUGAGGCUUUAAUUAUAAAUGUAACGUGGUCAUCGUAUUAAUGGUAUAUUUUCAAUAAAUAUCAUAAAAAAAUAGGAACAAAAGAGACAUGAAAUUACAAAUCUAAUCUCCCACUUUUUCUUUUUCUUUUUCUUUUUUACCAAAAAACUCAUUUUGGACAAAAAUAUCUUUAUUUUUUUCUUACAAAAAUAUCUUUAUUUUUUUCUUACAAAAAUAACAUGUUAUGCUAAAACUCAUAUAUAAAUAAUGAAAAUGUUGAAGGGUAUUCAUGUAAAAAAUUGACUACUCUUCAAGUUAAAAAAAUGGAAGAUGUUAGUUUUACAAAUUUGAGAUCUUUCCAUCCCUUUUAAUCAAUUAAUCAUAAAAAGUAUGUGAUAUCACACAUUAAAUAGAAGAGAAAGUUAUUAAGGUUAUAUAUAUAUAUAUGUGAAUUCUUCUUAAUUUUAUAAAUGCGUUUUAAAGUUAUGAGAGUCUUUUUAUAUUUAAAGCAAACAAUAUCUAUACGAUUGAGUGAAGAUUAUUACAAACGGUAUCAGAGUUGAUUCACGAUCGUAAAGUUUAUUAGGUCUCAUAGGAUGUGUUUCUUUAUUUAUCUCCAUAAUCUCAUGGGAUGAUUUCAGUAUGAGGGUUUGUUUGAUUUCGUAUAAAAGUUUUUGUCUGUUUGAUCUCACAAUCAUAAAAGAUACAAGAUAUUUAUAAUAUCUUAUAUCAAAUAAAAUAAAAAAUUACUAGAGUUAUAUAUGUAUGAGUUUUUGUUAUCCAUUAAAAUAAUAUCUUUACUAUUGCAUGCAAAAUAUAUGUCGGUAUUAUAAUAAGAUUCCACAAUUAUAUCUCCAAGAGCCAUUUUAACAAAAAUGCGUGGGUGCGCCUCCGCGGGAGGCCUUUCACAUUUAAACAUUCUGGUAAUUAGAAGGGCAUUGGCCCUAGCGAUCUUAAAUGGUCACUUUUUACACUCGAGAACUUAUAUAAUCCAAUAGAAUUCCUUUUAGUCACAUAAACUAUAUUAAGUGGUACAAAGAUAGUGCAAAAGUGAGAUGGAACAUGACGUUAAUGUUCGUGAAACAUGACGGCAUUUUUUUAGGACGUGAAAUCGACCCAAAGCAGAAGAUGACCAAAACAGACCACUGACCCAUAUUUGGUCCUGUGUAAAAAUAAAUUCCCUCACAUUGGUUAUAAUUGAUUUUAAAUCAUUAUUUUUAGUAAAAUAGUAUAUUUAUCUUAUUUUAGGUGCUUCUGUUUGGUGUCACCUCGCACUUUAUUAAGCUUACAUCUCUGCUAUUGAUGCAACCCACCACCAGCCUUCAUAUACGCGUAUACGAAUAACAUCAAACAAUAUUAUCUAAUUAGGUUUGUGGUAGCUUUUGAAGAUGCUGGGUAGACUACCGACUUUGUAAAAGUAAGUUAAUUUAAGUUAGAAGAUUAGGUGGUGUUUGUUUUUUGAUUGAAUAGAAAUAAUUAAAAUAUUUGAUUUUUUUUAUUCGAUUAAAAGUAAUAUGUUGAUAUCAUCCAAUAUGAUUAAAAUGAACUUGUUAUUAAUAAAAGCUCAGUUUAGUUAUGUUGGAUGAUAUUAAUAGGUUACUUUUAGCUUAAUAAAAAAAAUCAAAUAUUUUGAUUUUUUUUCUAUUCAGUCAAAAAACAAACAUCACCUUAGACUUCGUAUAGAAUGAUGUGAGACAUUAUGAAACAUUUUUUUAAUAUUUAGAUUUAUAAAAAUUAGAGGUUUUAUUAUGUUUUGGAAAUUACUUUUGAAAAUUUAAAGAAUCACUUCAAUUGAAUUAUAUAGAUAUUUAGUAAGUAAUUAUUAAAAUAGUAAUUAGUAGGUGUUUUUUUUUAAAAAAAAAAAUACUAGAUUUUCCCUAUCGUCAAAUAUUAAUAGAUUUUCCAUACAAAUCUUUUCCAUGAAAGCAUAGUUGAAAAAGUUAAAAACUUAGAAGCCCUUUCUCUCAAAUCCCUGUCAAAAUGUCCUUGAAAAUAUGAUUUAAUAAUGUUAAAAUGUAACUUUGAGUGGUUAAUUUUUAUAUCAAAAAAUAUUAAUUUUAUCUUAAACGAAAAACAUUAGAAAAUAUUUUGAAUACAAAAAACUAAUUUUUGUUUUUUAUUUUAUGUUUUCAAGAACAAAAAAUAGGAUAUUUCUAAAGAACAUCUUUUAGUUGUUUUCUAACAACUAUUUUAAUAAAUAAGUAUACAAAAAUAUAGAAUAAUUUAAAAUAAAAUAUUAAAUAUAAAAAUUAUUUUUAAAAAUAUUAAAAAAUAUUUUAAAUUUAUAAAUAGAUUUUUGUUCUAUAAAAAUCAUAAAAUUUUAAAAAAAUUUUUUAAAAAUAUAUAUUUUUUAGAAUUAUUUUUUAAAAUAGUUACCAAGCAAACCCUUACACAGUCUUUUAUUAAACCACUUUCAAACCAUUUAUAGUAACAUGACUUAAAGUCUAUUUCAUCAUGAUUUUUUAAGUAUUUUUAAUUUUCCUAACAUUGAAAAUUUUUUAUUAAAAAAACUGUUUUUAAAUGAUAGAAAGAGUAAAAGCAUUUCACAGGUCAUUGACAAAUAAGAUCUUAAUAGCAUUGAAAAGUAACUCAAUUUUUAAAAUAUUAAAUAUUAAAUGGUUUUCUUGGUUUUCUUUCUUAUUACUCCAAAUUCUUAUUUAUGUUUGUUUAUUGUUAUUACCCUUUUGUUUCCUCCCAUGAGCUUAUUAUUUAAUAUUAAUUAAAGUAAAUACGUGCAAUUUAAUAAUUUAAAAAAAAUUAAAUUAGUCAAAGCAAAUAACUUUAACACUCAAGUUAAUAUUAAAUAAAAAACUUUAGAUCAACAAAUUCAAUAAGAUUUAAAUUAAAUAAUUAAGUAUUAAGUGUACAUUAUGUUUUUUUUUUUAAAUUACAUUAGAGAUAGUCAAAUUCUUUAGAUAUCCCAAAAAUUUUAAACAAUUUUUAAAAUCAUCACUUUUUCAAAUUAAAUUUUAAGCUAUUAUUAUUAUUUUAUUUAAUAUAAAUAAAAAAUAAAAAUAAAAACUUUUAUAUGUAGGUAAAGCUUUUUGUACAAAAAUAUAAAUUUACGCCAUAAGAAUCACUUUUAAAAAAAUUUAAAAAUUUAAAAUUUAAUAAAAAUCAAUGUUUUCAAAAUCGGACCUAUCAUUGAACUGAAAAAGUUACGAGUUCACGGUUCACUGACUGGAUCGAUGAUCAAAUUGGUGACGUUAUAAAUAUAUAUUUUAUUAUUUUAUAUAUUAUUAAAAAUUAAUAAAUUAAUAAAUUCUAUCUAAAUUCCUCCGUUCACAGCCGUCAGGUGGGGGGUUUACAGGCAACCGGGGGGUGUGGGAUGUUUAUAGCCGAGGGGGGCGGGGUACCAGCCGGUUGGGGUGGUUUCCAACGGCAAGGAGCUUUCCAAUGCCAGCUUCCAACGCCGCGACGGGAAACUAGGAAGAGGCGACGGCAGGGAGGGUUGCCGACUUGUAACGACCAUCGGUGGGAGCUGUUUGGGUGUCGUGGGUCACGGUGCGUCGGUGGCGGGCGGAGCGACAGGCCGACAGCAACUGCGGGGGAGGAGGGAGGGUUUGUAGUUUGCAACUUUGAUUUUCAUUAUAUACCCUCCAAAACGGCAUCAUUUUGAUGGUGUUUUAAAAAAAUUAAUUUAAUUAACUUGGUCGGUUCGUCCAAUUCACCAGUUGAACCGCUUGUUCAAGUGGUCCAACCCCUAGUUCAAUGCUAUUCCGGCCCAAUUGACUGGAUCGGAUCAGAACCGUUACCUGCCGGUGGUCGGACCGAUCGGUCCAAUCCAAUUUUAAAAACCAUGGUAAAAAUAUUUCAAAUUUUCAGACAAUAAAAAUCUUUUUGUAAAUUUCUUUUAAAUGGUUUUUAAAAUUAUUACUUUUUUGAAAUAAGUCUCUUAAAAAGUUAUUAUAUCUUAUACAAAAAUUAUUAAUAUUUUCUUAUUUUAAAAACAAAAAACAUGAAGAAUAUCAAAUCAACACAAGUGUCCCAUUUUAUUAAAUGUGAUCAAAGCUUUUUUAUUAGUUGCUUUAUACAAGUUGUACAAAAAAAUAUCAAGCUUGAACGUCAAUAUUACAAAAUAAAAAAUAAAUAAAUAAAAUUGUCACAGUGUUUGUGAUAAAGAUAUUAGGAAAAUUCAUAAUGUGUAGUCAAUACAAGUCAUCAAAAUGGGGCAUGGCCACAAAUGAUGUGCAGCUUGUGGACAAGGAUGUGCACAUCAUACGCUGGUAAUAGAAACUGACUCCUUGAUAGCAUGUAGGAGGAAAUGACACCGAGUCAUCACUUCUUGUUGUCUGAGUUUGAGCUGCCAGCAUUGGAUGCUCCUUUCCACCUAUAAACACCCCAUUUGGUUACCCUUUUUUCAGUGUUUGUACCAUCAGCUAUGCGGCUAUGCCUCCUUCCGUUUGUAUGUUUAUCUAAGGACUGACAUACAUCGAACCCCUCUUAUGUCUAUUUUCCCACCUACACCUGUUUGGACCCAAGGAAAAAUUAAACCAUCAUGGAAAGAGGGGCUCAAUUUUCUUUUUGGGUGUAGCUUAAUUGGGGGUUACUGAUAACUACAUAUCGAGUGCACGUGACGGUGGUCUUAUUCCAAGUAUUUUUAGUAAAAAUGUUUUCUCUACGAGUGAUUUUAGGAAAAUAACCUAUUAAUAGUUCAUUUUAUAGUAAUUGGUGAUUUUAAGAAACAUUUCUAAUAUUUUUAACACUUGAAAAAUUUUAUUAUUUAAAUAUUAAAAAAAAUAAAAACAUUUUUUUUUAGAAUUAUUACCAAACACACUUUAAAAGUCUUAAUUUUUCUAAAACUUAAAAAAUUUUAUAUUUCAAAUAUUAAAAAAACUUUAACGCUUUUUAUACUCACCACCAAACAUGCUAUAGUGUUUCUUAAAAAAAACUAGAAGUGAUUUUUCAACCCUAAAUGAUUUUUCAUAUUCUUAAAAGUGUUUCUUAAAUUUUGUCAAACACCUUAUUUUUAUUCAAAAAUAUUUUUUAAAUUAAAAGUACUUUCAUAUAAUCAUUAUUAAAUUGACUUUUAUUAUAAGAGUUUGUUUGAUAAUGAUUUUAAGAAUCGUUUUUAAUAUUUCUAAUACUUGAAAAUUUUUAUUUUUCAAAUAUUAGAAAUUCUAGAAACGCUUAUAAGAAUUACUAUCAAACAUACUUUAAGUCUAAUAUAUGACACAUAAUACGGGGUUCAAAUUGGUGAUUAAACUUUGCUUUAUUUGAUUAAAAGGGUCAUUAAAAACCCAAUUUUGGAAAUCCAACCUUUAUCUUUUUUUUUUUUGUGUCAUUUUGACAAAAAUACUCUCAUUUUUUUAUGAUAGAAGUAAUCAUUAUUUUAAUAUACGUGUAAAUACUUGAAAUAGUAAAAAACAUUUAUAUAAAAAAUGAGUUACUUUUCAAGUAAAAACAUGGAAAAUAUUGAAUUCACAAAUAUAAGGGUUAUUAUUAAUUUUUAAAUUUUUGAUAAAUCUUAAUAAAUACCAAAAAAAAAAAAGUAUAAUUUUAACACAAGAAAAAAUUCCAAAUAGAAAAUUAAGAUGUUAUGAAUUUUAAUGUUUUGCCUUUUACAACUUUUAUUGUCCUCAUAGACCAUUUUAUUAUUAAUUUUUUAAUCAGAAAAUAAUAAUAACUUAUAUACAAAUUAUAAUAAAUUUUAUAUAAAAAAAAAUAUGAACUUAUUUUUAAGGUAAAAUUCAAAAUUUUCUUACAUUUUAUACCGAAAUUAUCAUCCUUUCUUAUUUCUAAAAAUGGAAAAUAAAAAAUGUACUAAAUUUAUAACAAAUAUAUACAUACAUAUUAUUUUAUAUUCCUAAAUUGUAUUUUUAUCCAUUGAAAAUAAAUAAUUCUUAGGGAAAUAAAUAUACGCAAAUAUUUUUCCUAUUUAUUUAUUUUCUAAAAUUAUUUAAUAAUAUUAUUCCAGCGCACACCUCCUAAGAUUAGUAUUUUACCAGUUUGGGAUAUAAGCUAAAUUUAAAAAAGGUAGUAAAAUCCCAACGGUUAAAUCAAGAAUAUAUUAUUUUUCUAACAGAAGCAUCUAAUAACCCAACAUUCCCCUAAAACGGGCUCCAUAAAACCGCUUACAACCCUUUUACUCCAACCCGCCGGAGCAUCCGCGUCCUUAUCCGUCUUUUCGCACAUCCUCCUCCUCCACCCUCCGUCACCACACUAUAAAGGGACAACCACCUGUCACCAUUCUCACUCACGCUUGCUCAUGGAGAUGGAAGACCCACACACUAACCCGUCGCCUUCUUCUCUCAAAGACAGGCUCAAGUCUUCCCUCUGUCUCUCAUGUUGCUUCCGCACAAACCCUCGCCAGAACCUGGAAUCCGACGAGAAGUCCAUCAAACCUUCCUGCGUUUGGCUCAAGUCCAGAGCCCAGGACCUGCCGGAGAUCAAAGAGAAGUUGGUCUCCCAAUUCCGAGGCCGCCGCCACUCCUCGCAGUUCAGGUACGACCCUCUCAGCUACUCUCUCAAUUUCGACCAAGGCAUCGACGAGAACCACGUCGAUCAGAUUCAAUUCAGGAACUUUGCCGCCAGAUUGCCGCCGACGCCGCCGCGGACGGUGGAGCCGGUGAUGGUUGAUUCCAGAGAAGUGCGUGUAGUUAGUUAGUCUAGGGUUUUCAGAAGUGUGUUUUGGGAGUACACCGUCGUUGCGGCGGCGGCGAUGGCGAUGGCGAUGGGAUCAGUGGUUAGUGGGUUUUAGCGUCUCAUGAUUUUUGAUGUACGAAACUAUGUGCGGGAGUUCUCGGGCGAUUAUUUACUCCUACAGCACUGCAGUAUGAGUACGGUGCUCCACGUGGGGUCAGUCGAAUUAUUAAUUUUCCCUUUCUGAAUUUACUGUUCUCAUAUCUUCCACAUUUCACAUGAAUUUACGAACGCUGAUCGGUUAUGAAAUGCAAAAUUAUACCAUAACUAAAAUUUCAUAUUUUUUUUCAUAAGGAAAAAGUGUGUUUUCGUACGUUCAACUCGUAAAAUAUAAAUUUUAAACAAUCAUGUAAAAAUAAUUAAUAUUUAAUUUAAUUUUUUAAUAUAUUUUAUUAUCAUAAAUACAUAAAAUUAAAUUAUUUUUAAAAAAAUUCUAUUUUAUAAAUAUUUUUAUAAGAAAAUAUUGAGUUCAUGUCCAUUUUUUUUUUAGUCAUAUUUAGUGAUGAAGGAUAUCAUCAUUACUCAAUGAAUUUGAGGUUAGAUUGUGCACGAAGCAUGAAGGUUCUCCAUAAGAAGAUUAUUGGAGAAGAAAUGAUUGAGAGAAAUCACAUCAUUGUUGAAGUAUUAUAUGGGCCCGACCAUAUUGAGGGUUUUUUUAAAGGAAUUUAUUUUUGGUAGAAUAGUUUUUAAUUUUUAUUAUUAUUUUAAUUCUGAAAAAAAAAAAAAAAAAAAAAAAACCUCCCGACCAUUGUGUCAACGUCAACUGAAGGCAUCUUUGGAAGAAUAAACCCCAAAAGCAGAAUGAUUGGUAACGUAGGAAAGAAGUAGAAAAAAAAAAAAAAAAAAGGAAAGGAAAAGUCACCGAAAACAAACAAAAAAUCAAAGAAACCGCAAACACCCAGAGUCACGUUACCAUACCGUGAGUGAUUUAAGGUGAUAGGUAGGUGUCAAGAAGGAGCUUGAUGUUUGCCCAUGAGUCCAUGACAAAAUUAAGAGAAGUGAAUCCUUGCAUUACAGCAAAUAAUGCAGAAAACCAGAAAUAGGGACUUUGGCAGAAUACUAUUGGUGAAUACUAAUACGUGUUAAAGGGGCUUUUCACACUCAGCUUUUUACCUAGUGGGACUGCCUUAUCGGCUUAUCACAAAGCAAGAUGCCCGAGGUGGGUGGGCAGCUUCUUUUCUAUCUGCUGAUGCAGCUGUGUGACCCAGACCCUGUCUCCUUUACCUGUAAUCAUGGGAAUUUUCAUGUUGCAUUAACCCCCCGUAUAAAAGCUUGCUAAAAGUUACUACAACUUGCUAGCUCUCAUUGCCCUUCUUAGCUUUGAUACCAUUUUUUAGGCCAAUCAAAGCGGAAAUGUAAGCAUAUUAUAGAAAAAAAAACAUAAAAUAAAGUAAAGAAUAUGAGUUUAAUUUUAACGUUAUUUGGUCGAUCACGAGUAAUUUUGCUUUAUUAGAUGUCUUUCAUUCUUCUUUACAUUUAUACCUUGGUGAGCUAUUCGGUCUUCCUCAAAUCGCUAUUUUUUUUAAAUGAAAAAUUCAUUCAUAACCUGAAAUAUUUAUGUAGAUAUUUUCACUAGUUUUCCAUAUUUUAUAAGAAAAAAAAAAAUCAAAUUUCAAUCUAAUAUCAAUUUAAAAAAUAUUCUAUAUAAUAUUAUUUUUAUAAAAAAAUAUUUUAAAUAUGAAUUUAAAACACCUUCCUACCACAACUAAACAUUUUGUGGGUUCAUCAGCCCUUAUUUAUUAAAUUUGAAGUUUCUUCUCUUUCUGCAUUUUCCGCAUUCUAUUUUCCAUUUGAAAAUGAAAUGCAAUUAAAUAGGGAACAUAGAAAACUUUCAUAAAUCUAGACAGGCCUAGACCAGGCCCACUUUGGGUCUACAGUGGCCUGCUUGGCUCAC